UGGUGGCUUCUCUCCCUUAGGUGGUUUGCCAACUGGGGUUGGUGGCUUGUGUUCUGGGAGUGGCUUCUCCCCCUUGGGAGGUUUUUCCAAUGGGGUUGGUUUGUGUUCAGGAGGUGGCUUCUCCACUGGAGGCUUGUGUUCAGGAGGUGGCUUCUCCACCGGAGGCUUGUGUUCAGGAGGUGGCUUCUCCACCGGAGGCUUAUGCUCUGGUGGUGGCUUCUCCACCGGAGGCUUAUGCUCUGGUGGUGGCUUCUCGAAUGGGGGAUGCUUAGGGUAAUCAGCAAGUGAGGGGGCGGUGAGAACCACCAGGCCAAGCAAGACCACUAGCAAGUAUGUAGGAGACAUCUUUGGGUUUAGACUCAGAUGGUGCAAAACUAGGAGAAUUGUCUUUUAUAGCGGAUCGCACCCAAUAAUGAAAUGACACGUGUCUUUAUGACCCAUGUGUAAUGGGGUCGAUUUGGGUCCUACAGUGUUGAAAACUUCGACAUCCACUUUUGGCCUUUUGCUUUCUCUACAGCCGCCUUGCUUUUUCCCUCUUUCCUUUUGUUUUCCUCCUGCCCCAUUCUAUCAACUAAACACAAUUAUGUAGUUGUUUAAUUCUUAAAUGAGAUAUUAUCCGUCAAUCGUAUCAUAUUUUAUCAACAGAGAACGGAGUGCAAUGUGGCAAUCCAAAGAAAGAAGAUCCAUAAUGCAGCUGUAAUUUUAUCGUUUACUUUUAUCUCUUGGACCACUGCAUUUUUGUUAAGAGGUGCAAUAAUACACGUCUUUAUCUGCCAUUCAAUGUUUACAGUAAAGAGAGGGCACAAAACUCUUCACUGCUCUGCAUGUGUCCCAAAAAUGCAAUUGGACAAAUUAUGAUUUGCAUGCUAAAAAGAGGCAAAUGAGGUUAAUUCGCACCAUAAUUAUUUUGUUUUCUGGACCCCGGGGCCCUUUGGUUGGUUUGGGGGUCAGAAAAUGAACAUCAUAGGGGGUUUUUCCCUUAUGUGCAUUUGUAUCUGAUGGCUUUAACUCGCCUUGUUACUACAAAGAAAUUGUCACAUAUAGGAACUUAUUCCAGGCUGAGUAUCUCCGCAUAGACCCUAUAAAAGAAGACAAGUCAUAAUGAACAUCUAACCUUUGUUCAAUUUGAUUCAAUGCCCCAUUGUGUCCACCUCACAAAUCUGAAUUAUUAUAUCCAUUGAAUACAUAAAUUAAUGAAGAAAAUAUGAAACCCAAGAUACAUCUCUGCACAACCUCAACCCUGGUUGCUAUGUUUCCCUUCUAUUCACAUGAGGAUAUUGAUUACGGAAUAGGGAAACCUAGCAAGGGUUUACUCGGCUCUGGUUUGAUGCUAAUUGCCAAACUUGCAACAAGCCCUGAGUUUGAAGCUCACAGAAGAUGUUAUACAGGCAGGGAAAAACCUUCAGAGUUCGCUGCCAAAGAUAAUUAUUAAGGAGAUAUCACCAAGAGAAUUCCAAGGAGUCUGAAUCAAAGACAAAUUGGUCGUUCGUGGAGGUUCUUACUUUCUUUUGGGUAUAACUCACUGAGGGCACUGUCUUUUUUAUUUUCAUUUCACAUUUAGAGUUCUGUUCUGGAAACAUAUAAAAGGAGCAUCAGUUUGUUCUUGGGUAACCCAUAGUCGUGAGUGGGUCCAUUUGCAUGCUACUUAGUUGAAAAGUUGGACCAUUUGCUCCGACGCCUACCUCCUGGAUUCCAUGCUCGGAUAAAACAAGAAUAAAAAAAUAUUUAUAAUUUACAAAUGGGGGAAAGAAAAAAAUGUCAACAACAAACUAGGAAAAAAGAGUAGUAAAAUUCAUGUCACAUGCUAGUGAGAGAAGGGGUUGUUACACUCACUCGAAGUUCUUUUCAAAAUAUCGCAUGGUAUUUUAUUUUAUGUGUGAGCGCAGUUGUGAAUGGAACGUGCAAAAGUCCAAAUUGGUGACCUUUAAUAAAUAUUUAAAACAAAAAACGAAAAAAAGGAGGGAAAAGGGAUCAGAAAAGAUAAAACAAUGUGUACAAAAGCUCAAUUAGUUUGCAAAUUACUGUUUGGAUUUUGAUAGUAUUUUAUUUGAUGUAAAAGAGAAUUUAAGAUAUUUCCGAAACAAAAGCAUUAGUUUGCUCCAUGUCAAUUUCGGCAUUUCUCAUAUGUUUCACACAUACACAGAAGAGCAUCGUUUUUUAAAGCAUGCAUUUAUGUUGGAUUAAUUUGGAUUUUGUGGGAACUGGGGCAAGGAUCACAUGGAAGAGAGGUUGACUUUUUUCAGUACUUCAAUGGUUGAGACAGGUGAAGGCCUGAUUGAUACUGAAGCCUGAAAUUGCGACUCCGUCAUUUGUCAAAACAUAUGACAGCUUCCAUGCUCUCGUUUGGUUGCAUUGUUCUGUGGUCAUGCAUACAUGCCACUUAGUGAUCAGUCUGUAACUGUCAAUCAUUGGGCUUUGACUGAACAACAUCAGCCAUGUAUAAAUACUUGCAAAUCAAACGGUCUUCUUCCUCCCAUAAGGAAUUUCGGUUUAAUUAUGAAGCAUGCAUUUGGCUGACCAUCAUAAACCACUUCUUUAAAUUGAUGAAUGAUAGUUUUUCAUUCAUUCUUUCAUUCGUUCAUAUACAGAGUAUAUAUAGAGGGUAAUCAUCAUUCUAAGAAUGGGAAAGAAUGAUACAAGGAAAUAAUGAUAUAAAGAAAUAACAACUAAUAUUCUAAUAUCUCAACUUUCCUAAUAUCUAAACAUUCCUAAUAUCUCAACACUAAAUGAUAUAAAGAAAGAAUGAUAUAAGGAAAGCAUUCCUAAUAUCUCAACACUCCUCCUCAAGUUGGUGCAUAGAUGUCAAACAUGUCCAACUUGUCUAAAAAUUUUGAGAACAGUUGACUUGAGACAUCUUUGGUGAGGAUAUCGGUCAAUUGAUCUUCUGAUCGAAUCUUAGGCAAUUCCACAAUCUUAUCAUCCAACUUUUCCUUAAUGAAAAAUCUAUCCAUCUCGACAUGCUUUGUACGAUCAUGUUGUACUAGAUUAUGAGCAAUGUCACAUGCUGCUUUAUUGUCACAAAACAAUCGGAUUGGUUGCCUAGAUAGGUAACCUAAAUCCUAUAAGAGGAGUCUUAGCCAUAAUGCCUCACAAAGUCCUAAAGUCAUACCUCUAAAUUCCGCUUCUGCACUUGAACGAGCGACGACAUUUUGCUUCUUACUUUUCCAUGUCACAAGAUUACCACCUACAAAGGUAAAGUAACCAGAUGUAGAUCGCCUAUCAUCCACUGCACCGACCCAAACAGCAUUAUACUUCUAUACUCUGAUGAUCAACAUUUUUAGCGAACAAAAUUCCCUUCCUAGGAGCAUUCUUCAAAUACCUCAAAAUACGCAUGACUACAUUCAUAUGUUGCUCUCCAGGAUUAUGCAUGUAUUGACUCACUACACUCAAUGUAUAAGCAAGAUCUAGUCUUGUAUGAGCUAAGUACAUUAAUCUCCCCACAAGUCUCUGGUAUCUUCCCUUAUCGAUUGAUACUUGAUUAGGCUCAACACACAAUUUCAGACCUUCUUCUAUUGGUGUAUUAAUAGGUUGACAUCCCGACAUUCCAGUUUCCUGUAGAAGAUCUAAGGCAUACUUUCUUUGAGACAGAAAAAUUCCUUCACUUGAUCGAGAAACUUCAAUCCCAAGAAAGUAUUUCAGACGACCAAGAUCUUUCAUUUCAAAUUCUCUAGAUAGAUACUUUUGCAAAGCUUUUCUUUCUUCAGGAUCAUUUCCUGUAACUACAUGUCAUCCACAUAUAUCAUAAGUGUCGUAAUCUUACCAUGUUGCUUUUUCAAGAACAAAGUGUGAUUUGAAUUACUUUGAUGAUAGCCAAAAGCUCUCAUUGAUUUUGUGAACCUUCCAAACCAUGCUCUCGGGGAUUGCUUCAACCCAUACAAUGACUUCUUCAAUUCGCACACCUUCUGACAUUGCUUUUCUGACACCAUGCAUCCUGGUGGAAGAUCCAUAUAUACUUCUUCAGAUAAAUCGCCAUGCAGAAAGACAUUUUUUACAUCGAACUAUUGUAAUGGCCAAUCUAGGUUUGCAGCUAAAGACAAUAAUACUCGAACUGUGUUGAUCUUAGCUACAGGUGCAAAUGUCUCUGUGUAGUCAAUUCCAUAAGUUUGAAUGUACCCACUAGUCUUGCUUUAAAUCGUUCAAUACUACCAUCUGCCUUGUACUUCACAGUAUAGAUCCAACGACACCCAACUAGCUUCUUUCCUGGUGGACAUUCUACGAGUUCCCAUGUUUCAUUUUUCUGCAAUGAUUUCAUCUCUUCAUUCAUGGUUGCUUUCCACUUUGGAUCAGCUAAAGCUUCCUGCACACUAUUAGGAAUAGCUACAGUAGAUAAUUGAUUUACAAAUGACUUAUUUGAUUCAGACAAACCAUGGUGUGGACCCGCAUUUUUCACGUGCGCCUCUACUCGAUCGGCGAGACUCGCUUUCUAUUUGUGAAAAAUUAAUUUUAGAAAAGUUGGAGUCGCCACCUAUUUUAUUUUUAUUUUGAAGGGAAAAUAAAACAAGAAAGAAAAACCCUAAAAAGUGACUCCAUAGUUUUGGAAAAAGCAUGUCUUUGGGAAACCUGAGUCUAGGUCCGGGGAUCAUGUUACUUAUUGGGAAGGUACCUCUAGGAGGUAGCACCCCUCUAAGCCUUAUGAAGGUCUCUACUAACUAAAUUAAGGGAAGUGUGGCAAUAAAUCGAUUGAUCAUAGAUACCUAAGUAGACUAGGUGAUUUUAAAGUGUGGCAUGUCAAACACAAUCAAAUUGCAAUAAAGGAGAGUUAGGGCGCGUACCUGAACCGCUUCUCAAGCGCUAUCAUAAAACAUCAAUGGUUAAUUUAAAUAAUAUAUCAUCCAGCAUGUAUUUUAUUAGAAAUAAUCAAACAAUGAAACAUGUAUAUCAGAACACUCAAGCAUUAUUAGACAUAAGCAUUAUUUCACUAUUCACAGAAUUCAGAAAGUAGGUGAUAGAGGACAUACCUGGAUAGCAUAGAUAAUUUGUAAUGUGCUUCCUCAAGUUGUAAGGGGUUAGAUAACAAAUAAUAAAAUAUAGAAAUCCUAGCAUGCUCGUUAUCUAAUUAGCAUAGCAAAAGUGAUCACAGUAUACAGAAUCAUCAAUUAUCACAUACAUCUUGUAUAUAAUUCCUAAAAAAAAUAGAUAGACAUGAUUUCAACAAGUGUCAAAUGUGGCAACAAAAAUAAAUUUUGAAAAGAUUUUCUUAUGUAGGGGUUUCACCAAUUCCCCAAAUUAAUAUACACGAAUUUAGCUUAGAAUUAUCCCAUUUAUUUGGGACUACAAGCUUUGAUUCGUGUUUUUGUUCAAAACCAAAAAUUUUUGUUGAAAAUCAAGAAGGAUGCGAACCGAACAAGAUAUGGUUGCAUAUUAUUUUUAAAUAAAUAAAUAAAUAAAUAAAGGAGAUUUUGAUCCUGAGGACUUUAAUGAGUUUUUUUUUUUAAAAUAGAUUUUUAAAAUGAUUUUUUUGAGAAAAGUAUUUUAUUUUAAAAUAAAAGGGAUUAAUUUGGGAAAAAAAUAAAAUAUAAGAAAUAAAAUACCAAACAAAACAAAAAUGAAACCUCAAAGUAAAAUUUUUUUAGUAAUUAACAAAAAUGAUAAUGGUGAUGGUAGAGGGCAAUCUUCAUGAUUUUCCAAUGGCCUCAGAAAGAAAAUCAAAUUAAAUGAAGGAUCACUAACAGGCAAGACAUUCUAAAUUAGACAAACUAACAAAGUAUCAAUUCAUGAACUAACCGCUAGGAUUUUGAAAGCAUAUAAGCUAAGAUAAGGGUGAUCAGGAACUAAUAUUAAUGAUUUUGAAAUAAAAACUAAAAAAAAGGAUCAAUUCGGGUAAGGAACUAAAAUUAUAAAAGUACCUAAACUAAUUAUGACGAGUUUGACUAAAUUAAACUAAAAACAUGAACUUUCAAACAUAGAAUUAAUUUUACUAAUGAACCAAAGCAAACUAAAAAUAUGUACUUUCAAGCAUAGAAUUAAUUUUAUUGAUGAACUAAACUAUAACAAAUAUCUAAACUAAAUAUAAUGAAUCAAAUUAAAUUAAAGCAACUUAAAAACGCAAACUUUCAAACAUAGAAUCAAUUUUAUCAAUGAAUUAAAACUAUAAAUGUAUUUGAACUAAAUAGAUGAAUCAAACUAAAUCAGAGCAAAAUUAAAAAAAAAAAAGAACUUUCUAACAUGAAAUCAAUUUUAUCAACAAAUAAAUGAAUGAAUAACAAGUAAUUAAAAGAAUAGCUACUACAUGAAUAACUGAAUGAAUAAAAUUCAAAUGUUUUCAAUCUGAAGCAAUCAAUCAAAAUUAAAUAGGGAUCAAAUCAAAAUAAUCGAAAUCGGAAAAACAAUAUGCAAUCUUUCUAAAGGUUUAACCAGACAAUUGAAUUAAAAUUAUGAAUAGAAUAAAUUAAUAAACCAAAUCGAAACCUAAAUUGUACCUAAAAAGAUUAAUUAAUUAAACUAAGAAAUCAAAAUCAAUAACAAAACUAAACUAAGGAGUAAAUUAAGACAAGACUAAUUAAAUUAAACUCACAAACACGUUUUAACUAUCAUAUGGAUUAAAACAAAAUUAGCAUGGACUUAUGAAUUACGAACAAAAAUAAUCAAAACUAUUUUAAAAAACUCACCUCUAUUAUAAGAAAAAAUCUGCCUUUGAUGCGUUGAGGUGGCUCCCCUCUCUGUGUGGAUCUCUCUGCUCCCCAGAAAAAAAAUGUCUCUUCCUCCGUUCUCUUUUGUUUCAGCAAAAUAAUAUAUCCCCUGCUGUGGAUCUCUCUACUCCCAGAAAAUAAUAUAUUCUCUCCGUGUCCUAAAGUGGACCUAGGGUGCCUAAGUGGACCUAGGGUGCCUAAAUGGGCCUAGGGUGCCUAAAUGGGCCAAGUGUAUCUAAAUAGGCUUAGGGUGCCUAAGUGGGCCUAAGUCUAAGUGAGCCUAAGUCUAAAUCAAGACUACCAAGGAUCAUAAUAAGGGGUUAGGCAAUCCCUUAACCAAAGUCUCCAAGGUGGCUAAAAAAAAGUAAGUAGUAUGAGUAGCUAUGGGUCACCAAGGAACUACUGUGGAGCAUUGAAAACGAAUUUAAAGACAUGUGCCAAAGGGACAAAAUUGAGGGUCUACAGAUGGUUAGACACAUAGUUGCUCAUGGGAUAUUUGACUUUGGUAAACAAUUCAGAUUCAUAUGUGGGUUUAGGAAUACCUUUAUUAUGACGGUGUGGUAAUCGUUUCAUGAAUGGAUCAGGUUGCAAAUUAAGAACACCCUCAGCAAACAACGAUUGGUUUGGUAUUUCAGUGAAGACAUCUUCGAACCCAAAUUGUUGACCACUCAUAUCCAACUCACCCGCUUCCUGGUUCACUAGUUCAGAUUGUCCAAAUUCAUCAUUCUCAUAGAUAUGAUAAUCAUAAUCGAGAGUCUGAAUUUCCUUAUGGUACUCCCCCUGAAGUUCAGACUUAGAUGAAAAAUACAUCGAAUAUUCAUGAAACAGCNNNNNNNNNNNNNNNNNNNNNNNNNNNNNNNNNNNNNNNNNNNNNNNNNNNNNNNNNNNNNNNNNNNNNNNNNNNNNNNNNNNNNNNNNNNNNNNNNNNNNNNNNNNNNNNNNNNNNNNNNNNNNNNNNNNNNNNNNNNNNNNNNNNNNNNNNNNNNNNNNNNNNNNNNNNNNNNNNNNNNNNNNNNNNNNNNNNNNNNNNNNNNNNNNNNNNNNNNNNNNNNNNNNNNNNNNNNNNNNNNNNNNNNNNNNNNNNNNNNNNNNNNNNNNNNNNNNNNNNNNNNNNNNNNNNNNNNNNNNNNNNNNNNNNNNNNNNNNNNNNNNNNNNNNNNNNNNNNNNNNNNNNNNNNNNNNNNNNNNNNNNNNNNNNNNNNNNNNNNNNNNNNNNNNNNNNNNNNNNNNNNNNNNNNNNNNNNNNNNNNNNNNNNNNNNNNNNNNNNNNNNNNNNNNNNNNNNNNNNNNNNNNNNNNNNNNNNNNNNNNNNNNNNNNNNNNNNNNNNNNNNNNNNNNNNNNNNNNNNNNNNNNNNNNNNNNNNNNNNNNNNNNNNNNNNNNNNNNNNNNNNNNNNNNNNNNNNNNNNNNNNNNNNNNNNNNNNNNNNNNNNNNNNNNNNNNNNNNNNNNNNNNNNNNNNNNNNNNNNNNNNNNNNNNNNNNNNNNNNNNNNNNNNNNNNNNNNNNNNNNNNNNNNNNNNNNNNNNNNNNNNNNNNNNNNNNNNNNNNNNNNNNNNNNNNNNNNNNNNNNNNNNNNNNNNNNNNNNNNNNNNNNNNNNNNNNNNNNNNNNNNNNNNNNNNNNNNNNNNNNNNNNNNNNNNNNNNNNNNNNNNNNNNNNNNNNNNNNNNNNNNNNNNNNNNNNNNNNNNNNNNNNNNNNNNNNNNNNNNNNNNNNNNNNNNNNNNNNNNNNNNNNNNNNNNNNNNNNNNNNNNNNNNNNNNNNNNNNNNNNNNNNNNNNNNNNNNNNNNNNNNNNNNNNNNNNNNNNNNNNNNNNNNNNNNNNNNNNNNNNNNNNNNNNNNNNNNNNNNNNNNNNNNNNNNNNNNNNNNNNNNNNNNNNNNNNNNNNNNNNNNNNNNNNNNNNNNNNNNNNNNNNNNNNNNNNNNNNNNNNNNNNNNNNNNNNNNNNNNNNNNNNNNNNNNNNNNNNNNNNNNNNNNNNNNNNNNNNNNNNNNNNNNNNNNNNNNNNNNNNNNNNNNNNNNNNNNNNNNNNNNNNNNNNNNNNNNNNNNNNNNNNNNNNNNNNNNNNNNNNNNNNNNNNNNNNNNNNNNNNNNNNNNNNNNNNNNNNNNNNNNNNNNNNNNNNNNNNNNNNNNNNNNNNNNNNNNNNNNNNNNNNNNNNNNNNNNNNNNNNNNNNNNNNNNNNNNNNNNNNNNNNNNNNNNNNNNNNNNNNNNNNNNNNNNNNNNNNNNNNNNNNNNNNNNNNNNNNNNNNNNNNNNNNNNNNNNNNNNNNNNNNNNNNNNNNNNNNNNNNNNNNNNNNNNNNNNNNNNNNNNNNNNNNNNNNNNNNNNNNNNNNNNNNNNNNNNNNAACCAAAGGAAGCAUGUUCCAGACGUCGAUGCCACAACCAAAUUUCAGACUUUUUCUUCUCCUCCUUAGAUCCAUCUGCCAUCAAGGCUUGUUGCAACUUAUUUGAAUCCUUUGAUUGCAAGUCCAAGUAUAGAGUUUCCCCCGCUUAAUACGACAACCAAUCGUCUGUCUUGUUUGAAUGUCCUUAAUCACACAAAAUUCAGGCCAAAAAAUGACAAUACAAGAUAAGGCUGCAGUGAUUUGAGAAACUAACAAAAGAUUGUAAUCUAAAGAUGGAACAACUAAAACAGAAUCCAAAUUCAAAGUAUCAGUAAGAGUUAAGGAUCCUUCCCCAAUGACUGGGGUUGUGUUACCAUUGGCUGUGGAAACAAUUUUUUGUGAGGAAGGUCUAAGGGGUGAAACCUGUCUAGAAUCAAAAGUCAUAUGAUCUGUAGCACCAGAAUCAAUUAUCCAUGCACUAUUAAUAACAGGUGUAAAAGUAUUUAAAAACUUACCACAAUGAUCUGUAGCGGCUACUAAUGCAGAGACUUUCUCAACAACAUUAGUCUUUGUUUUUAUUUCGGUAACAGUUGCAAUCAAGGUUUUCUUGGAAUUCUUCUUCCGUUGAUCACGAUUAUUAUCAUUAAUAACAAAGUGUUGAUAGCCUAAACAUGAUCUAAAGGUCCAUGGUGCAAACCCUCGGUUCCUCAUUGUUUUCCUGGUCAUACCAAGAGUUGUUGCUUUGAAAUUGUGGGAUAUCCAGACUGGUGGGAUCAGUUUUAUUGCAGUGAGUGCAUUUGAAUGUUGACUUAUCAAUAUUAGGGCUUGUCUUCGGAUGGUUGAUUGCUGUUGGACUACCAUAGCGACAAAAUAUCCAGGAUUUCAAUUCCAGGGCUCUGAUACCAUCUUCAAAUUGAUGAAUGAUAGUUUUUCAUUCAUUCUUUCAUGUACAGAGUAUAUAUAGAGGGUAAUCACCAUUCUAAGAAUGGGAAAGAAUGAUACGAGGAAAUAAUGAUAUAAGGAAAUAAUAACUAAUAUCCUAAUAUCUCAACUUUCCUAAUAUCUCAAUAUUCCUAAUAUCUCAACUUUCCUAAUAUCUAAACAUUCAUAAUAUCUCAACACUAAAUGAUACAAGGAAAGAAUGAUAUAAGGAAAACAUUCCUAAUAUCUCAACACCACUUCAUGAUAUAUAUAGUUUCUUACCCUUAAUCAAUGGUUUCUAAGUGAAUUUAUAUAGAAAGAAAUCCAAACUGUAGACAGCAGUAUUGGUAACACUCAAUAUUCUGUAUAUAAUAGAAUAAAUAGCGUCACAGUGAUCGUCGCCUACAAGCAAGGUACAAAUACCACAAAGAGUGACCCACAUAGACAUUCCCCAACAAGAUGUAGUAGUGACUGACACAUAGCCACAAUUAACACGUAGAAAAGGAUAAGACCGGUGCACAGUAGCUCUUAUUUUACAUACUACUUAUGCCAACCAAAGUCACUCAGUUGGGAUGGGAGGGAGAUGGAGGUUUGUGCGGUGGCUUGUGGGGCGGAGUUGAUGGCUUCUUUCCAGGAGCUUCUGGCUUUUUCAUCGGAGCUGAAGGAGGCUCAAUCUUAUGAGGCGGCUUGUACGAGUCUUCUUUGCUCUCGAAAGGAGGGUGGCCAGGGUUGUGACCAUAAUGUGGUGGUUUCUCUCCCUUGGGAGGUUUACCAAUUGGGGUUGGUGGCUUGUGUUCUGGGAGUGGUUUCUCUCCCUUGGGAGGUUUAGUGGGUGACUUGUGUUCUGGAGGUGGCUUCUCCACCGAAGGCUUGUGCUCCGGUGGUGGCUUUUUGGUUGGAGGGGGCUUGGGGUAAUCAGCAAGAGAUGGGGUGGUGAGAACCACCAGUCCAAGGAACAACACUAGCAAGUAUGUGGGAGACAUUUUUGAGUUUGGGCUGAUCAGAUGAUGCAAAACUAAAGCAUUACGUGACCUUUUAUAGCAAGUAGCUCCCAAUACCUACUUGACACGUGUUACUGUGACCCAUAAAUAUUAUGGGGUCUAUUUGUGCCCUACCGGGUUGAAAACUUGGACAAUUGGGCAAGGACCCGCCUGACUAUGGAGGACUACUGAGGUGUGAUCACAGCUUUAGGAUUUUUCUUCCUCUGCAGCCGUCUUGCCGUUGGCAUGAUUUUCUUAAUCUCAAAUAAAGGCAUAGUUAUAGAGUUGUUUAAUCUCUAAAUGGGAUUUUAUAUAUCUUCAGAUAGCCAUUAAUACAUUUGAUGAAGAAAGAAAGACAAGUGCAUACAACAUGUAUACGACUAGCUUUCAUGGAGUUCAUUUAUGAUCAGUUUUCCUGUACAUGUAAACCAAGAUCAUAUAUGUUUUUGUUCCACAACAAUUUUGGAAUCUUGUUUAUCCGUUUUUAUCAUUAUAAUGUCACAUAGGCUGCCAACUUGGGCGCUAAAUUAAAGAUCCAGUUGGGCAAGUUCGUUUCAGAAUUUCAAUGGUGGAUUCAGGAAUUGUUUUAUAAGAUAUGCAAAAUAGUAGAGGGAUGAAUAGUGUUUCAUUAAGAAAAGAGCCCUGUAAAAAUAUUGUUUAAAGGUGCCAUAGAAACUAUAAUCAAUAAAUAACUUUUUUUCCCCAUGGGUGGUGUUUCUUGUGGGGAUCAGUGACUGGUUUGAGUCAACGCCGUGUCUCUUUAGUCCAGAAAUCAACUAUUUUAUGCAUUGAAUACAUCAACAAAGAAAAUAUGAAAGCCAAAUGACACCUCCCCCGCAAAAACUAAACCCUGGUUGCUAACUUUCUAUGUUUCAGUUCCAUUCACACAAGAAUAUUAGUUCAAGUUUGAGAAAAAUGGCGACUUACCUAGUGAUAACUCGGUCUUGGUUUGCGAUUUGACUUUAACGUCAUGGGUUGAAGCCUCCUACAAUCAUCGUGUAUGCUAGUUCAAAGCUCGUGGAAGAAGUUAUACAGGGAGGGAGAAACCUCCACAGCAAGCUCCAAAAGAGAAUUAUCACAUUGAAAGCUCCAGUUGAACACUGGGUGAAAGCCAUAACAAGAUUGGUUUUCUAUCGCUCUUUUAAGUAAUGGAAGAUUAUUAUCUCUGCUUGUCACUACAACCGUGCAUGCUGCUAGAUCUUUCUAGACACUUCAAACAGUGAAACCAAGUAUGAUUCUUUUUCUCUUGAGUGGGUCCACUUGCAUGCCAAUGAACGAGUUGAAAAGUUGGACAAUUGGCCACAGCGCGCACUUACCUUCUGGAACCGAAGGUCAGUGAAGUGGGGUUCCUUUUGGCCCCUUGUGUUUCUGUUCCAACCUACUCCAGGAACCGAAGUUCAGUGAAGUGGGGCUACUUUUGGCCUCUUGUGUUUCUGUUCCAACCAAACAAAAAUGGGAGGGAAAAAUAGCAUUAUGCUUGUGCUAAAGAUCAACGCAUGAUAGCUGAAUAAGGGAGAAAAAGGCAUUGCUAUCUCAAUUUCAUAAACUUGAUAAGUAGUGACAUUAAUAGUCUUCCUCAUAGAUGGAUACAUGGUUUUAUUUUAUUUAUUUAUUUUUAUUUUUUUGUUUUAUGUCAAUGCUAAUGAAUGAAGUGCAUUAGCUUGUUUUGUGACUAGAACUACAAAUGUCCAAAUUGGAGCUUCUCCAAUAUAUUUCUCAGUGAGUUAUUGAUUAGAACUCUUGGAUUGAGUUCCAAGAUUUGAAUCAGACCCCUCUAGCAGCUUCAGGGGUACGUAGCAACCUAUAGCAUAUUAAUGAAGACUUAGGAUUUAGACUUAGGAAUACAAAUUAAUAUGUACCUCAUGCUCUGACUAGCUUCCCUGCGUAUGCACAAAAUGGAGAUGACUCCCAAAAAAAUAGCAGAAUCGCCUUAGUAUGUUUUUGUGGUUAAGAUGAUUCUCCACUUUAUAUAUCCACAUUGGUUCAUUAUGCAAAUUAAUCAACUAAGCUAUUUUUAUUUUUUCUUAAAUGUGAAAUAGGAGCUCCAAAUUAACCUAACCAUUGGCCUGAUUGAAUUGAUUUCACUUGCAUAAUGUUAUAGUAGAAGUCCGUAAUUUGAAUUUUAUUUUUGCAAAAGGUAACGUAAAUGAAGCAUUGUAAUUAAAUUUAUUUGUAAUUACAAACUAAUUUUAUUUUAUUAAGAAUUAAUUUAAUUACUCAUUUAAAAUAAAAAUCAGUUAUACUUUUACCAAGAUGAUAAUAUUCAUAUUUUUCUAGUUAACAUAUAUAAAAUAGUACACUUUUUCAUAUAAAAAAAUAAUUUAUGAUUUAUUAUAAUGUUACUAUUCACAUUUUACUAAAUUGAUGGUACAUGAUAGUGAGAGAAGGGGGUGUCACACUCAGCUAAAGUUCUUUUCAAAAUAUUGCAUGGUGUUUAAUUUUAUGUGUCGGCGCGCGUGUGAAUGGAACCUGCAAAAGUCCAAAUUGGCGUUUCUCCAUUUUCCACAUAGGAUGGUGACGUUAAUAGACAAAGAUACAAUAUCUGUAGACAUUGCUUAAAAAUCGAUGUGAAGUAUUAGAAAUUACAGGGCACUGUACUGGGGGAGCGGCUGCCCCGCCAAAGGAGGAAGAAUGUAGCAAUUUCUUCUGUUAGCCAGGCCUUAGGAUUUAUGCAUGGGAUGCCUAAUAACAAACAGAGAAAAUAUACUUUUGGGGAAGGUAUCCAACAACAGACACCAUCAUUCAGAUGGUGGGAAGGUAUCCAACAGAUGCCAUCAUUCAGAUGGUAACAUAUAUAUACAUUUAUUAGUGAGUUUUUUUAAUACCUAUAAAAAAAAAUAUACACUUUGAUAUUGUGGCUGAAUCCAUUACAUACUCAACUAACCUUGCUCAUUAGGGAUUUGACUUAACAAGGGCAACGUUGCAGUACAAGCUCAAAACUUUAUGCAGGUGACAUUACAUUUGGUAAAGAAGAGGAAAAUAACGAAAGCCAUCCAUAAAAGCAAAAUUCCACAUGGGAUGAAAUUCACAAGCUUCAUUUACGAUAGAGUCGCAUCCAGGCAAUUAAUUCCACAUUAGACCGCCUGUUGACAUGUGUACCAAUCUUUUUUCAAAAAAUAUUUAUAAAUAAUUGAUACUCACAAAAAUAAUUUAAUAUUUAUAAAGGAUAAAAAAAUAUUUUCAAAUCUAUAACAAUUUAUAAAAUAUUAAUAAAAAAUUAUCUCUUAAACUUAGUAUAGUUUUAUCAGAUUAAACUUUUAUUUUGAACAAAUAAUUUUAAUCUAAGUUUUAAAUUCUAAAAUUAUUUCCUUAAAAUAAAAUUUUAAAAUUCAACACUUCAAUUGAAAUUGUCUUUUUAAAAAAUAUCUUCUUAUUUUAAUCCUUAUAAACUAUAGUUGAUUGAAAAUACUAUUGAAGUUCUCUCUUAAAAAAAAGUCUUAUUUUAAUCUUCAUAAAUUGCCCUUGAUUUGAAAAUAAAUUUUCAGUUAUCAUAUUUUAAAUAAUAUCUAUAUUUAAAAUACUCUAUUUAAAAAAAAAUGAACUAAUUUUAAUUAUAUUAUAUUUUAUUUUUUUAUAUAUUUUUAAUGAUAAACCAAACAUAGAAAAUCAUUUUUCUAAAUAUUUUAAAAUUUCUAAGCAACCAAACAUAAUCUUCAAAAUAAAAGGAAAAUAAGGAGGGACAUUUGAGAAAUGGCGAUUAAAAAAAAGUGUACAAAAGCUCAAUUAAUUUUCUUCUAGUCUUUUAUAUAAAAAAGUAAAGGAAUUGAAAAGUAUUGAUAUGUAAAUUAAUAUUUGGAUUUUAAUAGUAUUUUAUUUGUCUUUCUCUAUCUCAUGUAAAAGAGAAUUUAAGAUAUUUCCUAAAGCAAAGCAUUAGUUAUCUGCAAUCAGUGGUGAUCAUGCCCCAUGUCAAUUUCGGACCCAUAUCUUAAAACUGUAUAAUUUGCAUUCAAACAUUACUGAUUUCUCAGAUGUUUCAUACUCCACAGAAGAGCAUUGUUUGUGAAAGCAUGCAUUUAUGUUGGAUUUUGGAUGAUGUGGGAACUGGGGCAAGGAUCAUAUGGAAGAGUGGUCGAUUUUGUUCUGUACUUUAACAUUUGAAAUAGGAGAAGCUCGGGCAUUUGUGGGGCUUAAUUGAUUUUGAAGCCUGAAAUUGCGUUUCUGUCAUUUUGUAAAAAAUAUGGCAGAUUCCAUGCUCUCAUAUGUUUGGUCUGUGGCCAUGUAUAGAUGCCCCUUAGUGACCAGUUUGUAACUGUCAAUCAUAGUGUUUUGACUCUGGCUCAACAACAUCAGCCAUUGACGGAUUUUCAUACUUGCAAAUCAAAUAGUCUUCUUCCUCCCUUAGGAAUUUCGGUUUAAAUGUUAUUAAGCAUACAUUUGGCUGACAAUUAUUAACCACUUCAUGAUAUGGUUUCUUACCCUUAAUCAAUGGUUUCUAAGUGAAUAUAUGCAGAAGGAAAUCUGAACUGUAGACAGCAGUAUUGAUAACUCUCAAUAUUCUUUAUAUAAGAGAAUAAACAACGUCAUAGUGAUCGUCGCCUACAAGAAAGGUACAUUUCCCAACAAGAUGUAGUUGUGACUGGUACAUGGACGCAAUUAACUCGUACAAAAGAAUAAGACCAGUGCACGGCAGCUCUUAUUUUACAUGCUAAUUAUGCUAACCAAAGUCACUCAGUUGGGAUGGGAGGGAGAUGGAGGUUUGUGCGGUGGCUUGUGGGGCGGAGUUGGUGGCUUCUUUUCAGGAGCUUGUGGCUUUUUCGGAGCUGAAGGAGGCUCAAUCUUAUGAGGCGGCUUGUACGAGUCUUCUUUACUCUCGACAGGAGGGUGGCCAGGGUUGUGACCAUAAUGUGGUGGCUUCUCUCCCUUAGGUGGCUUGCCAACUGGGGUUGGUGGCUUGUGUUCAGGAAGUGGUUUCUCUCCCUUGGGAGGUUUACCAAUUGGGGUUGGUGGCUUGUGUUCUGGGAGUGGUUUCUCUCCCUUGGGAGGUUUAGUGGGUGACUUGUGUUCUGGAGGUGGCUUCUCCACCGGAGGCUUGUGCUCCGGUGGUGGCUUCUCCACCGGAGGCUUGUGCUCCGGUGGUGGCUUCUUGAUUGGAGGGGGCUUGGGGUAAUCAGCAAGAGAUGGGAUGGUGAGAACCACCACUCCAAGGAACAACACUAGCAAGUAUGUGGGAGACAUUUCUGAGUUUGAGCUGAUCAGAUGAUGCAAAACUAGAAGAAUUACGGGACCUUUUAUAGCAAGUAUCUCCCAAUACCCACAUGACACGUGUUACUAUGACCAUAAAUAUUAUAGGGUCCAUUUGUGCCCUACCGGGUUGAAAACUUGGACGCUUGGCCGAGGACACACCUGACUAUGGAGGACUAUUGACGUGUGAUCACAGCUUUUGGAUUUUUCUUCCUGUGCAGCUGUCUAGCGGUUGGCAUUAUUUUCUUAAUCUUAAAUAAAGGCAUAGUUAUAGAGUUGUUUAAUCUCUAAAUGGGAUUUUAUAUAUCUUCAGAUAGCCAUUAAUAUAUUUGAUGAAGAAAGACAAGUGCAUACAACAUGUAUACGGCUUGCUUCAAUCGAGUACAUUUAUGAUCAGUUUUCCUGUGCAAGUAAACCAGUUUUUUGUUCCACAACUAUUUUGGAAUCUUGUUUAUCAGUUUCUAUCAUUAUAAUGUCACAUAGGCUGCAAACUUGGGCACCCAAAGAUCUAGGUGGGCAAAUUUGUUUCAGACUUUCAAUGGUGGAUUCAGUAAUUGUUAAAAGGUGUUUCUUCAUUAAGGAAAGAGUCCGGUAAAAAUAUUGUUAAAAGGUGUCAUAGAAACUAUAAUAAAUAAAUAACUUCUUUUCCCCAUGGGUGGUGUUUCUUCUGGGGAUCAGUGACUGGUUAGGGUCACCCAAAAUGAGUCCAGAUUAAAAUUGGUUCGAGUCAAAGCAGUCUCUUUUGUCCAGAAAUCAACUAUUUUGCGCAUUGAAUGAAUCGAUAAAGAAAAAAUGAAAGCCAAAUCACACCUCCCCUGCAAAACCUAAACCCCGGUUGCUAACUUUCUAUGUUUCAGUCCUAUUCAUAUAGGAAUAUUGGUUCAAGUUUGAGAAAAAUGGCAACUUACCUAGGGUUUACUUGGUUUUGGUUUGCGACUAUUUACGCAACCAACCAUGAGUUUGACUUUAACGUCAUGGGUUGAAGCCUCCUACAAUCAUGUAUGAUAGUUCAAAGCUCGUGGAAGAAAUUAUACAGGAAGGAAGAAACCUCCAAAGCUAGCUCCAAAAGAGAAUUAUCACAUCGAUAGCUCCAGAGAUUCCCAAGGGAACUGAAUCAAAGACAAGUUCCUCACUUUUUCUUCUUUUGAGGCCAAAUAUGAACCAAGGAUCACACGACCUCAUUCAACUUCAUAAGUUUGAUUUCAUGCAGUUGAACACUGGGUGAAGGCCAUGACAAGAAUUGAUUAAAAAAUUCUACCACUCUUUUAAGUAAUGGAAGAUUAUUAUCUCUGAUUGGCACCACAACAGCACAUGCUGCUAGAUCUUUCUAGACACUCCAUGCAAUGAAAGCACAAUGGAUCUUGUAAUGAUAGAAACUAAGCCAUGCUACAGUACUAGAUGAGGGGGUAAAACUAGUAGACAUCUUUCUAGACACUCCAUGCAAUGAAAGCACAAUGGAUCUUGUAAUGAUAGAAACUAAGCCAUGCUACAGUACUAGAUGAGGUGGUAAAACUAGUAGACAUGGCUGGCAGUUGAUUACUACUCAAAAAGUACUCUUUUAUAGCUUGAAACUAACUGUUUUAAACACUUUUGAGUAGUAGUUAAUACCUUUUAACUUAAUUGGCACAUUAAGGAACCUAGCAAGGGUUACUAAUCAACAUUUGGCAAGUUUUGAUGUUUUUGGUAGCUAUUUGAUCAUUGAAACAAGCCAAGAAUGAGGGGGAAUUUUGUGAAGUCCAUGGCAAUGCAAGUUAAAGCUCAAAUACAUGAAGAAUCCAAGCUUUGGAGCACUUCAUAGCCCUUUGCCAAGCCAAUCAAAGAUGCAAGGAAGAAAACCAAAGGAAGAAAUCCAACAAUCAGCAUUUUGGCAUGGCUAUGUGAAAUUUCGCACACCAUGCGAAACCACAAGAGGCAGCCAAAGAAUUUCGCAUGGUAUGCGAAAUCUUCUUGUGCACUGACUCUGUUAGAUUUUUAUCUUCAGAUAUUUUGUGUAAUUUCCUAGUUUCUCCUUGUAACCAACUUAGAUAUUUUCUUUUAUAUCUUUUUUUAUAUUUUUUAGGUAACAUCAUAUAUAAGAGGAGAGACAUAAGGAGGAUAUGGAUGUUUUUCAUAGAACACUUGUAAAUUUUUGGUAGUAAGAAAUAUACAAAGCUUUUUGCUCUGCCUUACCUUCUCAAGGGAUGAGUGGCUAGGUUUUCUUGGAGUGAGGGAAGCUAGGUGAAGGACCUGAAUGCAAAGGUGGGAGUUUUCCUUACUUUAAAUGAAAGUAGUUGUUAAACAUUAAUGGUUUUUAUUUUAAGGUUUAGCUUUAAAUCCCUGAAAAACACCUUGAAUGGCCAAUACUUGGUAAGCUUUUUAGAUUCUAUGGAUGCUUAUUGCUAGAUCCAUGGAUGUCUAUUAGUUAUCAUUUACGAGCCAUUGGAAGGUGAUUCAAGGUGAGGGUCUUUAGUGUUUGAAGCCAUUAAUGGGAAGCAAUUACCAUUUUUUCAUGAAUCCUUUGGAUCAAAUCUUAAUUGCUAAAUAUAAAACCGGUUUCGAGAGAUAACCACCAUCCUUUAUGUUAUUAUCCCCAACGCGAGGAGAAGAUCCGAAAUCUUCCUUUUUAUCUAAGGAACCCGAUCCUAGUGACCUAAAGCUCCAAGAUACCUUUUCUUUGUAGUUAACUUCAUUUAUUGUUUUUGCUUAACUUAAAAUCAAUCUUUGCAACCACAAUUCCAUUUUCUUUAAAAGCUAAUUUUUAUAAGGAAAAACACCAUUUUAUUUCCUUCACUAAGUCAACUGUACGAUGAAAACCCAUCCCUGUGGACGAUCCUAGAGCCACUAUACUAUGUUAGCUAUGCUACCCUAGUGUGAGGUGAUUUAGGUUUUAUAAAUUUUUUUGAUAACACCCAUCUGAGCCAGAAUCAAAUGGCACGACUGAACCAGGGACGAAUCAAAUGACGCCGCUACCAAGGAUGGUGCCAAAGUACAUUGACAUGACUUUUGGUGAACACUUGUGAUCUUCACCACAAGUUUGGUGAUUUUUCUUUUACUAAUUUUUUUUAUUUUAGCUUAUCUUUUAUUUAGUUUUUAGUUAACCUUAAAUUUUUCCUAGAAUUGUAUUUCUUUUGUUUUCUUUGUUUUUGUUUCAGUGAUCUUUAGUUGUGCAUGCCCUAUUGGAUAAGAGAUAUUGAGGGAAUACUUGUGAAGAUUGAAACUCCUCGAGAAACUGAGUUAGAAGUGUGCUUGAACAUCAUGGAUGUUCCACCUGAAGACCAGAAUAGCCAACAUGGUUAAGAGGAUAAUUUCAACACAUACCGAUCCAUGAGGAACCGCAUACAUCCACCUUGUAUGAGUGCACCGUCAGGCAUAAUGCCUCCCACUGAGCAGCUAGUAAUCUGACCUCACAUUGUGCCACUCCUACCUACUUUCCAUGGGAUGGAGAGUGAGAAUCCCUACUCGCAUAUUAAGGAAUUCGAGGAGGUUUGUAAUACAUUCCAAGAAGGAGGAGCUUCAAUUGACUUGAUGAGGCUCAAGCUAUUUCCUUUCACUUUGAAGGAUAAGGCCAAGAUUUGGCUUAAUUCUUUAAGGCCAAGAAGUAUCCAAACUUGGAUUGAUUUGUAAGCCGAGUUUCUUAAGAAGUUCUUCCCUACCCAUAGGACCAAUGGUUUGAAAAGGCAAAAUUUGAACUUCUCAGUUAAAGAGAAUGAGAAAUUCUAUGAGUGUUGGGAGAGCUACAUGGAAGCUAUUAACGUUUGUCCUCACCAUGGCUUUGACACAUGGCUCUUAGUGAGCUAUUUUUACAAUGGUAUGUCUUCUUCAAUGAAGCAACUCCUAGAAACUAUGUGUGGAGGAGACUUCAUGAGUAAGAAUCCGGAGGAAGCCAUGGACUUUUUGAGUUAUGUGGCUGAAGUUUCAAGAGGAUGGGAUGAACCAAAUGCUAGAGAGGUGGGAAGAAUGAAGUCUCAACCUAAUGCUAAGGGUGAGAUGUAUGUUUUGAAUGAAGACAUUGACAUGAAAGCAAAGGUUGCAGCUAUGGCAAGGAGAUUGGAAGAGCUAGAAAUGAAGAACAUACAAAAAGUGCAAGCCAUUUCUGAGACAUCAAUGAAAGCUAUGCCUUGUUCCAUUUGUCAAUCUUAUAAGCACCUAGUGGAGGAGUGUCCUACAAUUCCAGCAGUGAGAGAGAUGUUUGGUGAUCAAGCAAAUGUUAUUGAUCAAUUCAAGCCUAAUAACAAUGCUUCAUAUGGCAACACCUACAAUUCAAAUUGGAGGAACCAUUCAAAUUUCUCUUGGAAACGAAAGCCACCUCAAUACACACAACCUACUCAAGCACCUUAGCAAUCCUCGAAUCUUGAACAAGCUAUUGUGAACCUUAGCAAGGUUGUGGGAGACUUUGUGGGAGAUCAGAAGUCCAUCAAUGCUCAACUGAAUCGGAGAAUUGACAGUGUGGAGAGUACAUUGAACAAAAGGAUGGAUGAGAUGUAAAAUGAUCUGUCUCAAAAGAUAGACAAUGUCCAAUACGUAAUCUCAAGGCUUACCAACCUCAACACAGUGUAAGAGAAAGGAAAGUUUCCUUCUCAACCUCAUCAAAAUCCUAAGGGUAUCCAUGAAGUAGAGGCUCAAGAGGGAGAAUCUUCAAAGGUGAGGGAAGUCAAAGUAGUUAUCACCUUGAAGAGUGGUAAAGAGGUUGAUCAACCCACAUCCAAGCCAAAGCAUAAUGAAGAGAGUGUAGCAGAAAAAGAAAAGAGAGGAAAAUAAAGGAAUUAGAAUAGAGAAAAAUACAAAGAAAGAUGACCAUGAGUCUAGUGUGGAUGAAGAGCCCGAGAGGAUGGUGAUCAAGGAAGAUAUGAUGAAGAAACACAUGCCUCCACCUUUCCCCUAAGCUUUGCAUGACAAAAAAAGAACCAAUAAUACAUCAGAAAAUUUUGAAGUAUUGAGGCAAGUGAAGGUCAAUAUCCCUUUGCUAGACAUGAUCAAACAAGUGUCGACAUAUGAAAAAUUCUUGAAGGACUUGUGCACUGUAAAGAGAGGGUUGAAUGUGAACAAGAAAGCUUUAUUGACCGAGCAAGUGAGUUCCAUCAUACAGUGCAAGUCCUAGUGAAGUACAAAGAUCCGGGUUGCCGUACCAUCUCAGUGAGUAUUGGAAGGACUUGUGUGGAGAAAGCUUUGUUGGACUUGGGAGCAAGUGUGAAUUUGCUAUCCUACUCUGUCUAUAAGCAGUUGGGAUUUGGAGAGUUGAAGCCAAUAUCCAUCACUCUAUCUCUAGCGGAUAGAUCAAUGAAGAUUCCAAGAGGGAUGAUCGAAGAUGUCCUGGUUCAAGUUAACAAAUUCUACUAUCCAGUAGAUUUUGUUGUUCUUGAUAUGGAUCCGGUUGUCAAAUGAACUAAUUAUGUUCCUAUCAUACUUGGAAGACCCUUCCUAGCUACAUCAAAUGCAAUCAUCAAUUGUAGGAAUGGAGUCAUGCAACUCACAUUUGUCAACAUGACAUUAGAGCUCAACAUCUUCCAUUUGUACAAGAAGCAUAUCCAUCAGGAGGAAAAAGAAGGUCUAGAGGAAGUGUGAAUGAUUGACACUUUAGUGGAAGAGCAUUGUGAUCGAGAAUGCAAAAAGAUUUAGUUGAGAAUUUUGGGGAUCUUGAUGAAAGGUUACUUGAACCCUCAGAUUUGCUUGCUACCCUACUCCAUUGGAAGAGAAGAGAAGAAAUUCUACCCUUAUUCAAUGAGGAGGAGACGCAAAGAGCUGCAAAGGAGAAACCCCCAAAACUUAUUCUUAAGCCACUACCCACAGAGUUGAAGUAUGUAUACUUGGAAGAAGACAAGAAGUGCCCUAUUGUUAUAUCUUCAACUCUUACCAUUCAUCAGGAGGAUUGUCUACUUGAAGUCCUUAGAAGAUGUAAGAAGACAAUAAGGUGGCUAAUUUCUUAUUUGAAAGGGAUCAGCCCUUUAGUCUGCACCCAUCAUAUUUACAUGGAGGAUGAAGCUAAGCUAAUUCAUCAACCUCAGAGAAGGUUGAACCCUCACAUGCAAGAGGUGGUUCGAGCUGAAGUUCUGAAGCUACUUCAGACCAGUAUUAUUUACCCCAUAUCAAAUAGCCCAUGGGUGAGUCCUACUCAAGUUGCGCCAAAGAAGUCUGGGAUCAUGGUGGUGCAAAAUGAUAAGGGAGAAGAUGUCUCUACACGCCUCACUACAGGUUGGAGGGUGUGUAUCAAUUACAGGAGGUUGAAUGCAGUGAUAAGAAAGGACCAUUUCUCAUUGCCCUUUAUUGAUCAGGUGCUUGAGAGGGUCUCUGGGCUUUUUUUUUUAUUGUUUCUUGGAUGGCUACUCCGGGUACUUUCAGAUAGAAAUUGAUGUUGAAAACCAAGAUAAGACCAUUUUCACAUGCCCAUUUGGAACCUAUGCAUAAAGGAGAAUGCCUUUCGGCUUAUGCAAUGCACCCGCAACUUUCCAAAGAUGCAUGUUAAGCAUUUUCAGUGAUAUGGUGGAGCGUAUUAUGGAAGUCUUUAUGGAUGAUAUCACCAUUUAUGGAAGUGCAUUUGAUGAAUGCUUGGUCAACUUAGAAGCUGUUCUGAACCGAUACAUUGAGAAAGACUUAGUGCUUAACUGGGAGAAGUGCCAUUUCAUGGUACACCAAGGGAUUGUCCUUGGGCACAUUAUCUCCAAGCAAGGCAUUGAAGUUGACAAAGCAAAGGUUGAACUCAUUGUUAAGUUGCCAUCCUCAACAAAUGUCAAAGGAGUAAGGCAAUUCUUUGGCCAUGUCGGGUUCUAUAGGAGGUUUAUCAAGGAUUUCUCUAAGCUUGCAAGGCCUCUUUGUGAAAUAUUGGUGAAUGAUGUUAAAUUCAUAUGGGAUGAUGGAUUUGAAAGGAGUUUUGAAGAAUUGAAGCUAUUUUUGACAACCGUACCAAUAGUGAGGGCUCCCAACUGGCAACUGCCCUUUGAAGUAAUGUGUGAUGUCAAUGAUUUUGCUAUAGGAUUUUUUCUUGGGCAAAGAGAAAAUGGAAAACCUUAUGUGAUCUACUAUGCGAGGAAGGCAUUGAAUGAGGCACAAAGAAACUACACAACCACCGAGAAAGAAUUGUUAGCUGUAGUUUUUGCCUUGGAUAAGUUUCGCGCUUACUUGGUGGGGUCCUUCAUCAUGGUUUUUACUGAUCACUUUGCUUUGAAGUAUCUGUUGACUAAGCAAGAUGCUAAAGCAAGGCUGAUUAGAUGGAUUCUCUUACUUCAAGAGUUCAAUCUCCAUAUCAAAGAUAAGAAAGGAGUGGAGAAUGUGGUAGCAGACCACAUUUCAAGGCUAGCUAUCGCACAUAAUUCCCAUGCUUUGCCCAUUAAUGACGAUUUUCUAGAGGGGUCUCUCAUGUUGGUGGAAGUUGUCCCUUGGUACGCUCACAUUGCUAACUACCUGGUCACGGGAAAAGUUCCAAGUGAGUGGAAAGCACAAGAUAAGAAGCACUUCUUUGCAAAAAUUCAUGCCUACUAUUGGGAAGAGCCAUUUCUAUUCAAGUAUUGUAUGGAUCAGAUAAUAAGGAAGUGCGUUCCUGAAGAAGAGCAACAGGGGAUCCUUAGUCAUUACCAUGAAAAUGCAUGUGGAGGCCACUUUGCUUAUCAAAAGACAGCCAUGAGGGUGUUGCAAUCGGGUUUCUGUUGGCCAUCACUUUUCAAAGAUGCCCACACCAUGUGCAAGAGUUGUGAUCGAUGCCAGAGGCUUGGGAAGUUGACACGCAGGAACAUGAUGCCUUUGAACCCCACUUUAAUAGUUGAUAUUUUUUAUGUUUGGGGCACUAACUUCAUGGGACCUUUCCCUAUGUCUUUUGGCUACUCUUACAUCUUGGUAGGAGUAGAUUAUGUUUCUAAGUGGGUUGAGGCAGUCCCAUGCAAACACAAUGACCAUAGAGUGGUUCUCAAGUUUCUUAAAGAGAAUAUCUUCUCAAGAUUUGGGGUGCCCAAAGCCAUAAUUAGUGAUGGGGGUACUCAUUUUUGCAACAAGCCUUUUGAAACUCUCCUAGCCAAGUAUGGGGUGAAGCAUAAGGUAGCUACACCUUACCACCCUCAAACUCAUGGACAAGUUGAGUUAGCAAACAGGGAGAUUAAAAACAUAUUGAUGAAGGUGGUGAACACAAACAGAAAAGAUUGGUCAGUCAAGCUUCUUAAUUCACUAUGGGCAUAUAGAACAACUUACAAGACCAUUCUCGGGAUGUCUCCUUAUCGCCUAGUUUAUGGCAAAGCAUGCCAUCUCCCUGUGGAAUUGGAAUACAAAGCUUGGUGGGCAAUCAAGAAGCUCAACAUGGAUUUGAGCAGAGCUGGGUUGAAGAGGUUCUUAGACCUUAAUGAGAUGGAGAAAUUGAGAAAUGAUGCCUACAUCAAUUCAAAAAUUGCAAAAGAAAAAUUGAAGAGGUGGCAUGAUCAGUUGAUUUCCCGCAAGGAUUUUCAAAAUGGACAAAGAGUCUUACUUUAUGACUCUAAACUCCACAUCUUUCCGGGCAAGCUGAAAUCAAGGUGGAUAGGUCAUUUUACCAUUCACCAAGUGCAUUCAAAUGGAGUAGUGGAACUACUCAACUCCAACAAUAUCGAGAACUUCAAAGUGAAUGGCCACCGUCUCAAGCCCUUUGUGGAGUCUUUUUCUCACAACAAGGAGAAAUUCAUCCUCCUUGAUCCACAUCAAGCUUAACAAGACCAAUUUUCUUGAUGGACUUAGUCUUUCUAAAGACUAUCGAGUCCAUAACUUUUUGUUUUAUUUUUUAUUUGAGAUUUUUUCGGUAUUGUUACUUGUUUUGUUUUUUAUUUUUCGUUUUAAUUUUAUUUGGUUUGAUUUAACUUAGGUUUUUGAUGAUCAAUUACAGGGGGGAUUUCAAAUAGAGGAAAAACCAAGAUAAUUCGCACACCCUACGAAAAUUUCGCAAGGCAUGCGAAAUUUAUGGCUUAUUUUGCAUGGGGUGAAAAUUUUCGUACAUCUUACGAACCAAUUUCGAACACUUUGCGAAAAUAAACCAACCCUGCGAAAUCAUUUCGAUUACUCUACGAAAUUUUCGUAGAGCAUGCGAAAAAUUUAGCACACCAAACACCAUUUCGCAUACUAUGCAAAAACCUAAGGGGUCUGCGAAACCAUUUCGCACCUCCAAAUCCAUUUCGCACAUUGUGCGAAAACCAAGAGGCGCUGUGCGAAAAUGAAAAGUCGCCCUGUCAUCCCUUUUUAAACCCCUCGAGCCCUAAAAUCUCCAUUUCGCAAGCACCCCUGUCCUUGCGAAUCCCUCAUUUUCCUCUACUACCUUGCAACCUCGUCCCUUUCCAUUUGAUAUUGUGCCCCGCGCACAUCUCAUUUCAGAGACUCGCACUCCGCGCCCCCUCAAAGCAUGGACUCGAGACCCACCUUCCAUUUCCGACGUGGCACGGACCCAAGGAGCCCUUUCUGCCCCUUCACUAAGACACACACCAAGGCAGAAAGCCUCCUUUGCUCAAGUGCCUAGUGAUUCUCCAUCUUAGGCCUCAGAGGCCUCGGAGGCCCCGUGGAUUCCACCUUCCGAGGGUAGAGCAGCCAUUGGUCCUUCCUCUUCUACUCCUUAGCGUAGAUACGAGACGAGGAGACCACCUACUACACAAGGGGCGACUACUUCGAGCCUUGAGAAUUCAGUACGAUGCCUUCCUGCCAAGAGGGUCAAGACUUCAGGUCCAAGUGAGUCAUCCAGAGCUUCAUAGCCUAAGCCUCCUGUAGAUUCCAAGGUUCCUACUGACAUAUCACCGGAGUCUAUUAUCAGAAGCCCGAUGCUCAUAGCACCGCCCAUUGAGGGCAACUCAGAUUAUAGAGCGAGAUCUUUCCACUUGGAGCUAUAUUUUGAUCAGGAGGCCAUACGACAGCAGCCUGAGCUCCGAGACUCUUAUGGCUUACUGCAGAGGUACCAUCUUGAGGAACUUAUGACUCCUCGUGAGUUUUUUUAUCCCAGAGUAGCACUAAACUUUUACCAGUCCAUGACUACUCGUGGCGUCCCGAGUCCUACCACGAUUCACUUCACCAUUGAUAGACGUCAUGGUAUCCUCAAGGCCAGACAUAUUACAGAGGCUCUACAAAUUCCUUUCGAGCUAGAGGAUCCAUCUGUUUUUCGCUAAUGGUCCCCAGUAUCUCAGAGGGACAUGGUCCGUAUUUUAUCUAGGGGAACAUCUACAGAUUCGAUCUUUCUACGGAAGGAGCUUCGACCUGGGAUGCUCCUCUUAGAUGUGGUGCUAUGCUCCAACCUCUUUCCCUUACAACAUUCGGUACAUAGGUGAUGAGCUAUUUUGGACGCUUUAUUCCGUAUAUCAGAGGGCUUCUACUUUGGCCCGCACCACUUGAUCAUGGUCUCCCUCAUCCACUUUGAGGAGAAGGUUCAUAGGAAGAAGCUUCAGAGGGUGGACACCAUUCCAUUACUAUUCCUGAGGUUACUUUGCCAGGUCUUGGAGUACAUGGGCUUUCCUACUGAGCCUCGGCUCGAGCUUUGCCGCCUUUGUCGAGAGUGAUCCACUCUCGACAAAUGGAAUUAGUUGGCGGGCUAUUCUGCACCUCCAGGAGCCCCUCCCAUGGUAGCACCUCCAAUGUCCCCACAGGCAAAGUAGGGCGAGCUCCCGGCAAAGACUGUACCACCAAUGCCCACACUUGAGGCUAUUUCUGCUGCUCUGCCUAUGACUCCUACUGUUCCACCAGUUGGUCCUUUUACAUCCGAGCCUUCCAUCACCAUCUCGGCUUCGGAGUUUCGCGCCCUUGUGCAUACCUUUCAGACACUCACCACCACACAUACUCCUCUCUUCUAGCAAAUGGUUGAGAUGUGUGCCCAUCAGGACCGGAAGACUACUAUACUCUGCCAAAUUCAGCAGCACCUAAGACUUUUGCCUCAACCUCAACCUAACCAUCCCAUAUCAUCAGAGCCUCUAGCUCCAACUGAGGAUACUAUUCCACCUGAGAACACUACCACAGUAGAGGUCCGGUUUCCACCACCUUAAGAGGCCACCACAGCUACAUCAGAGGAUGUGUCAUCUCCACUUGAGGCUCCCACUACUUGAUCAUAGGACAUAUCUUUAUCUUAUUGUAUUUACAUAUUAUAUUACUAGAGAUUUGUCCUUGUUUUGAUACUUUAUAUUCUGGGAUUGGAUGUAUUGCCUGAUGAUAUCUCAAUUGUACUUUCUCAUAUUAAUAUAUAGACAUCAAUUUUUUUUAGUAUACUUAGCAUUUUUCUAUUUCCUCUACUCAUUACUCUUUUGUUUUUUUUUACUCAUGUGGUUUCUCUUAUACAACUCAGACUCCAUUUCACUCAGGAGGUACCACUUCCUCCCUUUAUUUUCAAUUGCUCUUGAAAUAUUGAGUGCAAUGUUGAUCUUGGUUGGGGGGAGAGUUGAGGAAGGAAGUUUUGUUAAUAAUGCUAGGUUAAUUUGUUAAUUUAGUUACUUUCUGCUUAAUUUUAAAAGUUUUCACUCUACUUUCCAUGGUUAUUAAGGAAAAAUUCUCAAAAUGAAAUGGGAGAAAUCGAAUUCUUGCAUUUUUACUUGAAUCUUAGAAUUUGUAUCAUGCUUAUUAAAGUUGAUGAAUUAUUGAAACUCCUAUUGAAUUCAACCUUAUUUUUUCCACUUUAAUCUUACCACACACGGUGCACAUUAGGUUCCAGUUAUAAGAUAAAAAACUAUCUCACCCCCUAAACUUAGAAAAAUUUACACUUGGUACCUUUGACAUCGUUUUAAUAGUGUUGGGACACCUUAUAAAAGGCCAAUGAGCCUUUAAAAAAAAAAAAAAAAAAAAAAAGAGAAAGAACAAAGUAUUGCACUUGCCUUGAAACCUGAGCAAGAUCCGAGGGGUAUACAGUGAAAGUCUUUAAAACCUGGUGCCCUAAGCCUUGAUUGGUUGGGAGUCACCGACCUCAAUGCUCGUUAUAAGGGUGAAUAGGUGGAGUUUAACAUAUUGUAGGUGCUUGGGUAUUGAAUUUCAAUCUCAAAAGUCCGGGAAAAAAUCUAAGGAGUUAGUGGUCAAAAGAUCCUUAAAGCUUGAUGCCCUAAACCUUGAUUGGUUGAGAGUCAUUGAUGGAUCCCCGCUACAUGGACAUUUUAGAAAACAAUACCUUUAGCAUUGCACGCCUACAAUGAAAAAAAAAUGUGAAAUAAAAGAGGUGCGUUCUUAGCCUAUUGGAGGUUGGUCAGUUUGCUAAAGUUUGAGAAAUCUAGGUUGGGGGGAGAGAAUAGUCCGACAUACUAUAAUAAAAAACUAAUAACCUUAACACUUAGAUUUUUGUGGAAGAGUAAGGAUUGGACCUUUAGGGGUGGAAAUUCUUUUGAUGCUUAAAUUUGCAUAAUGCCUACUCUUUAUAAAUUAUGAUUAGGCAAGAGAUUUGAUGACUCUUGUUCAAAGUUGGGUUUUUCCUCUUUGAUGUUCCAUGAGAGAGUAUAAUCCUCAUCAUGCCACUUGAAAUCUUUUUGGAGUGAUUAACAUGAUUUUGUAAAUUAUUUUACUGUCUAUUUUUCUUUAUCUCUCUUUUAUUGCUAAUGGACUAGCAAUAUGUCAGUUGGGGGGAGUGAUUACUACUCAAAAAGUACUCUUUUAUAGCUUGAAACUAACUGUUUUAAACACUUUUGAGUAGGUGUUAAUACAUUUUAACUCAAUUGGCACAUUAAGGAACCUAACAAGGGUUACUAAUAAGUUUUUGGCAAGUUUUGGUGUUUUUGGUAGCUAUUUGAUCAUUGAAACAAGCCAAGAAUGAGGGAGAAUUUUGUGAAGUCCAUAGCAAUGCAAGUUAAAGCUCAAAUACAUGAAGAAUCCAAGCUUUGAAGCACUUCAUAGCCCUUUGCGAAGCCAAUCAGAGAUGCAAGGAAGAAAACCAGAGGAAAAAAUCCAACAACCAGCAUUUUCGCAUGGCUGUGCGAAAUUUUGCACACCAUGCGAAACCACAAGAAGUAGCCAAAGAAUUUUGCACACCAUGCGAAAUUUCGCAUGGUAUACGAAAUCUUCCUAUGCACCAACUCCGUUAUAUUUUUAUCUUCAGAUAUUUUGUGUAAUUUCCUAGUUUCUCCUUGUAACCAACCUAGAUAUUUUCUUUUAUAUCUUUUUUUUAUAUUUUUUAGGUAACAUCAUAUAUAGGGGGAGAGACAUAAGGAGGAUAUGGAUGUUUUUCAUAAAACACUUUUAAUUUUCUGGUAGUAAGAAAUAUACAAAGUUUUUUGCUCUGCCUUACCUUCUCAUUUUGUUUUCACCUAUCUUUCUAGCCAAACAACCUCUGAGAAUGAUUUCUCAGGGGAUGAGUAGUUAGGUUUUACGUUUCUUGGAGUGAGAGAAGCUAGGUGAAAGACCCAAAUGCUAAGGUGGGAGUUGUCCUUGCUUUAAAUGAAAGUAGUUGUUAAAUAUUAAUGGUUUUUAUUUUAAGGUUUAGCUUUAAAUCCCUUAAAAACACCUUGAAUGGCCAAUACUUGGUAAGCUUUUCGGAUUCUAUGGAUGCUUAUUGCUAGAUCCAUGGAUGUCAUUAGUUAUCAUUUAUGAGCCAUUGGAAGGUGGUUCAAGAUGAGAGUCUUUAGUGUUUGAAGCCAUUAAUGGGAAACAAUUACCAUUUUUUCAUGAAUCCUUUGGAUAAAAUCUUAAUUGCUAAAUAUAAAACUGGUUCGGGAGAUAACCAUCCUUUAUGUUAUUAUGCCCAAUGCAAGGAGAAGAUUUCGAAUCUUCUCAUUUGUCUAAGGAACCCGAUCCUAGUGACCUAAAGCUCCUAGAGACCUUUUCUUUGUAGUUAACUUCAUUUAUUGUUUUUGCUUAACUUAAAAUCAAUCUUUGCAACCACAAUUCCAUUUUCUUUAAAAGCUAAUUUUUAUAAGGAAAAGCACCAUUUUAUUUCCUUCACUAAGUCAACUGUAUGAUGAAAACCCAUCCCUGUGGACGAUCUUAGAGCCACUAUACUAUGUUAUCUAUGCUAUCCUAGUGUGAGGUGAUUUAGGUUUUAUAAAUUUUGUUGAUAACACCCGUCUGAGCCAGAAUCAAAUGGAACCACUGAACCAGGGACAAAUCAACAGCCUAUAUGGGAGGGACACAAGUUUAAUUGAUUUGCAUUUCAGCGUUAUAGAUAAGUAUGUUUUGGAAGAUUUGUUCUGGAAAUACUGCACCAAGUACGAUUCUUUUUCUCUUGAGUGAGUCCAUUUGCAUGCCAAUUAACGAGUUGAAAAGUAGGAGCACCUACCUCGUGCUCAUGGAACCGAAUGUCAGUGAAGUGGGGCUCCUUUUAGCCUCUUGUGUUUCUGUUCCAACCAAGGCGGCGUAGGGAAAAACAACAAUAUGUCUGUGCUAAAUAUCAACGCAUGAUAGAUGUUUUUUUUUUUUUUUUUGGUAUGUCAAGGCUAACGAAUGAAAUGCAUUAGCUUGUUUUGUGACUAUAACUGCAAAUGUCCAAAUUGGAGUAUCUCCAUUUCUCACUUCGGAUGGUUAACUUUAUAAACAAGAUAUAGGAAACAUGUGAACAUCUUGAGGAACAAUUCAAAUUAUUCAUUAGAAGUCCUGGGUUAAGUUCCAAGAUUUAAAUCAGACCCUUCUAGCAGCUUCAAGGGUACUUAGCAACCUAUAACAUAUUAAUGAAGAUUUAGGAUUUAGACUCCGGAAUACAAAUAAAUAUGUAUCUCAUGCUUUGACUAGCUUCCCUACAUAUGCAUAAAAUGGAGAUGACCCAAAAAAAAUAGCAGAAUCUAGCUUCCCUACAUAUGCACAAAAUGGAGAUGACCCAAAAAAUAGCAUAAUCGCCUUAGUUUCUGUGGUUAAGGUGAUUCUCCGCUUAAUAUCCACAUUGACUCAUUAUGCAAAAUCAACUGAGCUAAUUUUAUUUAUUUAUUUAAUGUCAAAUAGGAACUCCUAAUUAACUGAUUACUGUCGAAAAGUGCUAUUUUGUAGACCUAAUUAUAAGGGUUUUAAGCACCUUUGAGUAGUAAUCAUAUUCAUUUAACCUAAUUAAUUCAUUAAGCUCCUUAGUAAUUAGUUCUAACCAUUUUUAGUGGCAAGUUUACAUGUUUUUCAUCAGCUUAUGAACCAAUUCAAGCAUGCCAAUUGAUGGAGGAGCUACUUGGGCGAGUUAAGCAAGGAUUUUGGACGUUUACAGGCUUGAAUUUCAAGUGGAAACACGAGCACAAGCAAUGGGAACACCAUUUCGCAAGGGGAGGCAAUUCACCUUGCCAAAUGACCAAUUUCGCAAGGGGAUUUUCCUCAUGGUGCAAAAUUUGGUCAUUUCGCACCAUGAAGAAACCACCUUGCAAAAUUUCGCAAGGUGGAUUUAGGCACCUUGCGAAAUGCCAAAUUUCACAAGGUGGCUUUUCACCUUGCGAAAUUUGGACCUUUCAUCUUCCCCCCUUGCGAAAUGCCUUUGAAAUCCCCUGUUUUGAGACGCUGUUGAUGAUAUUCCACUGCCGGUUCUCCAAGAUAUUUUGCUUGACUUUUAGCUUUAUAAAUACCUAUUUUACCCUUGUAAUCAACCAAUGAAAAGGUUGCUUUUGUAAUAGCUCUUGUAAUUUAGCUUUUUAUUGUCUUUAAAUAGAGGUGAAGAGCCUCAGACACGAUCAUCUUGUAACCUGUAACUUUAUAAGUUAUAAGAGCACUUUUGUUCAUACGCUUCUUUUCUCUUUUCUUUCUCAUUUUCUUAGUAGCCAAACAUCCUUGGAGGAUGAAAUCCCCAAGGAUGAGAGGCUAAAACCUUUUAGUUUCUUGAAGUAAUGGAUGCCAUGUGAAGCUCCCGUGUCAGGAUGGAGAUUUCCAAGCCAUAAAUGUAAGUAGCUGAGCGUCAUAAAUGUUUUCAUUCAAAGUAAAGCUUUUAAUCCCUCUGACUUGCUUUGAAUGGCCAAUACUUGAUAACCUUUUGGUCUCAAUGGAUUCUUAUUGUUAGAUCCACUGACGUUCAUUAGUUAUCUCCUACGAGCCAUUGUAUUGCAAGUCGAGGAGAUGACCUAUACCAAUAAAAGAGCAUUUAUGAGGUUCAACUACCCUUUUUGUAAGUUUUCAAGGACUAAAACUCAGUUGUUAAACUCAUACCGGUUCGAGAAGUAAGCAUCACCUUAGUUGCUUCCCCAACUCGAGGUGAAAAGUCCCAAAAUCUCCAUUUUUACACAGUGAGUUAAGCAUGGCUAUCCAAAGCUUUAAGAAACUUCUUUUUCCAUCUUUUAACCUAUUUUCAUGUUAGUUUAGUUUACAACACCUUCAUCUUUUUAUGUUUUCAUCUUAACCUAAUUUUUAUUAAGAAAAGUUCACUCCAUCCUCCGAACUUCACCAGUUAAAGUAAAAACCCUUCCCAGUGUUCGAUCCUAGAGCCACUAUGCUAUAGUAGCUUUGCUACUUUAGUGUAAGGACCUUAGGUAUAAAUUUUGUUGAUACCCUUACAUGCCAAGCUACCAAGAGUCGGGUUAUCAUUAACCUAACCAUUGGCCUGUGUAAAUUGAUUUCACAUGCACAAUGUUGUAGUAGAAGUCCAUAUUUUGAAUUUUAUUUUUGUAAAGGUAAGGAAAAUGAAGCAUUGUGUAAUUAUAAAAAUAACUUCAUUGGAAUUCACAAGGUUCACCCAAAAUGGAGCUACAUCUGUAUUCUAUCCUACAGUAGACUAUAUAGAUUGUACAAUAGUAAAUUGCAAAUACAAUUAAUAAGUCUUGUGCUUCCUUACUAAUAAUCCUUUGACAUGAACAUUGCAGCACUAAGGUCCUCUUGGGAAGACACCUUGCACCCAUGAGAGCACUAAGAGGAAGCAAGGCAGAGUCAUGGGUGCAAUGUCAUGACUUGUUGUUGCACCAAGAGAGGCUUGGUGAUGCCAUGGUGUUGCAGUAGCAAGAAUGUUGCCUUGGCAGGGACACGAUCUAGGGAUAGAUGCCAAGAAAGGCUUAGCACUCACAUGAGUUGCACAAAGAUGAAUGUAAUAGAGCAUCAGAGAGACGUCUUGGCAAGUAAAUGAAUGGAUCCAAGAGACAACAACAUGAGGAGUUUCAAAUGGAUAAGGAAUGACUCAAAGACAUUUGAAAGCUACAAGUUGGAUUCUAAUUACGAUUGCAAUUUGAGUUUGAGUAGGAGUUUAGAUUUUGAUUGUAAUUGUAGUAUGAGUUGGACUAGGAUUGCUUAUCCUUAGUCAAUAUAGGAGCGGUUCGUGUCACCCUAUGAAAAGAGUUUGAGUAGGGACUAGGAUUGCUUACUCCUAGUCAAAUAUGGAGUAGGUGGUGCCACACCUAUAAAAAAAAGGGACAACAUGAGAGAGAGAGAGAGAGAGAAAGAGAGAGUGAAUUCACUAAAGAUAUUGUGGGAGUUUUGCUUUGUUACGUCUUGUAUUAUUACUUAGAAUAGGAAUAAAAUACAAGUUGGGGCUAGAGCCCCAUAAUUAAUCUCGUGUGCCUUUGUGGUUAUUCUUUAUUUGUCAUCUCGUGUGGAUUGGAUUAGGUUGACUUAGAGGGCUUCUAAGCACCACCUUUGUGGGUUAUUAUUUAUUUUCCAUCUCUUGUGGAUUAGAUUAGGUUGACUUAGAGGGCUUCUGAGCACCACCUUUGUGGGUUAUUAUUUAUUUUCCAUCUAUUGUGGAUUAGAUUAGGUUGACUUAGAGGGCUUUUAAGCACCACAUUUGUGGGUUAUUCUUUAUUUUCCAUAUCGUGUGGGUUGGAUUAGGUUGACAAGGAGAAAAAUUAUGUGGGAAAUUUGUGUUGGGACACUUACCAUAACCAAGUAAAAUCUACCAAGUCCUUUGUAAUAUCUUCAACAAAUAUUUUAGACUAGUUCUUUCAGUUAGUGUAAAGGAGGAAGAAGUGGUAUUGAUUCUAGAAAUAGGGUGUGUGUAUUUGAACUACAAUCCUUAUGAUCCUUAGGUCUCUAAACCUUCGUGAUGGGCUCCCUGACAUUUCAUAGGUUGUGCUACACAUGCGUUUGAAAUUUAGAGUGCGUUUGACAGUGAUUCCGGGAAGUGUUUUUGGCCUUUCUUACACUUGAAAAUUUUUAUUUUUCAAGUAUUAGAAAUGCUACAAACACUUUUGAAAAUUACUGUCAAACACACUCUUAGGAGCGCACAUAUAUAGUAGAAAACUAGAAAUUGUGGUUUUUUUAGGAUUUACUGUAAUGUCAUUAGGAGGGUAGUAAGUUGAAAUUGAGUAUGAACAAAUAUUUCUUUCUUUGGGAUGUUCUUCUAGUAGGUGCUGAUGAAACUGUUCUUUCUACUGCCAAUGUCACAUAUCAGCCAGAAAUUGAAAAUUUCAGUCAAGGUGUCCUCUGUUUUAGUGGUGAGGAAAGCUAGAAAUUUUAAGGUGAAGUUUUGUUAAAAACCUUAAGUAGCUGGGAUAUCAGGCCUGUUUUGCUUGAAAAAAAAAGUUGCAAGAUAACUCAUAUGCCAAACAGGUUCUGAUAUUGUGAAUCUAUCGGCAGACAUCAGUAAUCUCAUCUUCUGAGAUGGAUGUUGGGGGUGCAUGUGGUGGUGGAGGGGCAAGGUUUCAUUUGGUUUAUUUUGUUGAUGGAUAUUGUCUAGCCACCUGCGCCAAGUUUGAGGGGUGGUGGGUUGUGAUGACCCUACAAUUACUAUUAAUUUCUUCAUCUUUUACCGAUUAAAGUGUCCGAACAGUCGAAGUUACCCUUAUGCAUGUCAACUUGAUCACUUACCUCUUCAAUGGAGUUUAUGCUGGUUCAUUUAGGAACUGAUUUUUAUUGUUAUGUAUUAUAUGCUGAUGUUUAGGUCUCUCCAUCAUCACUAUAUACAAAAAUUCUAGGUUGAUACUAUAGGUUGAGAUUUAUUUUUUAAAUAAAAAAUAAUAAAAAUAAAAAUUAUGGUGAUGUUUAGUUGUUUUAUGGAAAAUUUUAACAAGUAAAAGUUAUUUUUGGGCAAGUUUUCAAACAAAAAGAAAAGUAAAAGUUGUUUUGACAAAAACAUAUAGAAAAAAAAAUCAUAGAAAAUAAAUAAUUUCCCCAUAUUCUAACUUUUUUGAAUUUUUCUCAAUGGGCAAAGGAAUAUCAAAUCAAGUUUGAGUAGGAUUUCUUAAUUUUUAAAAUAACUUACAAUUAAAAAAUUUUGGUGUUUUCAUUUUUGGACAAUUUUUUAUUAAGCAAAUGGACUCUGAGUCAUGCAAGAGAUAUGGUUCAUUAACCGGUCGAACAAUUUUUUUAAAUUAAUUUAAAAGUCAAAUACAUAAUCAAUUUCACAAAAUUUAUAAACAAAAAUAGGUUUAGAGAAGAUCUACACAUAAUUUUACUUUUCUAAUUUUAUUUUAUUUUAUUUUUUGUUGGAAAAUAGUCUUCAAAUCAUGUAAGAUUUAAUAGGUUAAAUUUGUUAACAAUAAAUUUUAAAUUAUAAAAUAUAAUCUGGAACUCAAAAAUCAAUUCAAGUAAUGCUAAAAAAAAAUCAAAUUUGGUAUAGAAUGACUUUGUAAAUUUUUUUACAAAACAAAUGAAUUUUAAAUCAAGUGAGAUUUAAUGCAUUAGAUUUUUAUCAAAUAUAGUAAUUUUAAAAAUAAAUUUGGAACUCAACAAUAGACACAAUAAAUACCAAAAAAUAAUGAACCAAAAUUGGUUUGGAAUAACUCCACAACCUUUUUUUUUUUUUUUUGGUGCACACGAAUUUUCUUACUAGGUAUAUUGCUUUCAAAUUGAGAAAGAUUUACCAUUUAGAUUUUUUUUUAAUGAGUUUAAUGGUAUUUUAAAAUAAUUCAAAAUUUAAAAAAUUGACUAAUUAAUAUUAUAAAUUGAUAAACCAAGACUAUUUCAAAAUGCAUUGGGGGCUAAGGGGGUUGAAAAUAGGGACAAUGGGAUGGGUUUGGGACAUGACACUCAUAUCUCAUUUCCAUUCCAAUUACACAGUUAUCUCCCAUCCUUAUCCCAAACUUGUGUUGGAGCAAGUUGAUUUGUUCCCAUCUUUGUUGACGAAAUGACUAAUAACCUCAUCCCCUCCUUAUCUUAGAUGUACAUUUUGUCAAAUUUGAUCAGGUAUGAUUGAUCCAAGCCCUAACCCUAAUUGGUAAUGAGUGAAUACUACACCUAAUUGCAUUCUUCUUUCAUUGCAAAAUAAUGAGAUUAUAAUAAUCUAGCAAAUAAGAAAAAAUAGUAUGGAAGUUCAAAUUAACACCAUAACUAUCAAUAAUUUUAAGCUUAUAGAUGACUUAAAUGAUUAAAAACUAAUGCAAAAUCCUAAAAAAAAUAAAAAUCAUAUAAAGAAUUCACAAGAGAACAGAAUGAACAAAAACCAAAUAUGAACAUGGGUCAACAUUAGUUAUGGAUUUGGAUUCCUUUCAAGGCCAAUCUUUGAACCAAGACUUCAUCAAAUCAACUACUUCAAAGGCUUUUGUGUUCUUCUUGGGUUGUGCUCUCAAACAAAGACUUCGAGGUGAUGUUCUAGAUGAUUGAAUUACACAUAUUUAGGGUGGAGAGAUUGGAGAAGCUUGAAGAUGCCAACGAUGGGUACAAUUGAGUGGUCAAUAAGAACAAUGUAGCCUAUGACUAGUUUGAUGUCAUGGUACAAGAGUUUUAGGCAUUGAGGUUAAAGCAAGAGCAACAUGGAAUUGAUUUCGGAGUCUUUCAGUUAGUGUAAAGGAGGAAGAAGUGGUGUUGAUUCUAGAAAUAGGGUUUUAAGUGGUGCGUGAUUACUACUCAAAAAGUGCUAUUUGAUAGCCUUUAAUUAAUCCUUUUUAACACUUUUGAGUAGUAGUUUAGGCCUUUUAACUCAAUUGGCAUGUUAAGGAUCCUUUAAAGCAAUUUUGAUCACUUUGUGCAAGUUUUGGUGUUUUUGUUAGUAUUUUGAUCACCAAAGCAAGUCAAGAAUGAGGAGAACUAUGAGGAAUCAUGGGCAAAGCUUAGAAUUCAAUUGCCAAGAGUGAAUCCGGAUUGCAAGGAGAAAAAGCAAAGAGAAUCUGUCAUGAAGCCUAUUCUUGAUGACAGUCGUAGCAGCCACUUUUGGAGCACUUUCUGAAGUCCAAAUGAUGCAAGCUAUAUACCAUUUCAAAGAUCAGGAAGUCAACAAUCCAAUGCUUCAAACGGUGCGCGAUUCGGAGUUGAAACGAAGAAGUUGCAGCCAUUACAAGCCAGUCACUCUAAAGUGUUGCGGAAUCAGCCUUUUGUUGCGAGAAUUUCGCAGCACUUUUGUACAGUAAGGUGUUUCUCCUUCUGACGAUGCACGAACCAUGCCGCGAGAGGGAAGCUAGGAACUUCAAGAUGGAAGCCAACUUUGCAGCCUGGUGAAGAUAGCUUGGUCUUGCGAAAUAAUUUCGCAGCCCUCUUGGGUGUCUGCGAAAUUUCGCAGGCACCACUUUUUUCCUGCGAAAUGGCUCCGGAAGCCUCCCGAAGCUUGCUACCGACAUUGGGAGAUAUUUUCCAUUAGAUUUUUGUUGUCUAAAUUCCAAAAUACUCCUUGUAAACCACCAAUUACAUGAUUCCUUAGUUUUUAAGUUAGUAAAAAGACCAAAUAUCUAUGUAAUAAUUAGUUUUAUAUUAGUUUGCUAUAAAUACCUCUCGGGAGCAUGUUCUCAGAGAGGAGUUCCUUCUGUAACCAUUUUGGUAAGCAAGUAAAGUCUUUUCUUUCUACUGCCUUACCUUCUCACUUUGUAUUUUCAUUUUAUUUCUAAGUUAUGAAUUCUCUGAGGAGCUUUCCCCAGAGAAUGAGUAACUAAACCUCCAAUUCCUUGGAGCUAAGGUUGCCGGGGAAGGUUCCAAGUGCAAGAAUGCAAAGCUCUGUGGUUUUAGCUAGUAAUGAAGAGGAAGUGAAAUCCUUUAGUGAUUUCAAUGUUUUUAGUUAACUUAAAACACCUUGGAGUCACCUGGGCCAACACUUGGUAAGGCAAGUGAUUUCCAACCGUGGAAAUGCACUAGUUUACCCCUUGCGAGCCUCUGGUAGGUGACUUCAAGGUAGGAUUUUCUGGAAUUACCAACACUUGGUAAGCUUUUGGACUCCUAGGAGACAUCCAUUAGUUAUCUCUUGCGAGUUUGUGAAGGGGAAUCCAAGGUUAAAGAUCACCUUGAAUGGUAAGUGCUCGUGAGAGGCAUGAACCAUUGCAAGUUGUAUCAGUGAGAGAAUUAAAGUGAAAUCUAAUUGAAGGAGUCUCUGUACAUCACCGGUUAGAGAAUUGACUAUAAGUUGAAUCUCUAAUGCGAGGAAAUGAACCAUCUGACCGGAGCUAUGUCUUUUGCAUGAGGAACCACCCCAGUGAACCUAAAUCUCCAAGGAAUGCUUUUCUUCCUAAAUUAUUCCAAACUUCUGUUAAGUUAGUUAGUUUAAGUCUAAACCUUUACCAAUCAAACUUUGUGUUUUAUUUCUUAAGCUAACCGUGAAAUGAAACAAAACCAAUUCACUUGGAAUUGGUAUCCUUGAUUGCUUGCAAAUCAUUCCCAGUGAACGAUCCUUAGAGCCACUAUACUAUAGUAGCUUUGUAUUUGCUACCCUAGUGUAUGGUGUUAUAGGUAUAAAUUUUGUUGAUCACUUCCUCAAUCAAGGAACACCAGCUGAACACAAAUCAGCUGAGACACCAAUUGGGCAUGAGUCAAAUGGCGCCGUUGCCGGGGAAUGAGUGUCAAGAUCAUUGUGAUACCAUUUUUGAGCACUUGUGAUUUUCAUCACAAGUUGGUAAAGUUUCUUUCACUUUACUAAUUUUCAUUCUCUCUUUGUUUAUUUACAAUCUAAGUUUAUCUUUUUAAAAUUUAGUCUAGUUUAAUUUUGCUAUUGUAGCCUUGUUUCUCUUGUUGUCCUCUGUUCUUGUUGUCCUCUGUUUUCAUUUUAGUUGCAGCUGAAUACUAGUUGUGUAUGCCAAAGUGGAUACGAGACAUUGGAGGUAGGCUUAUUAAGUGUGAUACACCUCAGAGAGGAGAAUUGGAAGUAAUCUUGAAUAUCAUGGAGGCUGCACCUGAAGAUCAGCAUAGUCACCAAGGUCGUCAAGACAAUCUCAAUGAAUUCAGAUCAAUGAGGGACCGUAUGCAUCCACCUCGUAUGAGUGCACCAUCAUGUAUAGUGCCCCCUACAGAGCAACUAGUGAUCAGACCAUAUCUUGUUCCACUUCUACCAACUUUCCAUGGGAUGGAAAGUGAGAAUCCGUAUGCACACAUCAAGGAAUUUGAAGAUGUUUGUAAUACAUUCCAAGAGGGAGGAGCUUCAAUUGAUUUGAUGAGGCUUAAGUUAUUUCCUUUUAAUUUAAAGGAUAAGGCCAAAAUUUGGCUUAAUUCUUUAAGGCCAAGGAGUAUCCGCUCUUGGACUGAUUUACAAGCUGAAUUCCUCAAGAAAUUUUUUCCUACUCAUAGAACAAAUGGCUUGAAAAGGCAAAUUUCAAACUUCUCAGCUAAAGAGAAUGAGAAAUUCUAUGAGUGUUGGGAAAGAUACAUGGAAGCUAUAAAUGCUUGUCCUCACCAUGGCUUUGAUACUUGGCUACUGGUGAGUUAUUUUUAUGAUGGUAUGUCCUCCUCAAUGAAGCAACUCCUCGAGAAAAUGUGUGGAGAAGAUUUCAUGAGCAAAAAUCCAGAGGAAGCUAUGGAUUUCUUGAGCUAUGUAGCUGAUGUUUCAAGGGGAUGGGAUGAACCAACUAAAGGAGAAGUGGGAAAGAUGAAGUCUCAGUUGAAUGCUUACAAUGCAAAGGCUGGGAUGUAUACUUUAAAAGAGGAUGAUGACAUGAAAGCAAAGUUGGCAGCUAUGACAAGAAGAUUGGAGGAGCUGGAGCUGAAAAGAAUGCAUGAAGUGCAAGCUGUUGCUGAAGCACCAGUGCAAGUGAAGUUGUGUCCCAAUUGUCAAUCGUUUGAACAUUUGGUAGAGGAAUGCCCUGCAAUUUCAGCUGAAAGGGAAAUGUAUAGAGAUCAAGCAAAUGUUGUUGGACAAUUCAGGCCCAAUAACAAUGCUCCUUAUGGAAAUACCUACAAUUCAAGUUGGAGGAAUCAUCCAAAUUUUUCAUGGAAGGCCAGAGCAACUCAAUACCAACAGCCGGAUCCACCAUCUCAACAAUCUUCAAGUAUUGAACAAAUAAUAGCUAAUCUCAGCAAGGUAGUGGGAGAUUUUGUGGGAAAGCAAGAAGCCACCAAUGCUCGAGUGGAUCAAAGAAUGGACAGAGUGGAUCAAAGAAUGGACAGAAUGGAGAGUAUGUUGAACAAAAGAAUGGAUGGAAUGCAAAAUGAUAUGAAUCAAAAAUUUGAUAACAUCCAAUAUUCAAUUUCAAGGCUUACAAAUUUGAAUACACUGCAAGAAAAGGGAAGAUUUCCUUCUCAACCUAACCAAAAUCCCAAAGGUGUCCAUGAAGUGGAAAGCCAUGAGGGAGAAUCAUCACAGGUGAAAGAUGUGAAAGCUUUGAUCACUCUAAGGAGUGGUAAGAAAAUUGAGCAGCCAACACCCAAGCCACAUGUUGAGAAAGAAGAAGAGAUGAAGAAAGGGAAGGAAAUGGAAGAUAAAGGCAGUGAGAUCAGUGAAGAAAAGAAGGACUCUGAUGCAACAAUGAAAGUAAUUCCAGAGAAGGAGCUUCUGAAGGAAGAAAUGCUGAAGAAAUCAACUUUUCCACCUUUUCCUCAAGCAUUACAGGGGAAAAAGGGGGUUAGAAAUGCAGCUGAAAUCCUAGAAGUAUUGAGGCAAGUGAAAGUUAAUAUUCCACUGCUGGAUAUGAUCAAACAAGUUCCAACGUAUGCAAAAUUCCUAAAGGACUUGUGUACUAUCAAAAGAGGGUUGACUGUAAACAAGAAAGCCUUCUUGACUGAGCAAGUAAGUGCAAUCUUACAGUGUAAGUCUCCUUUGAAGUACAAAGACCCUGGAAGUCCUACCAUUUCAGUCAUGAUUGGAGGAAAGGUAGUGGAGAAAGCCUUGCUAGACUUGGGAGCAAGUGUGAAUUUGCUUCCAUAUUCUGUCUACAAGCAACUGGGACUUGGAGAGUUGAAGCCAACAGCAAUCACUUUGUCUCUGGCAGAUAGAUCAGUGAAAAUUCCAAGAGGGGUAAUUGAGGAUGUAUUGGUUCAAGUAGAUAAUUUCUACUAUCCUGUAGAUUUUGUUGUUCUUGAUACAGAUCCUACUGUAAAGGAAGCUAAUUUAGUUCCUAUCAUCCUUGGAAGGCCAUUUCUUGCAACUUCAAAUGCAAUCAUCAACUGUAGAAAUGGGCUUAUGCAACUCACUUUUGGUAACAUGACACUGGAUCUAAAUAUUUUCUAUAUGUCUAAAAAGCAAAUCACUCCAGAAGAAGAAGAGGGUCCAGAAGAGCUAUGUAUUAUUGAUACUUUGGUGGAGGAGCACUGCAAUCAACAUAUGCAAGAUAAGUUGAAUGAAAGUUUUGUGGAUAUUGAGGAAGGUUUUUCUGAAUCUCCUAAUGGGCUUGCUACUCUACAAAGUUGGAGAAAGAUAGAAGGAAUUCUACCUUUGUUCAAUGAAGAAGAGGAGGCAGCUGUUGAAAAAGAAAUUCCAAAACUCAAUCUGAAGCCUUUACCUAUGGAGCUGAAAUAUACAUAUCUUGAAGAAAAUAAUCAAUGUCCUGUCGUAAUAUCUUCAUCUCAAACCAAGUCUCAAGUGAAGGAUGCAAGCUUCAAAUGGGAUCCGGGCAAACUGAAUCAGGAAGGGCAAAAAGUUUUGAUGUAUGACACAAGACUCCAUAUCUUUCCUGGGAAGCUCAAGUCAAGGUGGAUUGGUCCAUUUGUUAUUCACCGAGUAUAUUCCAAUGGAGUGGUGGACUUAUUGAAUUCCAAUGGCAAGGACAGCUUUAGAGUCAAUGGAUAUCGUCUUAAGCCGUUCAUGGAGUCAUUCAAAUCAGAAAAGGAGGCAAUCAACCUCCUUGAACCUCAAAAAGCCUAAGUGAAAUGGGUUUGCUGGACGUGGUUUUACCACAGUCCAAAAAUUUUUGUAAAUUUUGUAAAUUUUCAAGUUGUUUCCAUGCUUUUAAUCUUAGUUUUUGAUUUUAAAUCAUGUUUUUAGGUGUGUUUUAAUCGUUUUAUAUGAUCCCAGGCGGAAGAAAUUUCAAGGGGAUUGAAAAGAAAAAAAUCGGGUCGAAAUUGGAGCCGAAACAGAGCAAAAACAGGGGAAAAACAGAGCUCUGCGAAAUUUCGCAGGGUGAAGGAAACUUCUGCGAAAUUGGCAUUUUGCUGCCAAACCAUUCCGCAGCACUGUAGAAGCCUCUGCGAGUGUAUUUCGCAAUUGCGAAAGUGGAUUUGGCACACGAGUGCCACUUCGCAGCACAGUGACAUCAAUUUCGCAGCUGCGAAACUCACUGCGAAGUUGCUGCGAAAAUGGCAAGUUGCUGCGAAAUUGGCGUUUUGUUGCGAAACGUAAUCUGACCCCUGGGCUUCCGUUUUUCCUAUUUAUACCUGUCAAAAGUGCUGCGAAAAAGGUUUCAAAAAUUAGAGCACCAUUCUCGCAGCCCUUUCAUCUUCUUCGCCAAGCCACGCCGUCCGUUUCUCCGGUCGUCUUCUCCGUUUAGCAGCGCCGGCCAAAGAUCGAUAGCCCAAAAAUGGCACGAACGCGAGGGGCAAAGUCUUCAUCCCCUUCGAACCGCAAAAGGAGUCUGCGAAAGGAGCCAAGUUCAGGCUCUGUUCCAGAACCUGCUCCAAAGCCUUCGCCGUCGAGACCACAACCUUCUCCAGUGAAGCCGGCGCCACCAAAGCCGCCGGCAAGGCGAUAUUUAACCAGGUCAGGUGGUCAGCCAUUGAAGAAGAAAGCCAGAGUUGAGAGCUCUGAACCAAUCGAUUUGACUGAGCAAUCCCCUGAGAAAUCACCAAAUCCUUCACCGGUACAAAUUCCAGUGCCAUCACCGGUUCCCUCGCCAAUUCCCUCACCAGAAGCAACUCCAAUUCCAUCGCCGGUACCAUCUCCGGCACCCCAAGAAAAAGCUCAGGAGCCUCAAGCGCCAAUUCCAGAGCCCCAAAUUGCAGCUGAAGCACCUCUGGAAGAAGUGAUCCGAAGGCCAAUGCUGCCUCAGCCCCCAAUCGAAGGAAACCUGGAUUGCCGAACUCGGGCAUUCCAUUCUGAGCUUUGCUUCGAUUUAACAGCAUUCAGAGUGAGGCCAGAGCUUGCCCAAUCCUUCCAACUGCUGAGGAGAUAUCAUAUGGAGCAUCUGCUAGCUCCAAGGGAUUUUUUCUAUCCCCGGGUAGUCACGGAUUUCUACCAAACCAUGACAACCAAAGAAGUAAGAAAUCCAACUCUGAUUCAUUUCAUAAUUGAUGGAAGGCAUGGUAUUUUGGGAGCAAGACAUAUUGCUGAAGCCCUGCAAAUUCCUUUUGAGCCAACUCAAUUCGACAAUUUUAAAGCUUGGACAAAUCCUACUGAGUUAGAGAUGGUUAGCACACUAACCAGAGGAGCUGCAAAUCGAUCGCAUUUGUUGAGGGGGGAGCUACCUCCAGUUAUGUUUUUGAUUGAUGCCUUUUUGAGGCAUAAUAUCUAUCCCCUGCAGCAUUGGACCCAAAGAAGGGGAAUUCUCCUAGAAGCCUUGUACAAAAUGUCUGAAGGAUUCUUCUUUGGGCCUCAUCAUCUGAUCAUGGCAGCCCUUCUAUACUUUGAGGAGAAGGUUCACAAGAAGAAGCUUCAAAGAGCAGAUUGCAUUCCACUCCUCUUCCCAAGGCUGCUAUGCCAAGUUUUGGAGCAUCUCGGAUACCCCUCUGAGCCUCAGCAGGAAAGAAAGAGAAUAUGCCGUGAGCCUUUUACCCUUGAUAAAUGGAAUAAUAUGACGGCCUACAAAAUUGAUCAGCCUGGGCAGCCUCAGCCAGCAGCAAGGAGAGUCUCCCCAAGACAUAUACCUGAAGGUAUAACACUUGCUACUCCUGCCAUCCCUCGAGCUCCACCAGCUGCACCUGCUCCAUCACAGCCAUCCACAUCAGCUGAGCCGAGGAUGGCCAUCCCUAUAUCCGAAUAUCGAGAGCUGUGCCGUGCAUUGGAGACUCUUACAGCUUCUCAGAGCAAUCUUGCUCAGGAGUUGGCAGCCAUUAAAGCAUGCCAGGAGCAGAUGUUAGCCUCUCAGACUCAACAAGCUGCCAUCCUAAGGCAGCUUCAAGUCCAUUUCGAUCUGCCACAAGCUGUAGAGCCCUCUAUUCCUACUCCACCAGAGCCACACUCUCAGCCUUCAGAGUCUCAUCCUCCAGAACCCGAAGCACCAGCUGAUCCACCUACUGAGGAGGCAGAUCCUUCUGCCUAGCACCAUCACCCCCCUCAUCAGACAUUAUAUAUAUAUUUGCUGUUUAUGUUUUUAUGCAUGUUUGUUUUGUUUUAGUUGAAAAGAAAUCCCAGUAUUUUGGUACUAUAUAUGGGAUUCCUUGUGUUACUUGUCUUUAGUAUUGUAAUCACAUGAACUCAAAGUAAUACAAGUUGACUAUUUCUUGUUAAAAGUUAGCAUUAAAGUUUCCUUAUUUCCUUUUCUCACAUAUUCUAUUCUUUUUGAAACAUGUGGUUUUCCCCAAUCAAUAUUCGAAUUUGAUAUCAGCAUGGAGGUACCACUUCCUCCCUUUUAUUACAGUCACUCAAAUCACAUUGAGGACAAUGCUCAGUUCGGUUGGGGGGUAUGAGGAAGGAAGUAUUCUAAACCUUUUUGGUAUUGCAAUUAUAUUGGUUAAUUAGUUGUAGAUUUUACUUUUUACUAGUGUUACUCUAUUCUCCAUGAAUUUUGAGGAAAAAUUUUCAAAUUAAACCAAGAGAAAUUGAACUGUUGUUUUUCACUUGACUUAGAGUAUGGAUUAUGCUUACUAAAGUGGUUCAAUUGUUGAAACUUCUACUGAAAUUGAAUUGAGUUCUUCCACUUUAAGCUAUCCACACACUGUGCACAUUAGUUUCCGAUUAUAAGAUGAAAAGCUAUUUCCCUCUUGACUUAGUAUAUUUUUGGGACUUGGUAUAUUUGACCUCAUUUGAUAAAAAUUGAAACACCCUGCAAAAGGCCAAUGAGCCUUUGAAAUAAAGAAAGUUGUUUGCUUGCCUUGAAACCCGAGCAAGGUCUGAGGGGUAUAUGGUGAAAAUCUUUAAAGCCUGGUGCCCUAAGCCUUAAUUGGUUGGGAGUCACCGACCUCAAUGCUCGUUACAAGGGUGAAUAGGUAGAGUUAGCAUAUGGUAGAUGCUUGGGUAUUAGAAAUUCAUUCUUAAAAGUCCGGGGAAAAAUCCGAGGAGUUAGUGGUUGAAAGAUCCUUAAAACUUGGUGCCCUAAACCUUAAUUGGUUGGGAGUCAUCGAUGGACCCCCAUUACAUGGACAAGUCAGAAAGAGUACCCCAUAAAGCUACCUUAAAAAAAAAAAAAAAAAAAAAAAAAAAAAAAAAGAUGAAAGUGUGUUCUUUUCUUAUUGAUUUUGGUCAGUUUGCUAAAGUGUUGAAAAGAGAUAGGUUGGGGGGUGAGAUUAGUAGCAUAUUAUUCUCGGAACCUAAGGAACCAAUACACAUAGAUUUUUGUGGAAGAUUGAAGUUUAGUUCUUAGAAAAUGAAAUGAUUUUAAAACUUCAGUUUGCAUAAUGCACUCCCUUGAUUGACAGUGUUUAGCAUAGGUGUUAUGACUCUUGUUGAGAUUUGGGUUUGUAUUUCUUUAAUGAUUCAUGUGAGAAAUAGAUCAUCAUGCCACUUGAGAAUUAUUUUCCUUUUAGCAUGAUGUUGUAAAUUUUAGAUUAGUUUGCUAUUUAUUUUUUAUUUUCUCUCCUAUAUUGCUAAGGGACUAGCAAUAUGUCGGUUGGGGGGAGUGAUUACUACUCAAAAAGUGCUAUUUGAUAGCCUUUAAUUAAUCCUUUUUAACACUUUUGAGUAGUAGUUUAGGCCUUUUAACUCAAUUGGCAUGUUAAGGAUCCUUUAAAGCAAUUUUGAUCACUUUGUGCAAGUUUUGGUGUUUUUGUUAGUAUUUUGAUCACCAAAGCAAGUCAAGAAUGAGGAGAACUAUGAGGAAUCAUGGGCAAAGCUUAGAAUUCAAUUGCCAAGAGUGAAUCCGGAUUGCAAGGAGAAAAAGCAAAGAGAAUCUGUCAUGAAGCCUAUUCUUGAUGACAGUCGUAGCAGCCACUUUUGGAGCACUUUCUGAAGUCCAAAUGAUGCAAGCUAUAUACCAUUUCAAAGCUCAGGAAGUCAACAAUCCAAUGCUUCAAACGGUGCGCGAUUCGGAGUUGAAACGAAGAAGUUGCAGCCAUUACAAGCCAGUCACUCUAAAGUGUUGCGGAAUCAGCCUUUUGUUGCGAGAAUUUCGCAGCACUUUUGUACAGUAAGGUGUUUCUCCUUCUGACGAUGCACGAACCAUGCCGCGAGAGGGAAGCUAGGAACUUCAAGAUGGAAGCCAACUUUGCAGCCUGGUGAAGAUAGCUUGGUCUUGCGAAAUAAUUUCGCAGCCCUCUUGGGUGUCUGCGAAAUUUCGCAGGCACCACUUUUUUCCUGCGAAAUGGCUCCGGAAGCCUCCCGAAGCUUGCUACCGACAUUGGGAGAUAUUUUCCAUUAGAUUUUUGUUGUCUAAAUUCCAAAAUACUCCUUGUAAACCACCAAUUACAUGAUUCCUUAGUUUUUAAGUUAGUAAAAAGACCAAAUAUCUAUGUAAUAAUUAGUUUUAUAUUAGUUUGCUAUAAAUACCUCUCGGGAGCAUGUUCUCAGAGAGGAGUUCCUUCUGUAACCAUUUUGGUAAGCAAGUAAAGUCUUUUCUUUCUACUGCCUUACCUUCUCACUUUGUAUUUUCAUUUUAUUUCUAAGUUAUGAAUUCUCUGAGGAGCUUUCCCCAGAGAAUGAGUAACUAAACCUCCAAUUCCUUGGAGCUAAGGUUGCCGGGGAAGGUUCCAAGUGCAAGAAUGCAAAGCUCUGUGGUUUUAGCUAGUAAUGAAGAGGAAGUGAAAUCCUUUAGUGAUUUCAAUGUUUUUAGUUAACUUAAAACACCUUGGAGUCACCUGGGCCAACACUUGGUAAGGCAAGUGAUUUCCAACCGUGGAAAUGCACUAGUUUACCCCUUGCGAGCCUCUGGUAGGUGACUUCAAGGUAGGAUUUUCUGGAAUUACCAACACUUGGUAAGCUUUUGGACUCCUAGGAGACAUCCAUUAGUUAUCUCUUGCGAGUUUGUGAAGGGGAAUCCAAGGUUAAAGAUCACCUUGAAUGGUAAGUGCUCGUGAGAGGCAUGAACCAUUGCAAGUUGUAUCAGUGAGAGAAUUAAAGUGAAAUCUAAUUGAAGGAGUCUCUGUACAUCACCGGUUAGAGAAUUGACUAUAAGUUGAAUCUCUAAUGCGAGGAAAUGAACCAUCUGACCGGAGCUAUGUCUUUUGCAUGAGGAACCACCCCAGUGAACCUAAAUCUCCAAGGAAUGCUUUUCUUCCUAAAUUAUUCCAAACUUCUGUUAAGUUAGUUAGUUUAAGUCUAAACCUUUACCAAUCAAACUUUGUGUUUUAUUCCUUAAGCUAACCGUGAAAUGAAACAAAACCAAUUCACUUGGAAUUGGUAUCCUUGAUUGCUUGCAAAUCAUUCCCAGUGAACGAUCCUUAGAGCCACUAUACUAUAGUAGCUUUGUAUUUGCUACCCUAGUGUAUGGUGUUAUAGGUAUAAAUUUUGUUGAUCACUUCCUCAAUCAAGGAACACCAGCUGAACACAAAUCAGCUGAGACACCAAUUGGGCAUGAGUCAGUGCGUUAGAGGAUCAAGAAGAAGAAAAAGAAGGAACUGUUGGAAUUAGUAUGAGUGUGAAGAGAAAAGUAUAUAAAUAAGGGGAAGUAAAAGCAAAGUUCAAAAAGCUAUAUUUUUUUAUUGUUGGUGUAUGGUUGCAUGAUUAUCCCUAUAAAUAAUAGGAGUUUUUUGGUAUUCUACUAGUAGUUGAAGCAUAAUUUCAUAAAUUAAUAUUUAGAGCGGGGUGGGGUGAGUUGUGACAAAAUUCAUACCCGUCCCAAACCUUGGUUCAGAUUUUUAAAAUAUUCUCAAACUUAUCAUAUACCCAACUUUUAUAUUUCAUACUUGUCCUAAUAGAGGCACGUUAGGCCGGGUUACUUGAGUAACCUACAUAAUUGUCAUCCCUAGUUGAAAUACACUUUUUGGCAGUGGCCACCAACUGAGCUAGAAGCUUGAUUGAUUGACCUACAAGAUUAGUUCUCAUCAUUUUAAAAAAAGUUCUGGCUUUGGUUGUGAGUGCAAUUGAAUCUAAACUGGCAUUUGCUUAAUGCAUCUACUUCAAUCCUAAACUUCUUACUUCUUAAGCCUCAAUUGUUGUUAGGAUUUUGGAAAACCCAUUUCCUUAAAUUGUAAAUUUAAGAUAAAAUAAAAUAAAAGUGAGACAUUUCUUGAUUGAAUAUUGUUAAAGGUCCCUUGGCAUUAAGACUUGGUUGAAGCCUUGGAAGAUUAGUGGAACUCUCAACAUGUGUUUGAAUCUUGAGGAGAGUGGAUGUAAGCCAAAAUUUUGUCAAACCAUUAUACAAAUUGAGUUUGAAUCCUCAUUUCUUGAUUUCUUAUUUAUUUGCUUUUUCUUAUUAUUACUUGAAUUGUCAUUUGCAUUCAUUAAUGUUAAAAUUGGUUAUAAUUAACCAACACUAAUUCUCUUUCCCCUUCCCUUUCUUGGGUGUAAACCUAGGUUGGAUUAACUAGAUAAAUCUAUUAAGAUGGUAAAAGAAUAAUUAUUCUUAACAUACAUAAGAUCAUCUUCAAUCAAAUGACUCAUUGGCUAAUAUGUUGAAUUUGCUUAUUACUUGCAACUCAAAAUUGUGUUCUAGUUGUGUCAAGUCCCCAGUGUAUGGACAUUAAAUUUGUAGUACGUGAUGAGUAAUUAGAUGGUCCAACUCCAAGAAAGUGAUUGAAAAGUAGUUCAAGAAAGGUGCAAAAGGGAAUUGUUUUGGUAUUUUCGUUUUUAUUCUUGAAGGUGGCAGAGCUAAAAUUUGAGAAAUCAAGCAAAACAUACUGAAAUUACAUUGAAAGAAAGAAGAUGGGAGUUAAUGUCUUGCAGUACAUGAUAAGGACUUCAUGCAUGUAGUGUGACCCAUGUCUUGGACUGAUGCCAACUCACGGUUACACUUAUACCCUUGGUUCUCUCUUUACUACCUUGGCUAACCUAGAUCAGGCUAUGAGAUAGGCUCCUCACCACACCAUUACUUGCCCAUUAAUUAGAGACAUUUUCAAGCAAUGAGGUAACAUGGUGACACCAAGAGGGUCUAUUCCUCGCCCGGAACAAGUCUAGACUUGGUCUCAAAAAAAUGGAGAAAAAUGAGGUGUCGUUAUGUAGAAAUACAACAACCAUGCCUUCCUCAUUACUUAGAUUCAGAAUGUGAAGGUGAAAUUGAGAAACAGAAACUCUUGAAACCAAAAUGAAAAUUGAUACUUUUACGAAGAAUUACAACAACAUUAGAGGAAGACUACAUUCUUCCUCUUUAUUCCUACAUUUCUACACUACUUCUACUCCACUCCAUAUUUCUACAUACAUCUUUAAUCAGUCUUCCCUCCUUUAUAUAGAGCCAUCUUCACACAAAUUUCGCAAGGUAGAAAAGAGGAAUGAAACUUGGAGCAAGGUUCGACUACUGGUUGUAGCUUGUCAAGGCUGGAAGUGAACUUUUCUUGGCUUUCUGGGCAUGGGUAGUAACUUGUGGGUUCCUGUUUGGCAUAAAAAUGGCUAGAACAUGUGGCACUAUCUUGUUGGAUGAUGUGUCAAGCAUGUGGCAGCCAUCUAGUGGCGAUUAUGUCAAUUUUGGGAUGGAGAGUUGGCAUCCAAUUGCAAAGAAAUAUGACGUCUACCAACAUGCAAUGUAAACCUAUGUAGAUCAUAUGAAGAUAGAGAGGAAAAAUAUAGAAAUGGAUAUAUACCUAGAACUAGCUUUUUAUUAAAUGAAACGGAGAGACAACAAUGAAGGAAAAUAAAAUUUUUUGGCUUAUAUCAAAGAGUUCACAUUGUGUUACCCUAGGUUUUCUUAAAACUUACUUUUAUGAUAACAAAAAAGAAAAAACCAUUAUUGUUUAAUCCUUUGUUUUAAACGCAUGUAAGGUGUAAUUAAGUUAGUUCAAUGCAUUAAUUUAAGAAACUUGACCUAUCAAAAGUACAAAAUUAGAUGAAAUCCAUUUCAAUGGUUAAAAUGAUCAAAAUCAAACUUUUUCUAAGUAUUUUUUAAAAGCAUCAAUAGUGAAAGACAAUUUUAUAUUUAGUCGGAGUUUGGACAAAACUGAAAAACACACAAAAUCCAAGCGACCAUCUCUAGCUUGGAUGGUCGCUUGAUCCCACCUAGAGAUGUGCAUGAGUAAAAGGAUUUGAAAAUGGAAAUUGACUAUGUAGUCGAUCAAUUAACUUUGCAACAUCAUAUGCAAUCCUAAUUGCUAGUCAUCUAAUCAAUUAGGUAGUCAAUCAACAGGCCAAAAAUAUGUUUAUAAUGACUAUUUUGUACAAAAACCACCUGUAUAGUUAAAUAUAAUGCAUUUCAUUUAUAAAUCUUCUAAUUCUUGAAUAACGAUCCUAUCAUCCUUUGAAAGUUUUUAUUACACUUUUUUUACUUUUGUUCUAAAACUUACACAUCACCCUUAAUUGUACCAUGAGAACCUAGCUAUUUUUUAUUUUUUUUUUUGUAAUUCAUCAAAGUUAGCUUUUGUAUUCAUUGUUGUAUUAUUUUUAGUAUAACUUAGAAAGCUAGUGUUUUCAAGUGAGUAAAAUUAACUUGUAAAUAUUGUAAAGAUUCAUCGACAUGUAUCUUAAACUAAGUGUACAAGUUAAAACAUUUGCUAGUAGAUUUUCUCAAAAUUUAGAAUAGAGCUUGAGACUAUUGAAAUAGGUGGGGUUGCACCAAACCACAUCACAUCGUUGUUUGCACCUUUUUUCACUCUCUUUUACUUAGUUGCUCUAUAUUUGUUGUCUAGUAAUAUCCUAUAGGCUUGAUGGGUUAGGGAGCAUCCCUUUGUGAAAAAAUUUUAUUCAAUCCUUAGUUGUAUCACGCAUAUAUAAAAUGCCUCAUUGUUUUAAUGGUAUUCAGUCGUGGCAUCACAGAUAUGGGCAUCUAAAUUUUAAAAGUUUGAAACUUUUAUCUAAAGAAAAUAUGGUGCUUUGCCUUUUUGUAAAGCAUGUUGAUGAAAUCCAUGAGAAUUGUGUACUUGGGAAGCAACACCGAGAUGACUUUUUUUUUUUUUUUAUAAUAUUGUUUGUCCAAAUUCCCUACAAAUUAGGCCACCAGAUGUUCAUAAUUCUCCCUUCUUGAAUUUGAAAACUCGGACAAUUGGACAAUGCGACACCUAAGUCCGGUUUCUAAAUGCUAAAGUGAAAGGGUAGGUAUGGACCAUUGAAAUGUGAUCACAACUUUUCUCUGUAGCCAUGUUGUCUCUUUUUUCUUUUGCAUGAUUUUCUUACCUUAACAGAAUCAUAGACUUGUUUAGUCUCUAAAUGGGAUUAAUUUCAUCCAGCUUUAAGCUACUAUAUUAUAUCUAGGUGGAGGACUUUUAAGAGUGCAACCGACAUAGAGCACAUGGAAGUGGGUAUAUGGGACAUGAAAUUUCUUCUUAUAAAGAUUGCAUGAUUUUUAUAUUAGAGUUGUUGAGGCGCUAUGUAUUUAGCUUGUUUUGCAGUUAAAUUAAUUGGAUAAGUAGACAUUGGCGUUUCUAAAUCUACUGUGAAGUGCUUCAUGUACGUGUGAAGUAUUAGAAAUUUCUUUCUUGGCAACUUGUUUUUCUUUGCGGUCUACUGAUAGGUUUGACUAAAAUUAUAUUCCCUGUCAUGCUAAUUAAUUUUCACGUGCAUGCUCAAAAGAAAAGUAUGACCUUAGUGCACCAAAAUCACUUUGAUUAAUUUGUGAUAGGUUUUUGUGCAUCAUGACAUUAGCCUUAUUCAUUUAGAUAAUGUUUAGUUUUUAGAAAGUAUUAAGAAAAGGAAAAUAAAUAUUAAGAAAAAUAUUCUUAUAUUUGAUUGUAUUAUGAAAAAUAUCAUAAAAAAAUCAAAUAUAAUUUAAAUUAAUUAAUAAUUUAUACAUUUUCAAAUUAUUUAAUCUUUAUAUUGAAGAUAUAAUAUAAAUGAAAUGAGUUUUAAGUAUUAUAUAAAAGUGAUUUAUUGAUCUUACAUAUAUAUAUUUCUUUUUUUUUUCCUUCUAUUUUUUCUCUUUAUUUUAUUUUCCUUAUGUUUUCCUCAACAUUUUCCGGAACCAAACAUAGCCUUAGGAAAUCCACAAUUACCUUCAACUGAGUAGAUUCUGUUGUUUUAGCAAUGUUAGGCUGCUAACUUGUGUUGGUACGAACCUAUUAAGCCUAAAGAUGUAAUUAGUUAGGAUAUUCUUUUCCCUCUAGUCUUGUAGCUCCACGUGUACAGUUGGUUAGGACCUCAUUGUAUAUAAUGCUUGCCCUGUUAUUGUAGAAGACAACAAAGAUAAAUAAUAUUAACAUUUUUCCUCUCAUCUCUCUCUGUUUCCCUCUGUUUUCAUCUCCUCUCUCAUCUUGGUAUCAGAGCCUCCAUGGCUUCUUUCAAAGAAACCUCCGAAUCACCUUCUGCUAGCAUUGUUAAUGUGCAAAACCCAUUAUCUCAAUCAAACAACCUUCCUUCACCAGUAGCCACACCCUCUUUUUCUUUCUCGUCUAUGAAUCAACCUCUCACAGUGAAGCUGGAUAAUGGGAACUACCUCAUAUGGAAGAAUUAGCUUCUAAAUGUCAUCAUUGCUAACGGACUCGAUGAUUUCAUUGACGGAUCUCGACCCUGCCCUCCUCGAUUUCUCGAUCUGCAACAACAAACCCUCAAUCCAGAGUACUCAGCUUGGCAGAGAUACAAUCGACUUCUGAUGAGUUGGCUGUACGCAUCCUUGUCCAAAGAUAUAAUGGCUCAGAUUGUUGGGUAUUCAACAGCUAUGGAGAUUUGGAAUGCCCUUAAUCAGAUUUACUCUGCCUCUUCUAUGGCGCGGUUUACUGAGCUUCGCACCAAGCUUCAAACGCUCAAGAAAGAUGGACUCUCAGUUGGUGAAUAUAUUCAAAGGCUCAAAUCCAUUUGCAAUAGUCUUGCAGCAAUAGGAGAACCAGUUUCUGAGAAAGACCAUCUUAUCUAUUUGUUCAAUGGAUUAGAUUGUGAGUAUUAUUCUUUUGUUACCUCCAUUCAAAAUCGAUCUGACCAACCAACUAUUGACAAAAUCCAUAGCCUAUUGCUUAGCUAUGACUUCCGGCUUGAACAACAAAACUCUGUUUCUCUCCAUUCUGCCCAAGUCCAUAUGGCUCAUCUGAACAAGAAACCUUAUAAAUCAACUCCUCAACCUACAUUCAAUCAUAUUCACAUUCAACCUAGAUACUCUUCUCCACCUUUUAAGCCAACCACUAGUCAAUAUCAACCCAACAUUUUGGGCAAACCACAACCACAACCAUGACAGCCUCAACCUCAAUGGAAACCACAUUUUUCAAUCUAAAAUCAAAAGCCUCAGCGCCAAAUUUGUGGUAAAUUUGGACACACUGCUCUUAUUUGCUUCCAUCACACAAAUUUGAACUAUUCACCCCAACCUUCUCCUAAAUCUUUCAAUACUGUUCUCACCACAAAUUCCCAGCUCCCUAAUCCUCCAAAAUUUUCUUACCCUACAAUGGCUCAUCCUGCUGCUACGCAUAACACGGUUCCCGAUACAAAUUGGUACAUGGACUCAGGUGCUACACAUCACUUUACUCUGGACAUCAACGUGCUUGACACUGUGACACCAUUUAGUGGUUCAGAACAGGUGACAGUUGGGAAUGGUAAGCAACUCUGUAUCUCACAUCUUGGUACUGCAAAACUACCAUCUUCGUAUUCUCCUCCUGUUCUACAUCAGGUAUAUCACACUCCAAAAAUUUCAAAUAAUCUUAUUAGUGUUAAAAAAUUGUGUUCUGAUAAUAAAGUUUUUGUUGAAUUUUAUGCCACUCAUUUUCUUGUCAAGGAUCAGGUUUCGAAGAGAGUUCUCCUUUAGGGUCAACUUGAUAAUGGCUUAUACAAAGUUCAGUCGUCAUGCUCUCCUUCUGCUGUUUCCUUUCCUCCUCAAGUUUUCAUAGCCAACAUCAAGUAUCCAAAUCUGUGGCACAAGAGACUAGGCCACCCAGCUUUAUCUGUUGUUAAUCAAAUCUUGGAUUCUUGUAACAUUGCUCGAACACAGAAAAUUUGUUUUAAUUUUUUAAAUUCUUGUCAAUUAGCAAAGAGCCACAGGCUUCCUUUUUCUCUGUCUCCAUCCAUUGCAGAAAAACCUUUUGAGUUAAUUCAUACAGACCUAUGGGGUCUUUCGCUCGUUCGCUCUAUUUCUGGUGCUCUUUAUUUUUUACUUUUCAUUGAUGAUCAUACUCGUUUUACUUGGUUUUAUUUGCUCAAAACAAAAGAUGAAGCAUAUCCUACUUUUCUCAAGUUUCAAGCUCUCAUUGAAAAUCAAUUUAAUACCAAGAUUAAGGCUGUCCAAUCUGAUUGGGGAGGUGAGUUUCGAUCUCUCUCCAUACCGUUUUCAAAUAUGGGCAUUGUCUAUUGUUUAUCGUGUCCAUACACCUCACAACAGAAUGGGCGAGUUGAGCGAAAAAAUCGCCAUGCGAUUGUCCUUUCUUGCUUGCUCUAUGCCCUUAUCUUAUUGGCCUUAUGCCUUUCAAACUGCCACUUACCUUAUUAAUCGUCUCUCUACCCCUGUGCUGCAUCAUCAAUCCUCUUACUUCGCACUCUAUCACAAACUCCCAACUUAUACUCAUCUUAAGGUCUUUGGUUCCUCUUGUUUUCCGUAUUUGCACCCUUAUAAUACCCAUAAACUCCAAUACAGGUCACUAGAGUGUGCUUUUCUUGGUUACAGUUCACACCACAAAGGUUAUCUAUGUCUUGACAUUCAUUCUAGCAGGGUGUAUAUUUCUCGCCAUGUGAUUUUUAAUGAAGAUUCUUUUCCAUUCAAGAAUUUGAAAUCUUCUCUCUCUCAGUCUAUUUCUUCUUCCUCUUCUUUAUAAGUUCCUCUGUUCAUUCUCUUGCCUCCCCUUUCCCCAUCUCCUCUUAUUUCUUCAUCUAUACCUCAUUCUUUUCCCUCUUCUUCUUCUACCUCUAGUACUUGUUCCCCUCUCGUUGCUCCUACCUCUCUUCCUUCCUCUUCACACUCUGUGUCUCCAUCUAUUCCACCUCCUUCUCCACCUUCUCCGAGUGUGGACCUGCUUGCACCUUGUGUGAAUACAAAUUUACAUACUUCUUCUCGCACUCACAAUAUUCAUCCUAUGGUGACUAGAUCUAAGGUUUGUAUCUAUAAACCUAAGUUGUUGUUGAGUGUCUCCAUAGGUUCUCUCACUAAGCCUACUUCCUUUCUUCAAGCUAUUAAAGAUCCUUCAUGGAAGCAAUCCAUGGAAUUCGAGUUUGCUACCCUUCAACACAACAAGACCUGGCAUUUGGUUCCUUCACCUUCCUCAGGCGAAGUAAUCGGUUGUAAAUGGGUCUAUAAGCUAAAGCUUCAGCCUGAUGGCUAAAUUGAGAGAUACAGCCUGCUUAGUAGCUAAGGGUAUCAUCAAAUUGAAGUAUGGACUACUUCGAAACAUUCAGCCUGAUNNNNNNNNNNNNNNNNNNNNNNNNNNNNNNNNNNNNNNNNNNNNNNNNNNNNNNNNNNNNNNNNNNNNNNNNNNNNNNNNNNNNNNNNNNNNNNNNNNNNAGCUUCAGCCUGAUGGCUAAAUUGAGAGAUACAAGGCCUGCUUAGUAGCUAAGGGUUAUCAUCAAAUUGAAGGUAUUGACUACUUCGAAACAUUCAGCCUGAUUGUCAAGCUUUCUACUAUCUGUAUUGUGCUCAGUCUUACUUUUUCCCAGAAUUGGUGUAUUAGACAGCUGGAUGUUCAUAAUGCCUUCUUACAUGGUGACUUAGCUAAAGACGUUUUCAUGGAACAACUGCCUGGAUUUGUUGAUCCUCUCUAUCCUACUCAUGUCUGCAAGUUGGAUAAGUCUCUCUACUGUCUUAAAUAGUCACCUCGGGCUUGGUAUACUAAGCUGAGUACUUCUCGCUACACUUGGGAUUUGUUACUUCUAAGAAUGACUCUUCCUUAUUUAUUUGUCAUUCGUCUCAUGGGUUACUUCUUGUUCUUGUCUAUGUGGAUGAUAUAAUCGUCAUUGGGAGCCACUCUCCUCAGGUUACUCACCUUAUCCAACAGUUGCAUCAUUAGCUUUCUUUAAAGGAUCUUGGUCCUUUACAUUAUUUUCUGGGCUUGGAGGUUCAUCACACCCCUACUGGUAUUCACCUCAGCCAAGCAAAGUAUAUCACUGAUCUCCUUACCCGGGCGGCUAUGUUGGAUGCCAAGCCAUGUCCCACUCCUAUGUCCUCCAACACAUAUCUCUCUUUUCAUGAUGGAGUGGCUCUUGAAAAUGGUUCAGAUUAUCGAAGUUUUGUUGGUGCCCUUUAGUAUUGUACCAUGACACGCCCAGAUAUAGCUUUUGCAAUAAAUAAAGUGUGUCAAUUCAUGCACCAUCCCUCUAAUGUUCACUGGCAGGCUAUAAAACGUAUUCUCCGGUACUUAAAGGGCACAUCUCAUUUUGGUCUCUUCCUACAGCCUUCCUAUGACUUCAACAUCACUUGCUAUACAAAUGCCGACUGGGCUUCCUGUCCUGAUGACAAGUGUAGCACCAGUGGCUACUGCCUCUUUCUUGCCUCUAAUCUGGUUUCUUGGUCAUCUUCCAAACAAAAAGUGGUCUCCCGCUCCAGCGCCGAAUCAGAGUACCGAGGGGUAGCAAAUGGGGCUGCUGAAAUUGCUUGGACUGAAUCUCUUCUUUGUGAACUUUCCAUUACUCCCCCUCCCCUCAUUCUCUGUGACAAUAUCAGUGCCACGUACUUAGCUGCCAAUCCUAUUUUGCAUGCCCGCACCAAACAUGUGGAAAUCGACUAUCACUUUGUCACGGAACGUGUUCUUCAAUGCUCUCUUUUUGUCCAGUUUACACCUUCUGAUGAUCAACUUGCUGAUUGCAUGACCAAGCCUCUCUCCACCCAACGUUUCAUCACUCUACGCUCCAAGCUCACUGUUCUCACUAGACCAAUGAGCUUGAGGGGGGAUGUUAAGCCUAAAGAUGUAAUUAGUUAGGAUAUUCUUUUCCCUCUAGUCUUGUAGCUCCACGUGUACAGUUGGUUAGGACCUCAUUGUAUAUAAUGCCUGCCCUGUUAUUGUAGAAGACAACAGAGAUAAAUAAUAUUAACAUUUUUCCUCUCAUCUCUCUCUCUGUUUCCCUCUGUUUUCAUCUCCUCUCUCAUCUGAACCAAAUGAUCCAUGUUAACCUUGGCUUGGUUUGAUUUGGCUCUAUCUUAGAGAGCUCAAGGAUCACGUCAACUCUGGUUUCUACUAUUCAGGUCCAUUCCCAUAUGAACUGGUUCAAAUUUGAGAAAAUGGUAACAGACCUUUAGUGAUGUUGGUUUGGAGCCAGUUGCCAAACCCGCCCUGAGCUUUACCACUAAUGUCAAGGGAGAAAGCCAUUUGAACAAAAACAAUAGCUUCAAGGGACUGAAUCGUGGAUGAAAUCUGAUCCACAUUUCUUCUCAUUUUGGAAACAAAUGAGAACUUAACUAAGAAGAUUCUACGGCCUCAUAGUGCUUUUCCUGAUCUAAGGUUGGUUCGUUUCCCAAACUGUGAGAUGCACGUGCCAGACUUCAGAACUCUCACGCUCAGGAGUGUAUCCACGUGGUGGACAUAAGAUGGUGGCUUAAGAUCUGGUGUCGGUGGCUUUACUUUACUAGGAGAGUAGUGUGUCUUCAUCUCAUUCACUGCCGGAGGGUGGCGUAAGCAGUGACGCUAAGGUGGGGCACAGUCAAUAUCAUUUGCAUUUGACCAUUAUAGUUUUCUCCCGGCUUUAAAGUAACCUUAUCGUGAUAAAGGAUUACUAGCACUAGUUCAGAUGAUAGUCAUGUUAAAUUCGGACCAUGUUUGUGUCACAUUAUCAGCAACCAUGUGUUUAUGGUUCAUGCUUUCUGCAACUAAAAUUGAUAUAUAACCAGGUGAACUUCAAUCUAAAUUCUGAAAGUACUCAUGUGAUAGAUGGUGCCCGUCUGCAGAGUCCAUCAAUUGAAAAAUGGAGUGAGUGUAUCUAUAAGAGGGAAGGCUUGGAAAAUGUUCAGUUUUCUGGGAAUUCAACAAGGAUCUAAAAUAGAUUGUUUUCUUUGCUGAUUUCAAUGGUUGAAAUUUGAGAAGAUUGUGUCCACAUAACACAACUAUUACUGGUCCUUCUGUUGCAAUUUAUCCUCUAAAGCUCUAGCAUGUCUUCCAAUUCCCACUUCCCUGUUACUCCAGGAAAGCUAUUUCUGUCAUUGUGAAGAAGAAAAGAGAAUGUACAUAUCGAUGCUUUUAAGUGACUGGAGCAUUUAUAUCAGGUGGUCUGCAGCCAUAUAUGCCACUUUGUGAAGAUUGGAACAGUCAAUCACUAGGCUAUAUAUUAGUGUGGCCCAGCCACUUUAAUCAAGGACAAGUCUUCAUACUUAAAGUCAAAUUCUGCCUUUAGUCUCAUUAUAAAUUUCUGUUUAAAUAUUAAGCAAACAUUUGUUUAAUGCGAUUAAGACAGUACUAACUCAAUACCUGUUCUAUUUUUGGAUGCAAAUGCUUGAUGGUUUCAUCAUUGGAUGGGAUAAAGGUGCAUUCAUGAUUAGGAAUACUAGUAGUUAUAUUUUAAUUCUCUUUUUUCUCAAUGAGACUUGUUGGCACAAUUUUGCUGUUGAGAAACCUACCUCUCCAUGGAAAAUAAGUUGUGAUUGAUAGUACUGGAUAUAUUCAAGAAAUCUAAAUAUAGAUAGCACAAAAUAUUAUCGACAUAAAUAGCAUUAACAGCGUACGUAUGUCUCAGUGCUCAUCAGCUAUAAGCAUGGGGCAAACACUUACUAUGAGCAACUUACGUCAAAAUUCCAGAAUAGGACAUAGAAGUGACAGAUAUAGAACAUUGCAUAUGAGUCACAAGAAAGGAAAUUACGGGUGCAUAGCAGCUCUUAUUUUACAUACUACUACUCAUACUGAUCAAAGUCACUCAGUUGGGAUGGGUGGGAGUAGGAGGUUUGUGGGGUGGCUUGUGCGGAGGAGUUGGCAGCUUCUUUCCAGGACCUGGUUGCUUCUCUGCUGGAGUUGAAGGAGGCUUAAUCUUCCGAGGUGGCUUGUAUGAGUCUUCAGCAUUCUCAGCUGGAGGGUGACCAGGGUUGUGACCAUAAUGUGGUGGCUUCUCUCCCUUAGGUGGUUUGCCAACUGGGGUUGGUGGCUUGUAUGAGUCUUCAGCAUUCUCAGCAGGAGGGUGACCAGGGUUGUGACCAUAAUGUGGUGGCUUCUCUCCCUUAGGUGGUUUGCCAACUGGGGUUGGUGGCUUGUGUUCUGGGAGUGGCUUCUCCCCCUUGGGAGGUUUUUCCAAUGGGGUUGGUUUGUGUUCAGGAGGUGGCUUCUCCACUGGAGGCUUGUGUUCAGGAGGUGGCUUCUCCACCGGAGGCUUGUGUUCAGGUGGUGGCUUCUCCACCGGAGGCUUAUGCUCUGGUGGUGGCUUCUCGAAUGGGGGAUGCUUAGGAUAAUCAGCAAGUGAGGGGGCGGUGAGAACCACCAGGCCAAGCAACACCACUAGCAAAUAUGUAGGAGACAUCUUUGGGUUUGGGCUCAGAUGGUGCAAAACUAGGAGAAUUGGCUAGCCUUUUAUAGCGGAUCGUACCCAAUAAUGAAAUGACACGUGUCAUUAUGACCCAUGUGUAAUGGGGUCGAUUUGGGUCCUACAGUGUUGAAAACUUCGACAUCCACUUUUGGCCUUUUGCUUUCUCUACAGCCGCCUUGCUUUUUCCCUCUUUCCUUUUGUUUUCCUCCUGCCCCAUUCUAUCAACUAAACACAAUUAUGUAGUUGUUUAAUUCUUAAAUGAGAUAUUAUCCGUCAAUCGUAUUAUAUUUUAUCAAGAGAGAACGGAGUGCAAUGUGGCUGUAAUUUUAUCGUUUAGUUUUAUCUCUUGGACCACUGCAUUUUUGUUAAGAGGUGCAAUAAUACACGUCUUUAUCUGCCAUUCAAUAUUUACAGUAAAGAGAGGGCACAAAACUCUUCACUUCGCACCAUAAUUAUUUUGUUUUCUGGACACCCCGGGGCCCUUUGGUUGGUUUGGGGGUCAGAAAGUGAACAUCAUAGGGGGUUUUUCCCUUAUGUGCAUUUGUAUCUGAUGGCUUUAACUCGCCUUGUUACUACAAAGAAACUGUCACAGAUAGGAACUUAUUCCAGGCUGAGUAUCUCCUCAUAGACCCUAUAAAAGAAGACAAGUCAUAAUGAACAUCUAACCUUUGUUCAAUUUGAUUCAAUGCCCCCAUUGUGUCCAUCUCACAAAUCUGAAUUAUUAUAUCCAUUGAAUACAUAAAUUAAUGAAGAAAAUAUGAAACCCAAGAUACAUCUCUGCACAACCUCAACCCUGGUUGCUAUGUUUCCCUUCUAUUCACAUGAUUUGAUGCUAAUUGCCAAACUUGCAACAAGCCCUGAGUUUGACACCUAGUAUCGAUGGGCGAAUUUAAAGUCUCCUCCAAACAUAUAUUCCACAGCUUGAAGCUCACAGAAGAUGUUACAGGCAGGGAAAAACCUUCAGAGUUCGCUACCAAAGAUAAUUAUUAAGGAGAUAUCACAAAGAGAAUUCCAAGGGGUCUGAAUCAAAGACAAAUUGGUCGUUCGUGGGGGUUCUUACUUUCUUUUGGGUAUAACUCACUGAGGGCACUGUCUUUGUUAUUUGCAUUUCACAUUUAGAGUUCUGUUCUGGAAACAUAUAAAAGGAGCAUCAUUUUGUUCUUGGGUAACCCAUAGUCGUGAGUGGGUCCAUUUGCAUGCUACUUAGUUGAAAAGUUGGACCAUUUGCUCCGACGCCUACCUCCCGGAUUCCAUGCUCGGAUAAAACAAGAAUAAAAAAAAUAUUUAUAAUUUACAAAUGGGGGAAAGAAAAAAAUGUCAACAACAAACCAGGAAAAAAGAGUAGUAAAAUUCAUGUCACAUGCUAGUGAGAGAAGGGGUUGUUACACUCACUCGAAGUUCUUUCCAAAAUAUCGCAUGGUAUUUUAUUUUAUGUGUCAGCGCAGUUGUGAAUGGAACGUGCAAAAGUCCAAAUUGGCGUUUUUCCUUUUCCCGUGUAGGAUGGCGACCUUUAAUAAAUAUUUAAAACAAAAAACGAAAAAAAGGAGGGAAAAGGGAUCAGAAAAGAUAAAACAAUGUGUACAAGAGCUCAAUUAGUUUGCAAAUUACUGUUUGGAUUUUGAUAGUAUUUUAUUUGUCCAUCUAUAUUUGAUGGAAAAGAGAAUUUAAGAUAUUUCUGAAACAAAAGCAUUAGUGUAAAACUAAAUUAAGGUAUAAUUAAGUUAGUUCAAUGCAUUAAUUUAAGAAACUUGAUCUAUCCAAAGUACAAAAUUAGAUGAAAUCCAUUUCAAUGGUUAAAAUGAUCAAAAUCAAACUUUUUCUAAGUAUUUUUUAAAAGCAUCAAUAUUAAAAGACAAUUUUAUAUUUAGUCGGAGUUUGGACAAAACCAAAAAGCACACAAAAUCCAAGCGACCAUCUCUAGCUUGGAUAGUCACUUGAUCCCACCUAGAGAUGUGCAUGAGUAAAAGGAUUUGAAAAUGGAAAUUGACUAAAUAUUUAGUUGAUCAAUUAAAUUUGCAAUGUCAUAUGCAAUCCUAAUAGCUAGUCAUCUAAUCAAUUAGGUAGUCAAUCAAGUGUUUGUAAUGACUAUUUUGUACAAAAAACCACAUGUAUAGUUAAAUAUAAUGCAUUUCAUUUAUAAAUCUUCUAAUUCUUGAAUAACGAUCCUAUCAUCCUUUGAAAAUUUUUAUUACACCUUUUUUACUUUUGUUCUAAAACUUACAUAUCACCCUUAAUUGUACCAUGAGAACCUAGCUAUUUUUUUUUUUUUUGUAAUUCAUCAAAGUUAGCUUUUGUAUUCAUUGUUGUAUUAUUUUUAGUAUAACUUAGAAAGCUAGUGUUUUCAAGUGAGUAAAAUUAACUUGUAAAUAUUGUAAAGAUUCAUUGAUAUGUAUCUUAAACUAAGUGUACAAAUUAAAACAUUUGCUAGUAGAUUUUCUCAAAAUUUAGAAUAGAGCUUGAGGCUAUUGAAAUAGGUGGGGUUACACCAAACCACAUCACAUCGUUGUUUGCACCUUUUUUCACUCUCUUUUACUUAGUUUCUCUAUAUUUGUUGUCUAGUAAUAUCCUAUAGGCUUGAUGGGUUAGGGAGCAUCCCUUUGUGAAAAAAUUUCAUUCAAUUCUUAGUUGUAUUACGCAUAUAUAAAAUGCCUCAUUGUUUUAAUGGUAUUCAGUCGUGGCAUCACAGAUAUGGGCAUCUAAAUUUUAAAAGUUUGAAACUUUUGUAAAGCAUGUUGAUAAAAUCCAUGAGAGUUGUGUACUUGGGAAGCAACAUCGAGGUGACUUUAUUUUUUUUUCCUUUUAUAAUGCCACACCUAAGUCCGGUUUCUAAAUGCUAAAGUGAAAGGGUAGGUAUGGACCAUUGAAAUGUGAUCACAACUUUUGGCCUUUUCCUUUCUCUGCAGCCAUGUUGUCUCUUUUUUCUUUUGCAUGAUUUUCUUACCAAAACAGAAUCAUAGACUUGUUUAGUCUCUAAGCUACUAUAUUAUAUCUCGGUGGACUUUUAAGAGUGCAACCGACAUAGAGCACAUGCAAGUGGGCAUAUGGGACAUGAAAUUUCUUCUUACAAAGAUUGCAUGAUUUUUAUAUUAGAGUUGUUCACGUGCAAUGUAUUUAGCUUGUUUUGCAGUUAAAUUAAUUGGAUAAGUAAACAUUGGCAUUUCUAAAUCGACUGUGAAGUGCUUCAUGUACGUGUAAAGUAUUAGAAAUUUCUUUCUUGGCAACUUGUUUUUUCCUUGCCAUCUACUGGUAGGUUUGACUAAAAUUAUAUUCCCUGUCAUGCUAAUUAAUUUUCAUGUGCAUGCUCAAAAGAAGAGUAUGACCUUAGUGCACCAAAAUCACUUUGAUUAAUUUGUGAUAGGUUUUUUUGCAUCAUUUAGAUAAUGUUUAGUUCUAAGAAAAAUUUAUAUAAAAAUGGUUUAUUUAUCUUACAUAUAUAUAUAUAUAUAUAUAUUUUUUUUUUUUUCAUUUUUUUUUCUUCUAUUUUAUUUAUUUAUUUUAUUUUCCUUAUGUUUUCCUCACAUUUUCCGGAACUAAACAUAGUCUUACGAAAUCAACAAUUGCCUUCAACUGAGUAGAUUCUGUUGUUUUAGCAAUGUUAGGCUGCUAACUUGUGGUGGUACGAACCAAAUGACCCAUGUUAAUCUUGGCUUGGUUUGAUUUGGCUCUAUCUCAGAGAGCUAAAGGAUCACGUCAACUCUGGUUUCUACUAUUCAGGUCCAUUCCCAGAUGAACUGGUUCAAAUUUGAGAAAAUGGUAACAGACCUUUAGUGAUGUUGGUUUGGAGCCAGUUGCCAAACCCGCCCUGAGCUUUACCACUAAUGUCAAGGGAGAAAGCCAUUUGAACAAAAACAAUAGCUUCAAGAGACUGAAUCGUGGAUGAAAUCUGAUCCACAUUUCUUCUCAUUUUGGGAAAAAAUGAGAACUUAACUACAAAGAUUCUACUGCCUCAUUCAUAGUGCUUUUCCUGAUCCAAGGUUGGUUCGUUUCCCAAAUUGUGAGGUGCACGUGCCACUCUCACGCUCAGGAGUGUAUCCACGUGGUGGACAUCAGAUGGUGGCUUAAUAUCUGGUGUCGGUGGCUUUACUUUACUAGGAGAGUAGUGUGUCUUCAUCUCAUUCACUGCCGGAGGGUGGCGUAAGCAGUGACGCUAAGGUGGGGCACAGUCAAUAUCAUUUGCAUUUGACCAUUAUAGUUUUCUCCCGGCUUGAAAGUAACCUUAUCGUGAUAAAGGAUUACUAGCACUAGUUCAGAUGACCGUCAUGUUAAUUCGGACCAUGUUUGUGUCACAUUAUCAGCAACCAUGUGUUUAUGGUUCAUGCUAUCUGCAACUAAACUUGAUAUAUAACCAGGUGAACUUCAAUCAAAAUUCUGGAAGUACUCUUGUGAUAGAUGGUGCCUGUCUGCAGAGUCCAUCAAUUGAAAAAUGGAGUGAGUGUAUCUAUAAGAGGGAAGGCUUGGCAAAUGUUCAGUUUUCUGGGAAUUCAACAAGGAUCUAAAAUAGAUUGUUUUCUUUGCCGACUUCAAUGGUUGAAAUUUGAGAAGAUUGUGUCCACAUAUCACAACUAUUACUGGUCCUUCUGUUGCAAUUUAUCCUGUAAGGCUCUAACAUGUCUUCCAAUUCCCACUUCCCUGUUACUCCAGGAAAGCUAUUUCUGUCAUUGUGAAGAAGAAAAGAGAAUGUACAUAUCGAUGCUUUUAAGUGACUGGAGCAUUCAUAUCAGGUGGUCUGCAGCCAUAUAUGCCACUUUGUGAAGGUUGGAACAGUCAAUCACUAGGCUAUAUAUUGGUGUGGCCCAGCCACUUCAAUCAAGGACAAGUCUUCAUACUUAAAGUCAAAUUCUGCCUUUAGUCUCAUUAUAAAUUGCUGUUUAAAUAUUAAGCAAACUUUUGUUUAAUGCGAUUAAGACAGUACUAACUCAAUACUUGUUCUAUUUUUGGAUGCAAAUGCUUGAUGGUUUCAUCAUUGGAUGGGAUAAAGGUGCAUUCAUGAUUAUGAAUACUUGUAGUUAUAUUUUCAUUCUCUUUUUUCUCAAUGAGACUUGUUGGCACAAUGUUGCUGUUCAGAAACCUACCUCUCCAUGGAAAAUAAGUUGCGAUUGAUAGUACUGGAUAUGUUCAAGAAAGCUAAAUAUAGAUAGCACAAAAUAUUAUCGAUAUAAAUAGCAUUAACAGCGUACGUAUGUCUCAAUGCUCAUCAGCUAUAAGCAUGGGACAAACACUUACUAUGAGCAACUUACGUCAAAAUUCCAGAAUAGGACAUAGAAGUGACAGAUCUAUAUAUAUAGAACACUGCAUAUGAGUCACAAGAAAGGAAAUUACGGGUGCAUAGCAGCUCUUAUUUUACAUACUACUACUCAUACUGAUCAAAGUCACUCAGUUGGGAUGGGUGGGAGUAGGAGGUUUGUGGGGUGGCUUGUGCGGAGGAGUUGGCAGCUUCUUUCCAGGACCUGGUUGCUUCUCUGCUGGAGUUGAAGGAGGCUUAAUCUUCCGAGGUGGCUUGUAUGAGUCUUCAGCAUUCUCAGCUGGAGGGUGACCAGGGUUGUGACCAUAAUGUGGUGGCUUCUCUCCCUUAGGUGGUUUGCCAACUGGGGUUGGUGGCUUGUAUGAGUCUUCAGCAUUCUCAGCAGGAGGGUGACCAGGGUUGUGACCAUAAUGUGGUGGCUUCUCUCCCUUAGGUGGUUUGCCAACUGGGGUUGGUGGCUUGUGUUCUGGGAGUGGCUUCUCCCCCUUGGGAGGUUUUUCCAAUGGGGUUGGUUUGUGUUCAGGAGGUGGCUUCUCCACUGGAGGCUUGUGUUCAGGAGGUGGCUUCUCCACCGGUGGCUUGUGUUCAGGAGGUGGCUUCUCCACCGGAGGCUUAUGCUCUGGUGGUGGCUUCUCCACCGGAGGCUUAUGCUCUGGUGGUGGCUUCUUGAAUGGGGGAUGCUGAGGGUAAUCAGCAAGUGAGGGGGCGGUGAGAACCACCAGGCCAAGCAACACCACUAGCAAAUAUGUAGGAGACAUCUUUGGGUUUGGGCUCAGAUGGUGCAAAACUAGGAGAAUUGGCUAGCCUUUUAUAGCGGAUCGUACUCAAUAAUGAAAUGACACGUGUCAUUAUGACCCAUGUGUAAUGGGGUCGAUUUGGGUCCUACAGUGUUGAAAACUUCGACAUCCAGUUUUGGCCUUUUGCUUUCUCUACAGCCGCCUUGCUUUUUCCCUCUUUCCUUUUGUUUUCCUCCUGCCCCAUUCUAUCAACUAAACACAAUUAUGUAGUUGUUUAAUUCUUAAAUGAGAUAUUAUCGGUCAAUCGUAUUAUAUUUUAUCAAGAGAGAACGGAGUGCAAUGCAGCUGUAAUUUUAUCGUUUACUUUUAUCUCUUGGACCACUGCAUUUUUGUUAAGAGGUGCAAUAAUACACGUCUUUAUCUGCCAUUCAAUGUUUACAGUAAAGAGAGGGCACAAAACUCUUCACUGCUCUGCAUGUGUCCCAAAAAUGCGAUUGGACAAAUUAUGAUUUGCAUGCUAAAAAGAGGCAAAUGAGGUUAAUUCGCACCAUAAUUAUUUGGUUUUCUGGACACCAUAAAAAGAUGUUAUACAGGCAGGGAAAAACCUUCAGAGUUAGCUACCAAAGAUAAUUAUCAAGCAGAUAUCACCAAGAGAAUUCCAUAGAGUCUGAAUCAAAGACAGAUUGCUCGCUCGUGGGGGUUCUUACUUUCUUUUGGGUAUAACUCACUGAGGUCACUGUCUUUUUUAUUUGCAUUUCACAGUUAGAGUUCUGCUCUGGAAGGUUUGUUCUGGAAACAUAUAAAAGGAGCAUCAUUUUGUUCUUGGGUAACCCAUAGUCGUGAGUGGGUCCAUUUGCAUGCUACUUAGUUGAAAAGUUGGACAAUUUGCUCCGACGCCUACCUCCUGGAUUCCAUGCUCGGUAAAACAAGAAUAAAAAAAAAUAUAUAAUUUACAAAUGGGGGAAAGAAAAAAUGUCGGAAAAAAUAGUAAAAUUCAUGUCACAUGCUAGUGAGAGAAGGGGUUGUUACACUCACUCGAAGUUCUUUUCAAAAUAUCGAAUGGUAUUUUACUUUAUGUGUCAGCGCAGUUGUGAAUGGAACGUGCAAAAGUCCAAAUUGGCGUUUUUAUUUUUCCCAUGUAGGAUGGUGACCUUUAAUAAAUAUUUAAAACAAAAGACGAAAAAAAAAAGGAGGGAAAAGGGAUCACAAAAGAUAAAAUAAUGUUUACAAAAGCUCAAUUAGUUUGCAAAUUACUGUUUGGAUUUUGAUAGUAUUUUAUUUGUCGUUCUAUAUUUGAUGUAAAAGAGAAUUUAAGAUAUUUCCGAAGCAAAAGCAUUAGUUUGCUCUGUGAUGUCCCACAUCGAAUAGGGGAGAAAGUUUCUGGCGCUAUAUAUGUAGAGGCUCCUCUUAACCAAGUAGAUGCGUUUUAAAACCAUGAGGGCCCCCUUAGGUCCAAAGCGGACAAUAUCUACAUGAUUGGGUGUAAGUCAUUACAAAUGGUAUCAGAGCCGAUCCCCGACCCCGGUGUGGGGGUUUGUUUGGCCCUGUAAGGGGUGUUUGUCUGUUUGACCCCACAAUCCCAUGGGACACAACGAGGACGUUGUGUCUGCAUGGGGGGGCGUUUGUGAUGUCCCACAUCGGAUAGGGGAGAAAGUUCCUAGUGCUAUAUAUGUAGAUGUUUCUCUUAACCAAGUAGAUGCAUUUUAAAAUUGUGAGGGCCUCUUUGGGCCCAAAGCGGACAAUAUCUACAUGGUUGAGUGUAAGUCAUUACAUGCUCCAUGUCAAUUUCAGCAUUUCUCAUAUGUUUCACACAUACACAGAAGAGCAUCGUUUUUUAAAGCAUGCAUUUAUGUUGGAUUAAUUUGGAUUUUGUGGGAACUGGGGCAAGGAUCACAUGGAAGAGAGGUUGACUUUUUUCAGUACUUCAAUGGUUGAAAUAUGUGAAGGCUUGAUUGAUACUAAAGCUUGAAAUUGCGACUCUGUCAUUUGUAAAAAAAUAUGACAGCUUCCAUGCUCUCGUUUGGUUGCAUUGUCCGGUCGAGAGGUGCAAAAAGCAUUCUCUCUCUUCUAAUAGUCUUUUCGUUUAAAUCAAGGGAUUUGCCUUCCCGGUCGAGGUCCAAUAGAGGGUAACGGUCACCUACUAAACAUUAAAUGCUCCAACAACUAGUGAACUGAUCGACCCCAGCUCGACUAGUUGAGGUUACUUUUUGGUUUUCUUGUCUCCCGAGGUUAGAAACCUAUAAAUAGAGAGCUUCACUUCAUUUAUGAGUAAGAGAACACCUAAAUUUAUUUGUUUACCUACUUGUUUUUGCCAUAAAAGCUCUCAUUUCUUUUCUUGGUGUAUUAAAUCUCCAUUUGCAUAUCCUUUAGUGCACCUUUGUGAUUCAUUCUAGCCUUGAGUUGUAUUUAAGCCUUUGUUGAGCUAGGUUGAGAGUUUCAUACUUGUUUAUUGAGUGUUAAAGCCUUCAAGUGAGUUAAAACUUGAAGAGAUUGUGUAAGAGCCCAUUGGAGUCGGAAUCCAAGUGUAAAGGUGAUUAAAAGCUUGGUUGAAGCUUCAAGUUAGUGGAACUCUCACUCGGUUAUGAGCUUGAGAAGAGUGGACAUAGACAAGGCAGUGUCGAACCACUAUAAAAUCUGAGUUUGAUUUCUCUAACCUUAUCUCUUUAUAUUUGCUUCUCUUGUGCUUAAAUUUUUUGUGUUUAAAAAGAAUUUUUAAAAACUCAAUUCACCCCCUUCUUGGGAGUUUUUCUCUUUUAAGAUCAGCUUUUAUUUUCUCAAUUGGUAUCAGAACUAUGCCUCUUGUUUAAGACUUAAUCGUCUAAGAGGAAAUGGCUAAUCCAUCAAGUUCAUCUCACAUUGAAAGUUUUGCAACCAAUAGACUUCUUUUUUUUUUUUUGCGGGAACUGAUUAUCCCUAUUGGAAAACUAAAAUGACUUGGUUUUUACAAUCAAUUGAUUUAGAUGUAUGAGAUGCCAUUGAAGAUGACCUAACUUUUCCUUCAAAACUAGUUGAUGGAGUCAUGGUUCCAAAACCUAAGCAAGAAUGGGAUGAGCGUGAUUGAAGAAAUUUUCAAUUAAAUGCUAAAGUCGUUUAUACUUUGCAAUGCUCUAUGGACAGAAAUGAAUAUAAUAGAAUAUGUCAAUGCAAAUCGGUUAAAGAAAUUUGGAGAUUGCUUGAAAUAACUCAUAAAGGAACAAAUCAAGUUAAAGAGUCAAAAAUCAAUUUACUUGUUCAUAGAUAUGAAUUGUUUUUUAUGAAAGAUAAUGAAACUAUUGUUAAGAUGAUCACUAGGUUCACCAACAUUGUUAAUGGUCUUAAAGCCUUGGGAAAGACCUACAAGGAAUCCGAAAACGUGAUGAAGAUCUUGAGGUCACUUCCAUCAAAGUGGCAUACCAAGGUCACCGCAAUUUAAGAAGCAAAAGACUUGAUCAAGCUACCUUUGGAGGAGUUCAUAGGGUCAUUGAUGACAUAUGAAAUCAAUUUGGCAAAGAAGUAACAAAAAGGUGAAGACAAAAAGAAGAAGAACAUAACUCUCAAAGCUACAACUAAGGAAGAAGAAGUUGAAGAAGAAAAACAAAUUGAAGAAGAUGAAGAUUUAGCCCUCAUCACAAGAAAGUUCAACAAAUUCAUGAGGGGUGAAAGGUUUAGAAGAAGAAGGUUCACUUCUAGAAGAGACUUUUCUAAAAAGGAAUCUUCAUCUAAUGGUGACAAAAAGAGAUGGGAAGAGAAAAGAGACUUGGUGUGUUUCAAGUGCAAGAAACCGGGACACAUUAAAUAUGAUUGUCCUCUCUACAAAAGUGAAGUCAAGAGGAAAAAGAAUAAGGCAAUGAUGGCCACUUAGAGUGAAAGUGAAGAUGAAUCAUCCGAAGAAGAAAAUGAGAAAGAAGUGGCAAACAUGUGUUUCAUGGCAAUAGAUGAACUUGAUGAGGUAAAAUCUAACCUUAGUGAUUAAGAUAUACAUGAUGCAUUUGAAGAAUUGUAUGAGGAUUUUUAAAAACUUAGUUUGAAAAAUAUUUCUCUUAAAAAGAAAGUUCAACAACUUGACAAAGAACUUAGAGAAGUAAAAGAAAAAUUUUCAAAUGUUAAAGUUUCUAAAACUCAUCUUGAAAAAGAAAAUGAGAUUCUAAGAAAGAAAAAUGAAUAGUUGAACUCCUCUCUUUCAAUCUUUUCUUCUAGACAAAAAUCUUUUGAAAUGAUUCUAACUAGCUAAAAAUGUGUUUUUGACAAACAAGGGUUAAGAUUUAAAUCUUCAAAAAAUCAAAAGUAUUUUAAAAACUAUUUUGUAAAGGAAUCCACAAGUGCAAGUCCUUCCACUACUUGCAACUUUUGUGGAAGAGAAUGGCACAUUAGUAGUACGCCCUUUAAGAAAUGGUUCUCAAAAGAAUUUAAAUGCAAAAACUAAAAAAGAUUUGGAUUGAGAAAUCCAAGGUCACUAACCCUCAAGGACCCAAAAAGAUAUAGGUACCUAAAUCAACUUGAGUUUUAUGUUGUAAGGUUCAAAGAAUGAUAAGUGGUUCUUAGAUAAUGGUUGCUCAAGACACAUGACCGGAGAUGAAUCCAAGUUUGCUUUUCUUAAAAAGAAAAAUGGAGGAUAUGUUACCUUUGGAGACAAUGCAAAAGAAAGGAUGAUUGGUCAAGGCAACAUUGGUAAUGGCACAUCCUCUCUCAUUGAAAGUGUUUUAUUAGUAGAUGGUUUCAAACAUAACCUUUUAAGCAUUAGUCAAUUUUGCGACAAAGGUUUUUAAGUGAUUUUUUAAGCAUCUCAUUGCAUCAUCAAGGAUAUUCAAAAUGAUAAAACCAUUUUCAUGGGCCAUAGAUGUGAUAAUGUUUAUGCUAUAAAUAUUUCAAAAUAUGAUGGCCAUGAUAGAUGUUUUUCAAGCAUGCAUGAUCAAAGUUGGUUGUGCCAUAGGAGAUUGAGACAUGCUAACAUAGACCUCAUUUCCCAACUCAACAAAGAUGAACUUGUUAGAGGCCUUCCCAAAAUAAUUUUUUAAAAAGAUAAAGUUUGUGAAGCUUGUCAAGUGGGAAAGUAAAUCAAAAACUCUUUUAAAAACAAAAACUUCAUUUCCACAUCUAGGCCACUUGAGUUGUUGCAUAUGGAUUUAUUUGGUCCCUCUAGGACACCAAGUCUUAGAGGAAAUUCUUAUGCAUAUGCUAUUGUGGACGACUUCUCUAGAUACACAUGAGUCUUGUUUUUUAGUCAAAAGAAUAAAGUUUUUUAUGAGUUUUCAAAGUUUUGCAAUAAGAUUCAAAAUGAAAAAGGUUUUUCAAUUACUUAUAUAAGAAGUGAUCAUGGGAGAGAAUUCGAAAAUAUUGAUUUUGAAGAGUAUUGCAAUGAGCAUGGAAUUGACCACAAUUUUUUGGCUCUUAGAACUCCUCAACAAAAUGGGGUAGUUGAAAGGAAAAAUAGAACUCUUCAAAAAAUGACAAGAACCAUACUAAAUGAAAACAACUUACCAAAAUAUUUUUAGGCCAAAACGGUUAACACUUCUUGUUAUGUUUUAAAUAGAGUAUUAUUGAGGCUCAUACUUAAGAAAACUCCCUAUGAGCUUUGGAAAAACAAAAAACCCAACAUUAGUUAUUCCAAAGUCUUUGGAUGCAAUAUUUUAUAAUAAACACCAAAGACAAUCUUGGAAAAUUUGAUGCAAAAUUGGAUGUUGGAAUUUUCCUUGGUUACUCAACUUCAAGUAAAGCUUUUCGAGUUUUAACAAAAGAACCAUGGUUGUAGAGGAGUCCAUCCAUGUUAUUUUUUAUGAAUCUCCAAGAAAGAGAGAGGAUUGAUGAUGAUUUAGGUUUGAAGACCUCUAUAGGAAGAUUGCAAAUCGAAGAUAGAAGACAACAAGAAGAAAAUGGAGAGAAUCCAAAGAAAGAAGGAUCACCAUUGGCACUACCCCCUCAUCAACAAGCGCAAGGUGAAUCAAGUCAAGAGCUUCCUAAAGAAUGGAAGUUUGUCAUCAAUCACCCACAAGAUCAAAUUAUAGGCAAUCCAUCUAGUGGGGUAAGAACUAGAUCCUCUCUUAGAAAUAUUUGCAAUAAUCUAGCUUUUAUCUCUCAAAUUGAGCCUAAAAAUAUAAAUGAUGUUUUAGAUGAUGAAAAUUGGAUAAUUGCAAUGCAAGAAGAGUUAAAUCCAUUUGAAAGAAGUGGAGUAUGGGAAUUAGUACCAAGACCUUCAAAUCAAAGUGUUAUUGGAACUAGAUGGAUCUUUAGAAAUAAAAUGGAUGAAAAUAGCAUAAUUGUUAGAAAUAAAGCAAGAUUGGUAGCCCAAGGUUUUAAUCAAGAAGAAAUGAUAGAUUAUGAAGAAACCUUUGCCCCCGUAGCUAGGUUGGAAGCCAUUAGGAUGCUACUUGCCUUUGCAUGUUUUAAAGACUUUGUUUUAUAUCAAAUGGAUGUGAAAAGUGCUUUUUUAAAUGGUUUUAUAAAUGAAGAAGUAUAUGUUGAACAACCACCCGGUUUUCAAAGUUUCAACUUUCCUAACCAUGUUUUUAAACUUAAAAAGACACUUUAUGGUUUGAAACAAGCACCUAGAUCAUGGUAUGAAAAAUUGAGUAAAUUUCUUUUGAAAAAAAUGUUUUAAAAUGGGAAAAAUUGACACAACUCUUUUUAUAAAAACCAAAGAAAAUGAUAUGCUCUUAGUUCAAAUAUAUAUUGAUGAUAUCAUUUUUGGUGCUACUAAUGUCUCUCUUUAUGAAGAAUUUUCUAAGUGCAUGCAUAGUGAGUUUGAAAUGAGCAUGAUAGGAGAACUCAACUUCUUCCUUGGACUUCAAAUCAAGCAACUAAAGGAAUGAACCUUCAUCAAUCAAGCAAAGUAUAUAAGAGAUCUUCUCAAAAGGUUCAACAUGGAAGAAGCCAAAACAAUGAAGACUCUAAUGAGCUCAUCCAUUAAGCUUGAUAAGGAUGAGAAAGGUAAAUCCAUUGACUCUAUUAUGUAUAGAGGCAUGAUAGGUUCUUUGCUCUAUUUGACCACUAGUAGACCUUACAUUAUGUAUAGUGUGUGUUUGUGUACUAGAUUUCAAUCUUGUCUUAAAAAAUCUCACUUAAGUGUCGUGAAAAGAAUCCUCAAAUAUUUGAAAGGGACAAUGGACAUAGGCUUAUGGUAUCCUAAGAGUGAUAACUUUGAAUUAAUUGGUUUUUUGGAUGCUGAUUUUGUCAGUUGUAGGGUUGAAAAAUAAAACACUAGUGGCACUUUUCAUUUCUUAAGACACUUACUUGUCUCAUGGCAUAAUAAGAAGCAAAAUUUGGUAGCUUUGUCAACAGCAGAAGCUAAAUACAUAGCAACUGGUUUAUGUUGUGCACAAAUCCUUUGGAUGAAAUAAACACUUAGUGAUUUUGAUUUAUCUUUUGAGCAUAUUCCUAUUAAAUGUGAUAAUAGUAGUGCCAUAAGUAUAUCAAAAAAUCUCGUGCAACACUCUAGGACUAAGCAUAUAGAGAUUAGACAUAAUUUUCUUAGAUAUCAUACACAAAAGGAUGAUAUAACACUUGAAUUUGUAAGCAUAAAAGACCAACUUGCCGAUAUCUUUACAAAACCUCUAAGAACAUUUUGUUGAUAUUAGAGGACAAUUAGGAGUGAUUUCUUUAUGAUCUAAUGUGAUGAAUUCUUGAUGAAUAUACUUUUUGAUUGCAUGAAUUUCAUGUCAUAUAUGCAUCAUAUAGAAAUAUACUUAGAUAAUGGUCAAAUUUCGACCAAAAAUCAAAAUUCCCAUGGCAUUAGGCAUAAAAAUUUUGGAAUUUCAACUGAAAAUGGUAGGAGGAGGAUCACAAAAUGAGAAAGUAUGCAAAAAUUGAAAAAUCAAAACGUUGACCAAGCGGUCAAUCGGACUAGACCGAUCGACUAGUUUGUCGAGAUUUAGGAUUUUUAAGAGACUCCAACGCUUCAAUUUUUGCACCGUUCUCCUCUAUUUCUUCACGGUUUCUCUGAUUUUGUCUUUUAGAGACUAAUUUGAGUGCGUUUUGGAUCAAUUGAAGCAUUUUGGAUUGGAUUUUAGGAAGAUUGAAAGUUAAGGUUUCGGAUUUGGGUCGCCUUCUCUUCCUCUCGCGUGUCACAAUCAGCUUUAGCAUUGUUCUCUUUCCAUUUUCACACACCUAGGGUUUCAGUUGUGAGCAUCUCUCUCUCUUUACCAACCACUACUCCCUUGCUUCUUCCAUAUGGCUCCUAGGCGAGAGUCCGCUACUUCUAGGGCACAAGGCAAGCACCCAACUGAGUCGUCUCAGUCAAAGGCACGUCGAAAAGUGAGAUUUGACAUUGCCUUGUUCAGUUCCAUGGAGGACUACCAACUAUACAAGCAACACUUUGCUUAGAGACGAGUAGUUCCCAAGAGAAAUAUUAAUUUUCCUCAACUUCAGCAUUUCGAAUUUAAGGGUCUAUUUACUAGGAUGGUUGGUUGUCUAUUGUCACAAUUUCGGAGCCGGUUUUCCUGACCUUAGUGCGAGUUUUUUACUCGAGGGCGACUUAUGGCAUGGGUGGCAUGAUCAUUUCUACUGUUGGAGGAGUUGAGAUCUGUCUGGACCCAGAGAGCAUCUGCCAUAUUUUCGAUAUUGCUCUGGUUGGACUCAAAGUAUACAAGUCCAAAAUGUGGCCCAUUGUGCCAGGAUUUGAGCUUAGAGAGGUCAUUCAGAGGAUUUGUGAACUUCCAGACGCCCAGGAGAUGGGCAAACCAUUGCCACACAGUUUGACGGUCAUCAACAGGGUGCUACACCAUAUAUUGUGCUCUAUCUUUCUACCACGAAGUGGACAUUGAGAUGAGGUCUCUUAUUAUGAGGCAUUCCUUAUUGACUCCAUUCUAACGGAGAGACGAAUUCAUCUACUAUGUCAUCAUUCACUAAGCCUCCUCACAGUGACAUACCACCUCAUCAGGCACCUCUUGCUCCUGACCAUGCUCCAUUGAUGGAUUUAUUUACUCAUAUUAGCUCUCUAGGCACUCGCAUGAAGGAGUUUGUUGUAGUUAGUGAUACAUGGUUCUACUCCAUAGAGGAUCGCAUGGAUCAGUAUCAGACUGGCUUCACGUCACAGUUUGAGUAUCUCCAAUAGAGGAUUGAGCAUAUUGAGGAUCACUUGAGCAUGAGAAGAUGAUGGCUUUUCUAUGCUCUGUGUUUCCACCUCCACCUCGUCAACCUUGAUUUCUUAGAGACCCAUUGUUUUCAUUUUGUAAUGUUGCCAAAAGGGGGAGAUAUUUAGGAUCUAGGACUCUAUAGGAGACUUACAUGCAUAUCAUUUUCAUAUCAUUGUUUGGAUCGUACAUAUUGGAUAGUGAUACUUUUUACUUAUAUAUGAUAUGCCUAUAUGUUUCAUGUCUUACAUUGUUUCUUAUUGCAAAUUAUCUCUAACAUGUCUUGAUUAUCUUUUUUUUAACUUCAUAAAUUUUGAUUGUUAACCCAUGAUUGGUUUGAGGGGAAGAUUCUUCUUCUCCUAGAUAACCAAGGUUUGUCAUCAUAAAAAAAUUGGAGAUUGUUAGCCCAAGGGUUCUCCUAAUCAUGUUUUGAUGAUAACAAACCAUGCUUAAGUUACUAAUUGGUUUGAAUUAUAAAGAAUUUCAAGUGUUAAUUUGAAAAUUCAUCAAAGAACCUAAUGGAUGCAAGAUCAAGAUUUUUGGAAGACCUUUAAUCAUAAGAAACAUAUGUAAGAUGAAUGCAUGGGUGCACUUAAGAUUUGCAUAUCAUUUCAUGCAUAUUUGGAAAACACGGUUUAUGCUUUAAAGUUACAUUUCCAUCAAAAUUUGAGAUCCAUCAAAUGAACCUUAGGAAAAAUGUUUUAAAAUUGGCAUAUAAUUUUACCUAAAGACCUUGCCUAAGUGUUAGAAGCAAAAGGACAAAAAAAAUAUAGGUUUUCUGGUCAAAAAUGGUGAACCAGUCAAGGCAUUGUCUAAAUCAGCUCAAUCGGCCAAGGUACCGGUCGAUCGGUUUCCCUUUCCCUGUCGAGAUCUAGUCAAGAGGUACAAAAAUCACAAUCUCUGUCUCUUUCUCUCUUUGUCUAUCUUCCAGUAGUCUUUCCUUCCCGGUCGAGGGAUUUGCCUUCCCGAUUGAGGUCCGAUUGAGAGUAAUAGUCACUUGCCAAAUAUUAAAUGCUCCAACAGUUAGUGAACUGGUCGACCCCCACCUUGCCCAGUUGAGGUUACUUUUUGGUUUUCUUGGCUCCCGAUGUUAGAAACCUAUAAAUAGAGAGUUCCACUUCAUUUAUGAGCAAGAGAACACUUGCAUUUAUUUGUUUACCUACUUGUUCUUGCCUUAAAAGCUCUCAUUUCUUUUCUUGGUGCAUUAAAUCUCCAUUUUGAUAUCCUUUAGUGCACCUUUGUGAUUCAUCUUAGCCUUGAGUUGUAUUUGAGCCCUUUUUUUAGCUAGGUUGAGAGUUUCAUACUUGUUAAUUGAGUGUUAAAGCCUUCAAGUGAGUUGAAACUUGUAGAGAUUAUGUGAGAGUCGAUUGGAGCCGAAAUCCAAGUGUAAAGGUGAUUAGAAGCUUGGUUGAAGCUUCAAGUUAGUGGAAUCCUCACUCAAUUAGGAGCUUGAGGAGAGUGGACGUAGCCAAGGAAGUGUCGAACCACUAUAAAAUUUGAGUUUGAUUUCUCUAACAUUGUCUCUUUAUAUUUGUUUAUCUUGUGCUUAAAUUUAUUGUGUUUAAAAAGAAUUUUUAAAUACCCAAUUCACCCCCCUCUUGGGUGUUUUUCUCUUUUAAAAUUAGCCUUUAUUUUCUCACAAACUAUUGUAGUAUAGUGGUUUUUAGGUGUCAUCCAUUAGGAUGAAUUGUUCUCGGUAAUUAAGGCGUGAAUGAGAGGAGAAUUAAUGAUUGUGAUUAAGUAAAAUUGAUUUGAAAAUUCAUGGUGAAAAAUCAAUUUAACAAUGGUUUCUAAUUGAGAAAAACAAUGAAAUGUGAAAUAAAAUAAAAUUAAUAGGAAAUGAAAUUCUCGAAGUUAGAAUUUUCUAAAAAACAAAUUCCAUGGUGAAUGGAUGUUGAGAUCUAAUUUUCAUCAAGUUAGAUUGAAAACCGAAAUUUUCAUAUAAACUGAUUUUUUAUUUAGUUUUAGGUCUAGAUUUAAUUUCCCUUAAAAUUAGGUUAUUUAAUCCAAGAAAUCAAUUCAAAUCAUAUAUUCAAUUCAUCUUAAAUUAUCUUCCAAUUAUUCACACAAUGCAACUAUUCAAUCUCAUCAAAUCUAGCUUUUAAGAAUUUAAUGAAUCUACCUAGUUUGCAUUGUAAUAGUCAUCCAUGACAAUUUGAAGAGAAAAAUAAUUCAAUUAAUCAAUCACUUGGAUCAAAUUACCUUUGCAAUUAAAGUUCAUUUCUCUAAUUCACCACAGAUUUUGUCUCUAGAUCCUCCUUUCUCAAAGAAAAAUGAGAUUUAGCCACACAUGAUUGGAGAUUUGGUCUCAUAAGGCAUGUUUAGCUAGUGAUAAAAUGAGAGAAAAUAAAGAAAAAUAGAGAAUUCGAUUAAGAAAGAAAAUCUAAAAAAUUCUACAAUUAGAAAUGUCCAAAAAGCUUUUUCAUGAGAAAAUCAAGUUUCUAUUUAUAGGCCAAGGUCAAGUGGACACUUGACAUCAUCUAAGAGGUCUUCCGGAAGCUUCUUCAUCAAGAAAUCUGGAGUUUAAUAAUAAAAUGGUCAUUUCACAAGAGCUCAAACAAUUUCGCAUGAUUAUGUGAAAUAAAAAAUGCAACAACAGCAAUUUACAUCUUCUUGGAGCAUUUCGCAUGACUGUGUGAAAUUUUCACAUGAUCAUGUGGAAUCGACUUGACAACUCUCAUUUAGCCUACAACAUAAUUCCACCUUUUGGUCCAUUUUUCAUAGUCAUGCGAAAUGGAAAUAUUUGAUUUUUAAGUUUUCUUUUGUCAUUUCUUUCAUUUCCUUCUCUUGAUUCCACUUCAACUACCUCCGAAUCCUGGUCCAAACCAAUUGCAUUACUUCUUUCAUUAUGCAUUUGGAUCAUCAUCAACAUUAUUUGUUCUCUUCAAUUUGAUUCAUCUCUUUUGUCACCAAUUUAUCAAAAUCAUACCUUGAAAUGACUCCAAAACUUCAUAAAACUUGUUAGUAACUCUUGCAAGGGCAACAACAUAUUAAUUAAGUGUUUUAGGCAUAGUUACUACUCAAAAGAUGCGAAACUCAUGAUAAUUAUUAUAUAAAAUAUGCUCUUUUUGAGUAGUAAUCAACUUUCUUGCAUAAGCAGACCUUUUAGGGUGGAGUACUAAAGACCAAUAUGCUUGUCCUUGUUGUAAUAAAGAAACUUGCUCUUAUUGAUUGCACCAUGGGAGAAAAUUUUGCUACAUGAGUUAUCAUCAAUUUCUUCCCACCAAUCAUAGAUUUAGACGUGACAAGAGGCCUCUUAAUGGCAAGGAGGAACUGACACUCACACUUAUACAAUUAUCGGGCAUUGAUGUGUUGCAACAAUUAGAAUAACUUACACCAAUUAUGUUGGGGAAGUCACAAAAGGCAAACAUGAAAACUAAAAGGAAAAAAGAAAAAUGUUACAUAUCACCACAACUGGAAAGAAAAAAGUAUUUACUUUCAUUUGCCAUAUUGGAAAGCACUUAUUUUACAUCAUAAUAAUUUAGACAUAAUGCAUAUUGAGAAAAAUGUGUGACAAUAUAAUUGAGACAUUGUUCAGUAUUGACGAAGAAACAAGGACAACCUAAAUAGUCAUCUCGAUUUACAAGCUCUAACUAUUAGAAAUGAGAUUCACCCAAUAGAAAGCAGGACCAAAUUUAUUUUGCUUGCAACAUGCUACUCACUCACCCCAAAUGAGAUUAAGGAAUUUUGCAAGUUUUUGAAAUCAAUAAAGGUCCCCAAUGGCUAUUCUUUCAAUAUCUCUCGUUAUGUGCAACUCAAUGAAAGGAAGAUAUAUGAGCUCAAAUUGUAUGAUUGUCAUGUCCUAAUGCAACAACUUCUCUCACUUGUAGUUCGUGGAGUUCUACAUAAGAAUGUUUGUGGAGUUAUCAUAGAAUUGCGUAAUUUUUUCAAGCAAUUGUGCUCAAAGGUGUUAGAAACAAAUCACUUACACCAACUUGAGAACAAUAUUAUUGUCAUACUAUGUAAAAUGGAGCAAAUAUUUCUUCCAUCAUUCUUUGAUAUUAUGGUGCAUUUACUUGUGCAUCUAGUAAGGCAAAGGUUGCAAGACUUGUGCAAUAUUGUUGGAUGUACCUAAUUGAACGAUAUUGUUAUAAUUUCAUAUGAAUCAUUUAAUUUUAUUUUAUAUUAUGUUCAGUUCAUUAACAUGUACAUUGGUCUACAUAUGGAUGAUGAUAGGUACCUAAGCACUUUAAAGUCAUAUGUGCGUAAUAGAACUUUUCUAGAAGGUUCUAUUGUAGAAAGGUACCUUGCAAAAGAAUGUACAACAUUUUAUUCUAGGUACUUGAAUGAUGUGGAAAUAAAGUAUAAUCACAAUGAUAGAAACUUUGUUGGUUUCAACACUAGAGGAGAUGAAAGGGGUUAUCUUUAAACAUAUUGGACAUGCAUUGGGAAAGCCCAUAUUUCAUUAACUUAGUUCAAAAGAGUGGUCACAAGCACAUUUAUAUGUGUUGACAAAUUGCGAAGAUGUCAUACCAUUCAUUGAGUAAAAAAUUUAUUUGAAUUUUAAUUAAAGCUCUAGUUUAUAUCCUUAAUCAAUGUUUUUUAAAUUCACAAGGAGCACAAGCAAACCAUCAAGGCUAGACCACAUAUACGUGUUUGAGACGUAGAUUUAAUUCAUAACAAGGAAUUUAUCAAGUGGUUUGAAAGACAUGUAAGUAUAUUCCUUAUUAUAAGGGAUUUAUUUCACAUUAUGUUUAUAUUGAAUCCAAACCUAUUAUUGAAUUGUAGGUUGAACAAUUACAUAAUGAAGGUCAUAUAUCUGAACACCUUCUCACAUUAUCAUGUGUUCCAAAUUCAUUAGUUACAUGCUUCAAAUGAUAUAUUGUCAAUGGAUUUAGAUCCCACAUUAAAGAACGUGAUAAAAAAGUUUUUAAAAAAAGACUCAGAAUAAUGGAAUUGUUGUAGUUGCAAAAACGUCAAGCUUUACAAGUGCAUGUGAUAUGAGUCCAAUUAUUAGUGAUGCUCUCUACUAUGGUGUUCUAACUAAAGUUGUUGAGUUACAUUAUCUUGGUGAAAAUAAGGUUGUUUUAUUCGAGUUUGAUUGGUGGGAUGUUACAAAUAUUGGAAAAUUGAUAAAAGAUGAUGAGUACAAUUACACAUUUGUUAACUUUGCAUGAAUUCUAACCACGAACGAACGAUUUGUACUUGCAUCUCCAGCAAAGUAAGUGUUCUAUGUGAAGAAUGCGAAUGAAUCAGAUUGGCAUACUAUCAUGGAGAUGCAACCUCAAGACCUCUAUAAGAUGAACGGGAUAGGAUCCAAUGGUGAUUUUGAACCAUUUCAACAAAGUGAACUACAUGAUCACUAAUAUAUCUCAGAUUUAGUUGAUGAAGAUAUAAUCAAGUGGAACAAAAGUGAUGUUUUAGGACUAAUCAUCCUAAAAAAUAUUGUAGUUUCUUAAAAAAAAAAUGAAAAUGAAGAAGAUAAUUGAACCUUUGUCAUACUUUAAAAAGCAACUAUGCAUUGUUCAUUUUGUAUGUUUUGGUUUUCUUCAUUUAAUUUCCUGAUUUUUGUGAUUCAAUGUCAUAUUAUUGAUCUUGAAAUAUUUUUCUAAUUUUUCAUUCUACGAUGGUUUCAACAAGGAUGACAUCAAGUCAAAAAAGGAAAUGUGGUCCCACACACAAUAUUGCAUUACAGGGAUUAAGGUCAGGGAAGAAGGUAAAAGUUGCAUUUAAUGAGUACAAUCAAUUGGUUAAACAGAAAAAUGGAAAACACUUAUCGAGCUACAUAGGGACACUUGUAUCUAACCAACACAAUGUACCUCUCCAAGCUAGUGAUUGGAAAAAUGUUCCAAAUGAUGCAAAAGAGAAAGUAUGGCCUUUGUUUUGGUAUGUUGUAUUUCUCACUAUAUGAUGUCAUUUCACUGUUAUUCUAUUUUGUGACUAACGUUUGAAUCAUAUGUAAGAAAAAUUUGAAGUAGAUAAAGACUGAAAAGAUUACAUGUUGGGUAUAGCCUCAAAUAAAUAUAGAAGCUAUAAAAAUAUGAUGAAUGCAAAAUACUAUGACCCUUGGCAUAAGGAUGCAUGAGGAGAGGUUAAUACAUAAAUCACCAUUUGUCUCUGAUGUUGAUUGGAAGUGGCUUGUCUCUGAUGCAUAAACCAAAUCCCCCACUGAAUGUUUGAUAUUUGAUAGCAGGAAAAACACACCCGCAGCUAUACACCUCCAUCAUUCAGAUAAUUAUAGUGGGGGAGAUGAUUCAUGGUUGCCCUUAUACCCUUUAUUUGCACCAUCUAUUGAGAUUCUUUAUCAUGGCCAGGUUUUACUGCAGCAAUAAGAUAUGGUGGCAACAAUUUUAUCUAUAGGUGCGGUUCCAGACCGCCUCCAUAGGUGCGGUUCCUGACUGCCUCCAUAGGUGCCUCUUCUUGUAAUGUUUGUUCUGGGAAUUACACUUGAAAGCCUUAUCGUGAUAAGGGAUUACAAACACUAGUUCAGAGGACAGCCAUGUUAAACUUCCACUAUGUUUGUGUCACAUUAUCAGCAGCCUAGUGUUUAUUGGUCAUGCUAUCUGCAACUAAUAUAACCCGGUGAACUUCAAUCUAAAUUCUGAAAGUACUCAUGUGACAGAUGGUGCCUUUCAGCAGAUAUCAUCAAUUUAAAAGUAGUGUGUGUGCCUAUAGGUGGGAAGGCCUUGGCAAAUGUUCAGUAUUCCGGUAAUUCAAGAAGGAUAUAUCUAAAAUAGAUUUUCUUCUUGCCCAUUUCAAUAGUUAAAAUUUGAGAAGAUUGUGUCCACAUCACACAAAUAUUAUUGGUCCUUCUGUUGCAAUUUACCUCUGAACAUGUCUUCCAAUUCCCACGGUCCUGUUACUCCAGGAAAACUAUUUCGGUCAUAUUGAAAAAAAAAAUAUUAAAGAAGGUACACAUGCUUUUAAGUGGACUGGGGCAUUCAUAUCAGGUGGUCUGUAUCCACAUAUGCCACUUCGUGAAAGGUGGAACAGCCUAAUCACUAGGCUAUUUAGUGUGGCCCAGCCACGUUAAUCAAGCACAAGUCUUCAUACUUAAAGUCAAAUGGUGUCUUUAGUCUCAUUACACAUCGCUAUUUGAAGAUUAACUCAUCACUAGUGUAAUGCGAUUAAGACAGUCCUAACUCAAUAUUUGUUCUAGUUUUGGAUGCAAAUGCUUGCUGGUUUCAUCAUUGGAUGGGAUAAAGGUGCAAUCAGGACUAUGAAUACGUGCAGUAAUACUUCAUUCUCUUUUUUCUCAAUGAGACUUCUUGGCACAAUUUUGCUGCUCAGCAACCUACCUUUCCAUGGAAAAUCAGUUGUGACUGAUAGUAAUGGAUAUAUUCUAGAAAGCUAAACAUAGAUAGCAUUCAAUAUUAUCGAUAUAACAUUAACAGCGUAUGUCUCAAUGCUCAUCAGCUACAAGCAAUGGACAAACACUUUGAGUAACUCACAGCAGUCAAAAUUCCUAAACAGGACAGACGUGACAGAUCUAUAUAUAGAACACUGCAUAUGAGUCACAGGAAAAGAUAAUACGGGUACAUAGAAGCUCUUAUUUUACAUAUUACUCAUACUGAUCAAAGUCGCUCAGUUGGGAUGGAUGGGAGAAGGAGGUUUGAGGGGUGGCUUGUGCGGGGAAGUUGGCAGCUUCUUUCCGGGAGCUGGUUGCUUCUUUGCUGGAGUUGAAGGAGGCUUAAUCUUCCGAGGUGGCUUGUAUGAGUCUUCAGCAUUCUCAGCAGGAGGGUGACCAGGGUUGUGACCAUAAUGUGGUGGCUUCUCUCCCUUAGGUGGUUUGCCAACUGGGGUUGGUGGCUUGUUUUCUGGGAGUGGCUUCUCUCCCUUGGGUGGUUUGCCAACUGGGGUUGGUGGCUUGUGUUCUGGGAGUGGCUUCUCCCCCUUGGGAGGUUUUUCGAAUGGGGUGGGUUUGUGUCCUGGUGGUGGCUUCUCUCCCUUGGGAGGUUUACCAAUUGGGGUCGGUGGCUUGUGUUCUGGGAGGGGCUUCUCUCCCUGGGGAGGUUUAGUGGGUGGCUUGUGUUCUGGAGGUGGCUUCUCCACCGGAGGCUUAUGCUCUGGUGGUGGCUUCUCGAAGGGGGGAUGCUCAGGGUAAUCACCAAGUGAGGGGGUGGUGAGAACCACCAUGCCAAGCAACAACACUAGCAAGUAUGUAGUAGACAUCUUUGGGUUUGGACUCAGACAGUGCAAAACUACGAGAAAUCGCUAGCCCUUUAUAGCGGCUCGGACCUAAUACUGACAUAAUAUAAAAUAAAUAUUAUAUUUUAUCAAGAGAGAACAGAGUGUAAUUUUAUCAUUAAUACCGAUCGAGGCCAAAGAAAGAAGACCCAUAAUCCAUUUCCCACAAGCAUACACAAUGCAGCUGUAAUUUUAUCAUUUACUUUUAUCCCUUGGACCACUGCAUUUUUGUUGAGAGACACAAUAACACAUUUUUAUCUGUCAUUCAACAUUUACAGUAAAGAGAGGGCACAAAACGCAAUUAGAUAAAUUAUGUUUUGCCUGCUAAAAAGAGGCAAAUAACUUUAUUUGCAACAUAAUUAUUUUGGUUUCUAGUGACCCCGGGGCCUUUCGGUUGGUUUGGGAUCGGAAAAUGAACAUCAUAGGGGGGGUUGUGCCCUUAUGGGCAUAUAUAUCUGAUAGCUUCAACUGGCCUUGUUCCUAGAAAGAAAUUGCCAAAGAUAUAAACUUAUUCCAGGCUGAAAGUAGAUGAGAGUCAUAAUGAACAUCAACCUUUGUUCAGUUUGAUUCAAUGCCCCCAUAGUGUUCAUUUCACAGAUCUGAAUGAUUAUAUCCGUUGAAUACAUAAAUUAAUGAAGACAAAUAUGAAACCCAAGAUACAUCUCUGCAUAACAACCCCAACCCUGGUUGCUAUGUUUCCCUUCUUCUAUUCACAUGAGGAUACUGGUUAUAAUUGUCAAACUUGCAACAAGCCCUUUGACACCUAACGUCAAUGGACGAAUUAAAAGUCUCCUUCAAACGUCUAUUUCACAGCAUGAAGCUUAUAAAGGAUGCUGACAACCUUCAGAGUUAGCGACAAAAGAUAAUUAUCAAGGAGAGAUAGUUCCAUGAGAAUUCCAAGGAGUCUGAAUCAAAGACAAAUUGCUCACUCAAGGGUUCUUAUUUUCUUUUAGGUACAAAUCUCUUGAGUGUUGUUAAAGAAACACGUCACUGUCAUUUUGAUUUGCAUUUAACAUUUCACUUUUGUUCUGGAAGGUUUGUUCCGGAAACAUAUCAAAUGAGCAUCAUUUUCUUCUUCGGUGACACAUGGUCGCGAGUACGUGGGUCCAUUUUCAUGCCACUUAGUUGAAAAGUUGGAAAGAAAAAACAUGCCAACAAGAAGAUAGUGAGAGAAGGGGCACUUCAAGCCUUUAACAUGAACAAACAGUAAAUAAAAGAUGUUUCUCCACUCAUAAAAGUGUGUUAGAUAGCAAUAUAACGAAUCACAUCCAAAAUCUUUACUAGGCUCAAACAUAAAGAAGACUCAUUUUUAAGAAAAGAUAAAAAUGGCAUUGUCUGAUAGUAUCCAAUACACGAGAUGGCACUUAAUUUGUACAAGAUCUGUCAAUGCUGACGCACAUUUUCUGAUUAAAAAAAAACUGAUCAGUCAAAAGCAAUGAAGAGAAGUGAUGACAAUGAAUGAUGCUUCCAAUAUUUUCACCCCUUAUAGUGUUCUUCAUGAUUCAGAUAUAUAAUUGGAAAUAGAACAACCCUAUGCCAUACAUUCGUCUAAGUAUGGUGUCUAAUUUUUUGUGUCAGCGGUUGCGAAUGGAGCGUGCAAAAGUCCAAAUUGGCGUCUCUCCAUUUCCACAUAGGAAGGUGACCUUUAUUGACAAAUACCCAAUAUUUGUAGACAUUCCUUAAAUAUCAUAACUUCUUGUUGAUUUGAAAAUCAUUUUUCAACUACCAUGUUUUAAUAAAUAUUUUUUAAAAUGUAUUUUUAUCAAAGUCCACCAUGAUGGAUAAUAUUCACCAUGCAAUAAUUAAUAAAGUACAAACUAAGCGAAAUGAAAAGCAUUUUCUUUGCUUUGAGUUGAUUUUGGUUGCAUUGAGUUGAUUUUGGUUUCAUGGUUUUUUCAACUCUUAUUUUGAUUGGAAGAUGUCAAGAAAAGAAAACAUAAAGAAAAAUUAAAAGGGAAAAAAGAAGAAAAAUAAAAAAAAAUAGAUUUAAAAGUUAAUAAAUUAUUUUUUAUAUUUAUUUUAAUUCAUUUCACUUAUUUUUCUUUUACUAUAUAAAAUUUAAAUAAUUUAAAUUUUAUAAUUAAUUUAAUUACAUUUCAUUUUCUUCUAUAUUUAAAUAUUGGAAAAAUAUUUUACUUAAUAUUUUUUUCUUUAAUUUCUUUGGCAUUUUGGGAACCAAACUUAGCCUUUAAAAUAAAAAACAAAAAAAAAAUGAAAAUAAGGAGGGAAAAGUGAGAAAAGAUAAAAACAAUAUGUAAAGGAUUUGAAAAGUAUUAGUUUGUAAUUACUAUUUGGAUUUCAAUAGUAUUUUAUUUGUCUUUCUAUAUUUCAUGUAAGAGAGAAUUUAAGAUAUUCCCCAAGGCAAAGCAUUAGUUACCUGCAAUCAGUGGUGAUAAGGCUCCAAGCCAAUUUUGGGCCCCAUAUCUUAAGACAGUACAAUUUCCAUUUCAACAUUUCUGAUUUCUCAGAUGUUUCACAUACCACAGAAGAACAUUGUUUGUGAAAAUAUGCAUUUAUGUUGGAUUUUGUAUGCUGUGGGGACUGGGGCAAGGAUCAUAUGGAAGAGUGGUUGACUUUUUCUGUACUUUAACGGUUGAAAUAGGAUAAGCACGGGCAUUUGUGAGGCUUAAUUGAUUUUGAAGCCUGAAAUUGCGUUUCUGUCAUUUUGUCAAAAAAAUGGCAGAUUCCAUACUCAUAUGUUUGGCCUGUGGCCAUGUACAGAUGCCAUUUAGUGACCAGUUUGUAACUGUCAAUCGUUGCGUUUUGACUCUGCCUCAACAACAUCUGCCAUUGACGGGUUUUCAUACUUGCAAAUCAAAUAGUCUUUCGUCCCAUCAGGAAUUUCGGUUUAAAUAUUAUUAAGCAUACGUUUGGCUGACAAUCAUUAUCCAGUUCAUGAUUUGGUUUCUUACCCUUAAUCAAUGGUUUCUAAGUGAAUAUAUGUAGAAGGAAAUCCGAAGUGUAGACAGUAGUAUCGAUAACUCUCAAUAUUCUCUAUAUAAUAGAAUAAACAGCGUCAUAGUGAUCGUCGCCUACAAGCAAGGUACAAAUACCAAAACGAGUGACUCACAUAGACAUCUCCCAACAAGAUGUAGUAGUGACUGACACAUGGACACAAUUAACUCGUAGAAAAGGAUAAGACCAUUGCACAGCAGCUCUUAUUUUACAUACUACUUAUGCUAACCAAAGUCAAUUAGUUGGGAUGGGUGGGAGAUGGAGGUUUGUGCGGUGGCUUGUGGGGCGGAGUUGAUGGCUUCUUUCCAGGAGCUUCUGGCUUUUUCAUCGGAGCUGAAGGAGGCUCAAUCUUAUGAGGCGGCUUGUAUGAGUCUUCUUUACUCUCGACAGGAGGGUGGCCAGGGUUGUGAUCAUAAUGUGGUGGCUUCUCUCCCUUAGGUGGCUUGCCAACUGGGGUUGGUGGCUUGUGUUCAGGAAGUGGUUUCUCUCCCAUGGGAGGUUUAGCAAUUGGGGUUGGUGGCUUGUGUUCUGGGAGUGGCUUCUCUCCCUUGGGAGGUUUAGUAGGUGACUUGUGUUCUGGAGGUGGCUUCUCCACCGGAGGCUUGUGCUCCGGUGGUGGCUUCUUGGUUGGAGGGGGCUUGGGGUAAUCAGCAAGAGAUGGGGUGGUGAGAACCACCAGUCCAAGGAACAACACUAGCAAGUAUGUGGGAGACAUUUUUGAGUUUGGGCUGAUCAGAUGAUGCAAAACUAAAGCAUUACGUGACCUUUUAUAGCAUGUAGCUCCCAAUACCCACUAAGUAUUGUGGGGUCCAUUUGUGCCCUACGGGGUUGAAAACUUAGACAAUUGGGCAAGGACCCACCUGACUAUGGAGGACUAGUGAGGUGUGAUCAUAGCUUUAGGAUUUUUCUUCCUCUGCAGCCGUCGUGCCGUUGGCAUGAUUUUCUUAAUCUUAAAUAAAGGCAUAGUUAUAGAGUUGUUUAAUCUCUAAAUGGGAUUUUAUAUAUAUCUUCAGAUAGCCAUUAAUAUAUUUGAUGAAGAAAGAAAGACAAGUGCAUACAACAUGUAUACGACUAGCUUUCAUGGAGUUCAUUUAUGAUCAGUUUUCCUGUACAUGUAAACCAGGAUCAUAUAUAUGUUUCUGUUCCACAACUAUUUUGGAAUCUUGUUUAUCAGUUUUUAUCAUUAUAAUGUCACAUAGGCUGCCAACUUGGGCGCUAAAAGAACCAGUUGGGCUAGUUCGUUUCAGAAUUUCAAUGUGGAUUCAGGAAUUGUUUUGUAAGAUAUGCGAAAUAGUAGAGGGAUGAAUAGUGUUUCAUUAAUAAAAGUGUCCUGUAAAUUAGAAGGUGUCAUAGAAACUAUAAUCAAUAAAUAACUUUUUUUCCCCACGGGUGGUGUUUCUUGUGGGGAUCAGUGACUGGUUUAGGUUCACCCAAAAUGAGUUCAGACUAAAAUUGGUUUGAGUCAAUGCCGUGUCUCUUUUUUCCAGAAAUCAACUAUUUUAUGCAUUGAAUAAAUCAUACAAAGAAAAUAUGAACGCCCGCAAAACCUAAACCCUGGUUGCUAACUUUCUAUGUUUCAGUUCUAUUCACGCAAGAAUAUUAGUUUAAGUUUGGGAAAAAUGGCAACUUACCUAGUGAUUACUUGGUUUUGGUUUGCGACUAUUUACGCAACCAACCAUGAGUUUGACUUUAACGUCAUGGGUUGAAGCCUCCUACAGGAAGGGAGAAAGCUCCACAGCUAGCUCCAAAAGAGAAUUAUCACAUUGAUAGCUCCAGAGAUUCCCAAGGGGACUGAAUCAAAGACAAGUUCCUCACUUUUUCUUCUUUUGAGGCCAAAUAUGAACCAAGGAUCACACAACCUCAUUCAACUUCAUAAGUUUGAUUUCAUGCAGUUGAACACUGGGUGAAGGCCAUGACAAGAAUUGAUUCAAAAAUUCUAUCACUCUUUUAAGUAAUGGAAGAUUAUUAUCUCUGAUUGGCAUCACAACAGCACAUGCUCCUAGAUCUUUCUAGACACUCCAUGCAAUGAAAGCACAAUGGAUCUUGUAACGAUAGAAACUAAGCCAUGCUACAGUACUAGAUGAUGAGGUAAAACUAGUAGACACGGGUGGCAGCCUAUAUGGGAGGGACACAAGUCUAAUUGAUUUGCAUUUCAGCAUUAUAGAUAGGUAUGUUUUGGAAGAUUUGUUCUGGAAAUACCGCACCAAGUAGGAUUCUUUUUCUCUUUAGUGGGUCCACUUGCAUGCCAAUUAACGAGUUGAAAAGUAUGAGCACCUACCUCGUGCUCGUGGAACCGAAGGUCAGUGAAGUGGGGCUCCUUUUGGCCUCGUGUAAACUUGAUUCAGAAGUGAAGUUAAUAGUCUUCCAUUCAGAUGGAUACAUGGGAAUUUUUCUCUUUUAUUUAUUUAUUUAUUUUUUUUUUGUGUGUGUAUGUCAAAGGAUAAUGAAUGAAGCGCGUUAGCUUGUUUUCUGACUGGAACCGCAGAUGUCCAAAUUGGAGUUCCUUCAUUUCUUACUUAGGAUUGUUACAUGUAUAAACAAGGUAUAAGAAAUAUGCCAACGUGUCUUGAGGAGUUAUUGAUUAGAAAUAACAAGUCACCCGACUGUAGAGUUCCAAGAUUUGAAUCUUCAGACCCUAUAGCAGCCUCUGGGGUACGUGGCAUCCUAUAGCAUAUUAAUGAAGGCUUUUUCGAUUUAGACUUCACAAUACCAAUUAAUAUGUAUGCACAAAAUGGAGAUGACCCCAAAAAAAACAGAAUCGCCAUAGUUUAUGAGGUUAAGGUGAUUCUCCACUUAAUAUCUACAUUAGCUAAUUAUGUAAAUCAAAUGAACUUCUAUUUUUCCUUUUUUUUUUUGGUUUAUGUCAAAUAGUAGCCCAUAAUUAACCCAACCAUUAGCCUGUUUGAAUUGAUUUCACAUGCACAAUGUUGUAGUAGUUCAUAUUUUGAAUUUUAUUUUUACAAAGGUAGUUAAGGAAAAUGAAGUAUAAUAAUUAUAAAAGCAGACUAUAUACACUACAAUAAUUGUUAGAAUGGUAUCUCAAAUUCUAAUUUAAAAUAUUAUUUUUUGUAAAAGAAAUAUUAUAUAGAAUAUUUCCUAAUUUUAUAAAUGAUUAUAAUUAGAUCUUUAUAAAAUAAGGAAAGUUGGUAAGAAUAUCUUUAUAAAUAUUUUAGGUCAUGAGAGAAAGAAAUGGGAUAAAAAUGUGAUGAAGAGGUGAAAUAAGAGAGUUGAUUAGGAUAUAGAUGUGAAGAAGAAAGGGAUUCAAUAUAUAUAUAUCUUUCAAUUACCACAUUAAAACCCUGUGAACCUUUUAUAUGGUUUACUUUAUUUUUAUAUUCCUCCUUUAAUAUAUUUACAUUAAUGCUUCCAUUGGCACAACAAUAACGAAUUACAAAUACAAGCAACAAGUCCCAUGUUUUAUUACCAAAAGCAGGUAAAAUCCACCUAAUAUAUUACAAUAUAUUCAUCCAAUAUUUUAGACCAAUUCUUCACCAUAAAUAUCAUAAUGUGGCUUUUGUUCUUUCUUAAAUUUAAAUUGAAUUGUCUUAUAUCAAUUUGUUUGUGAUUUUUUCAUUAACUUCACUUUCAUUUGGUUAUCUUUGGUUUUUGAAAAGUAUUAAGGAAUUAAUUAACAAAAUAAUGUUAAGAAAAAUAAUUUUCUCUCUUUUGAUUUUGAUUUUGUAGUAGAAAAAUAUAAUUAAAAUUAUUUAAAAAGUAUGUAAUUUUAAAUUAUUUAAUAUUUAGAUAAAAAAAAUAAGUCUAAUGAGUUUAAAAUAACAUAUAAAAAUAAUUUAUUUAUUUUAAAUUUAUUUUUUAUUUUCCAUUAUGUUCUCUUUCUCUUUUACUUUUUCAUAUUUUUUCUUACGAAGAAUCAAACACAACCUCAUAUUAUAUGUCAAGUGUUUGUCUAUAUUUGAGCAAUGUUAGAUACGGCCAUGGAUUCAUCAAACUAAACUGAUUUUAAUAGAUACUUCACAAAUUGAUUUAUACACUAAAUCAUUGGAUAGCAAUGAUGCAUUGGAAUUAAACGUAGGAUGAAGCUCGAAGAACACUGUUUGUGUAACAACAUAUUUAUGAAAUUAUGCAAAGGAUGAGCUUCGGGGUAGUAGUACAAGGUCAUUAAUGGAGAGCCGUGUUAAACCUUGAUUGUGAUUGGAUUCCGUUAUCAGCAACAGCAACCUUGUUUGUAACCUUGAAAGUCAUUCUGUCCACAUCGAAACUCCAAUUUGACGUUUGUAAUUACCAUUCCUGGAGUGUUCCUUGAUUGAAAUUUAAAUAAUAAUUGCGGCCCACAAGGAAUAUUUUCGAUUCUGUGGGAAUUUGACAAGGUUUGUUAGAGAAGACUGGUGACAUGUUGACUUCAAUGGUUCAAAUAGGAGACGUAUGUGGAUUUGGGGGGUUUAAUUGAAACUGAGUCCCUAUGGCUUUUUAAUAUUUGCAUUGAGCAGUCUCCAUGUGACUUCCUAAUUCCCACCAACCCUCCUGUCCAUGCUGUGAAACUAAAUUGUAAUUUAUCAGCCUUUGUCAAUGGUUUCUAAAUUAAAGAUAUAGACCAUGCAUGUACUUUAAUAAAAGCAAAUCUAAAGUGUAGAUAGCAGCAAUGGUGACACCCAAUAUUCUCCAUAAAAUAGAAUUAGAAUAAGCAGUGUUACAUUGUUCAUGAUCACCUACAAGCAUACAAGAACUUCCAUGAAUAACUCAUAGCAAUUGCCAACAGGGCGUCGUAGAGACUCAUACAUAGAACACUAUCCACCCAGAGGAAAGGACAAGACCAGUGCGCUGCAGCUCUUAUUUUUCACAUGUAUACCACCACUCGUAAUAACCAAAUUCACUCAGUUGGGAUAGGUGGGAGAUGGUGGUUUGUGGGGUGGCUUGUGGGGAGGAGUUGGAGGAGGCUUUAUUUUCUGAGGCGGCUUGUAUGAGUGUGCAGGAGGAUGCCCGGGAGUGUGACCAUAAUGUGGUGGCUUCUCUCCCGUAGGUGGUUUGCCAAAUGGGCUUGGUGGCUUCUCUCCCUUAGGAGGUUUACCAAUUGGGGUUGGUGGCUUGUGUUCUGGGAGUGGUUUCUCUCCCUUGGUAGGUUUGCCAAUUGGGGUUGGCGGCUUAUGUUCUGGGAGUGGCUUCUCUCCCUUGGGAGGUUUGCUAAUUGGGGUUGGCGGCUUAUGUUCUGGGGGCGGCUUCUCUCCCUUGGGAGGUUUGCCAAUUGGAGUUGGCGGCUUAUGUUCUGGGAGUGGCUUUUCUCCCUUGGGAGGCUUGCCAAUUGGGGUUGGCGGCUUAUGUUCUGGGGGUGGCUUCUCUCCUUUAGGAGGUUUGCCAAUUGGAGUCGGCGGCUUAUGUUCUGGAAGUGGCUUUUUUCCCUUGGGAGGUUUGCCAAUUGGGGUUGGCGGCUUAUGUUCUGGGGGUGGCUUCUCUCCCUUGGGAGGUUUGCCAAUUGGAGUCGGCGGCUUAUGUUCUGGGAGUGGCUUCUCUCCCUUGGGAGGUUUUGUUGGUGGCUUGUGUUCUGGAGAUGGCUUCUCCCCUGGAGGCUUGUGCUCCGGAGGUGGCUUCUGAAAUGGCGGGGGCUUGGGGUAAUGAGCAAGAGAUGGA
Molecule: long non-coding RNA, 90976 nt
Filed under: Vitis vinifera (wine grape)
Lineage: Eukaryota; Viridiplantae; Streptophyta; Magnoliopsida; Vitales; Vitaceae
Description: long non-coding RNA (VVIN_LNC001392)
Source: RNAcentral